Molecule: long non-coding RNA, 99169 nt
Filed under: Sorghum bicolor (sorghum)
Lineage: Eukaryota; Viridiplantae; Streptophyta; Magnoliopsida; Poales; Poaceae
Description: long non-coding RNA (SBIC_LNC003667)
Source: RNAcentral
CCACAUCCAAAAGCAGUUUUUUUUCUGCCGAGGCCGCCGCUGAUGGCCUGAUAUGAUAGGAACUUGAAUGCACGAUUCAGUUAUCGGGUCGCCCUGAGCCAUCCGAAAUGCUUCCAUCAAGUAGAUUUGCCCUAUGGUUGACGGCAGGGGUAACUUAAUUCAAGCCAUGCUCCUGUCGGCAUGGACAAUAGUGUUGGAGUAGCUUAAGAGCGUGUCCAAUUUAUUAAUGAGAUGGUAUAAUACUCGAAUGUCAAAAGGCGUCCAAAUUCUGUUCAUGGUUGCUCAUGGUGGUCUCUCGUUGGUUCCAGGUGCUGAACGACGGCCGCGCCAACUGCACCUGCUCCGCCGGCAAGCUGCUGCAGGACCAGUUCACCAGUUAGCCGCCGCCUUUUCUCGGUGCGAUGCGAUGCGAUGCAAUGCGUGGCCAUGGCCGCAAGGCCUGACUGACGCCUCCGCGCCGGCAGCUCGCUUUCUCCUCCUCGUUGAAGUUGAAAUAGUACCAGUGUACUACUUGGUUAUUACAUAUAGUUUUACAUGAGGAGGUAAGCAUCGUAAACAAGGAUGGAUAUAAUAUGGAAUUGAAAUGAGAGUAGUCUGUACAUGCAAGUUCAUUAGCAGGCAGAGCAGGACCCGCAAUGUUAUAGUGAUAGCUGCAAGCUCAAUUAGAGUUGGUUCUUGGUACAACACAAGGCGUGGUGACAGUGUGUCUUUGUCUUGCCCCGUCGUUACACCGCGUACGUACUACCAGCACAUGCAUGCACCCAAUCCAAUCCGAUGCAUUGCGACUAUUGUGUCUGUCUGGCUGCGUACGUGCAGCGGUGCAGGCAGUGUCGUCCAAAUGCAUUUCCCUUUACGGCAAGCCUGCGGCCUUAUUUAACAGCAACCUGGUCGAUCGUCCUCAUGUCUCUCGUCCAACAAUAAUGGCAUCGUGGACUAGGAGCAUCGCCUCCUCGAGCAGGCGCCUAAGCCCUUUACCAGUAGAUUUUUGCGACACCUACUGCUGGUUUAUACAUUUUCACGCGCCAAACAGAAUUUUAGGUAGGUUUGUUUCGAGCAGGAGUUUGUGGGUCGAAUGGACCCGAACACAGACAGGUUCAGUGAACAAUACAUGUACGAAUUGUCCUGUCUCGAGCUGUAUGUAAAACCGCACGCCUCAUCCAUCUAUGCACCCCAGAAAACCGCGGGCGCUUGCGUGGCGACUCUAGCCUGUUUUCCCACGUCGAUCCGUCGCGUGCACGGCGGCGGCGGCCUUUCGCGUCCGGUUCCUGAUCCGCACUUGACGUCGCGUCGAACGGAUCGAUCGACAGCCUGGUCCCGCCUGCCGACCUGAUCUGGCGGGGGAUCGGGGUCGGGGGUCACACUCCCGGAAGUCCGCUUCAAUUCGGGACCUCAAACUCUCAAAGAACGGCGAUGGAGGUAUGGAACGAACCGCAAAGAAAAGAAACGGCGGCGGCCCCGCGCGCUCGCUUGCUUUUCUCGUCGCUUCCGUUCGUCCUCGCUGCUGCCGUGCCGUCCCCGUCGUACCAAUGCAUAUAUUUGGCGGCUGGCCACGCCGCCGUGCAACGGUUUUCUCUUGGCCUUGUUUAGUUCUCAAAAAAUUUUCAAGAUUUCGCAUCACAUCGAAUCUUUGGUCGCAUACAUGAAGCAUUAAAUAAAGAUAAAAAUAAAAACUAAUUACACAGUUUACCUGAAAUUUAUGAGAUGAAUCUUUUGAGUCAAGUUACUCCCCAUGAUUGGACAAUGUUUGUCAAAUAAAAACGAAAGUGCUACAGUGGCCAAAAAAACCAAAAUUUUGCCAACUAAACAAGGGCUUUGUUGAUCGCUUUCCCCGGUGAUCAUCAUCGUGCAAAGGAAAGCGAAAGUGCAGCAUCAGAGACAGAUCUACAGUGGGCACAAGGGCUGAUUUUUCUGGGUUAGAUUUGUGGCAGAACCUCCUGAAUUAAUUGGCCCACAUGCACCCAUCAUUAUCUCAAAGACUUCUGAUCGGCGUGCACGAGUUCCAAAUGACUCAAGAAGUCUGUCGGGUGCCCUCGGAGGACCCCGAAUCAUCCACGUUUUAACUCAUACAGGAUCAACAUGGAGUUACCACAACAUUACAACAUUUGUUACAAAAAUAACUUACAUCAGAGUGCGGAAGAUUUAUAACUUAAUUUACAACAUAUGAUGAAGUACAAACUUAACUAAAUUUUUAAAAGGUGUGUAGAGUAGCGAAAGCAUCCUAAGUGAAGCUUCUAAGGUAGGAGAGGUGGAUAAAUCACGUCGCGCCCACCGACAUGACCUCCAUUAGCAGUCUAAGUCAGCACCUGCAACAGGGGUUAUAAAACCCUGAGUACGAAAGUACUCAACAAGACUUAACCGACUAGAAAAGAGGUGAAGACUCAGAUAUGCAGGCUAUAGGGAUUCAAGGUAAAGCUUUAGCAAGAUCAAAGCAUUUCUUUUGCAUAAAAGCUUACUAAGAGUAAAACCUACUUUCAAGUUUUAACUCAAGAUCAUCAUUUAUGACUAAUCAAAACUAUUAUCAAACUUUCAUAAGUAAACCAUAUCUUUCUUAUACCAAGAUUCACUUAUUACUACGAUGAUGGUACGAGGAUUGAGGCUCCAUAUCCGAGAAAACACGGCGAUUCGAAUCGAUUAAACCCAGCUGGGGAUUCAGUACCACACGACAUAUGUAGAACUUAAUCUUGCAUAUGUCAACCUUUUCUAUAGAUCCUCCCAUACAAGAACGGGUCCAGCGUCACCCGAGAGUACAGUACACCACCAUCCUACAGCCAAUCUAGAUGUUUCCCGGUCAUCUCAGAUCCGUAAGGUGGGUACACGCUACUCUCGCCAUCUCUCCACUCCCAGUACGCGGUUAGCCGUUCUCAAGUAUCGGAAUAGCUAUAGGUAAGGCUUACCGCCGCAUGUGGGCUGUACUCAAAGGUCUCAAUCACAACAGGCCAAUCAACGGUACGGUCCUUAAUCGACACAGUUGGAGACACUACUUUAAGACUCCAUUCUUAAAGCAAGUCCACCGACCGGUCUCAAGUUUAAACAUUAUUAACCAUAAAAGUAUUCCACAACAACCCUUCAAGCUUUCUCAUUUGAAAACCUAUCUAAUAAGCAGGGCUAAGCAUACUAAGCAUUUUCAUAAAGCAGGUAUCAAGGUUAAUAUGGAAAUCAUCAAGGUAGAUAAUGCAGCAAAUAUGAUUCACUCAACUCCUAUUCACCUAAUGCAUCAUAUUAACUCAAGUGAUAUAAAUAACUUUAUGAAAAUACAAGGAUAGGGUUUAAUGUCCGGGGCUUGCCUUGACCGGAAGGGAAGUUCGACAACUCAGCAAAACCCGAAGGAUCCACAAACUCGGAAGCAACCCACUGAGGAUCAGAUUCCUCUGGAGCGUAGUCUACACGUAGAAGUGCAUAUGCAUGAUUAAUGAGAUGCUCAUGAUAUGAUAAAGACAGGUUACAUGUUCUUGGAUGAUAACAACAAACAUAACUACCUCGAGUACAACUUACCUUCAUGGUAUAGAAAUAAACUAAUCUAGCUAUCAAAACAUAGAUUACUUCUAAGCAAAUUUUAUCAUCUUCAUUAAGCAAGGUUGUGUAGCUAUCAGACAACAAAGAUUAUUUAUAUGAAAUAAUCUAUAACCAGGGAGCAUAUCAUGCCAAGUACCCACUGGUUAUCAAUCAAUCCCAAAGAUCAAUCAAAACCUAAAAUGAUUAGGCUUUCUAUUUAUCUUAAUAAACUCUUAAUUAAAUAUUAAUGACAGUAAUUAAGUAUUAACAUCAAACAAUAAUUAAGUGCCAAAGGUCAUUAAGAUUAAUGACCUCAGGUCAUCACACAAUUCCAAAAUCACUCAAAUUCUAAUUUGGAAAUUAAGUUACUCAUUAUUUAAGUAAAGGCUAGCUAAAAGCAAACAAUUCUAUUUGCACACAUAACCAGGACAGCAGCAUAUACACAACUUCAUUCAACCAUAAUUAGAGAUACAAGCAUCCAACAAAGGUGAUAUUAGGCUUUCUGGAAAGCUUAUAUAAUUUUCUACAACUUUGUUAUUAUCUUCGAGAACUGAUUUAAUAGAUAAAAUAGCCAAACAGUAUGAAUAAACAAUUCUGUCCAGACCUUGGACAGAAUCAGACAUUAAGCUUCAUACAUCUAUAACCAGAGUUCUAGAUCACCAAAAUUCAUGAUCCAUAACAUUUUGGAAAGCUUAUGAAAAUUACUACAAUUCAUCUUUUAUCAUGAAAGCAUAAUUCAUAAGUUUAGUAGGUUGAAAUUGCACAACUACAGAAACUGAUCCAGGAUUUGACAGAAAGAAACCAUUUCUGAAACUUAAAUUUAAACAGGCAUAACUCAGAAACUAUAGGGCCAAAUGCCACCAAAAUUUAACACCAGCUAGAUACAUGAAUUCUAUACAACUUUGUUAUAGACAAGUUUCAUAUCCAACAUUAUUUACCUAGAGCAAUUCAUAAGGUUCCAGAAAUUGUCGAGAAACCACUAAUAUUUGAAUUAUAAAGAAAUAACAUUUUAUUUAUGUUCCAAACUUGAACCUGGGCAAAACCCAGCUUACUAACAGUUGUAAUACAUCAAAUAGAUACUAGAAAACAUCAUGGUCAUCCCUAAAUAAAUACCUUUCAUGUCUUUAUUAAUUUAUUUAGAUAAAUAGACAAAGUAAUAACCAUAUAUCAAAAGUACACAGUAAAUUCUGAAAAAACUACAGAAGCUCAUAUAUGCUCUCCAAAGUCUACUGUAUAAAUUUCAUGCCAUUUGGAUAAGUAUAGCAAUUUCCAUGAAAAAGAUAAAUUUCCAUCACAAUGAAGCAUGUAACAACAAGAUAAAUAAGAAAAUUGACAUUUUCUACAAACACAUAGCUAAAUUAUGUAUCUAUAUGAUAUAACAACCUCAUAUAAAGGCAUAGGAACCAUAUUUUACAUUUAUUUAUUUUUAGUUUAAUUGUAAACUAUUUAAUAAGCACUAAACAAGAUAAAUUAAUAACUUAAUCAUAUGUCAUCCAAUGAAUCUAAAAACUUAACCACAGCACACACACAUAAUCAUUAGCCUACCAUAAAAGUUUCAUCUUAAAAGAAGCUAUACAGCAAUAGAUAUGAAUUUCUCCCUUUUAAGCAUAAUUAAAAGACAUAAUUCAUAACUAAUUAUUUUACUAUAAAACAUAGUCAGUUCCAUAUUUUUAAUAAAAACUAGACAUUUCAAGGAGCACAACAAAAUUUGGUUCACCAAAAUUGGAGCUACCAAACUCUAGAUAUGAAUUUUCAAAGAUUCAACAAAACAUCUACAAACAAGUCCUUAUAGCACUAUUCACCUGAGUCACAGUCUGUGCAAUUAGACCCCUGGAGAACUUCCAAUUGUUGCGCGUGGUCCCUGGUCGCGAACUGAAAACAGGGGAGCUCGUCGGAGAUCGCGGUUUCGGCGUUGGGGUGCUCGUCGGCGGCAGAGGAGCAGCGGAGGAGCUUGCCCGGACUAGUGCGCACCUGCUGGUGGCCGUAGCUUGUCCCGCAAUGGCUCGAGGUGGCCUGGCCACGUUGAGGUGCUCCUCGGCGGCGUUUUUGGCCUGAGUGGAGGAAGAACGGACGUAGCCGGGGAUAGAAAUGGUUAGAGCUUGCACCAAGGGGCGCAAAAACUGGGGUUGAAAUUAGGGGUUUUUCUUAGCUAUUCCCUUACCACCCUCCUUAGCUAGGGAUUAAACAACUAUCACAAGCACGAUAAACACACUUUAAUUCCCUAAGCACAAUCAACCAAAAUAAACUUAUUUUUAAGUUGAUGCAUAAUGAUGUGCUUAACAAUUAUGCUUUGCAAUGCUUAUGAUGACAUGAUCCAGUUUUAGUAUUCGUAACAUCAGGGAUGUUACAGCCCUUCCCCCUUAACGAAAUCUCGUCCCGAGAUUUUCAGGGUACUAAAACCCGUGGGGUUAAGUAAUGGAAAAGAAAAUGUGUCAAGCACAUUAACUUCUGAGAAGUUCAUAAAACAAUUACAAUUGGUCCGAGAAUUACAACUAAGAUCAACAGAAUGUUGUAAUCAAUAAGAAUGUUAGAGAAUUCAUAAGAAGAUAUGGAUCUCCAAAUGAGCUUCCAAGGAGAAUGAAAGCACACUAACUGUAGACUAUAGCGGAGCAUGACCAGAGAUCCCGAUGUUUAACGAGCACCUAGUAGUAUUUCCUUAUGGCUGCAGUCCACAGGAGACUACAAGGUUCGACGCUAUAACGUGAUCACGGAUCAUGGUACCUACUAUAGAGUACGGUUACAAUAGCUUUCAAUGACCUAUGUUGGUUAUCCAAGUCAAGGGUUUUAGGUAAUUUCCACAAAGAUAUGGGCAUGGGUUCCCAUGAUAGGGCUCAAAGAGCGAGGGCACCUUAGUUGUGGGGCUAUAAUGGAUCAUGUCCAUAACCUCGAUACCUGCACGCGCCCAGUAGAAAUUUGUGUCAUCUGAACACACAAAAGACUCUAGGUUCCGACGCGGCACCGUGGUCACGGGACAUGGCACCACUAUAGGGCACCACAACAAUAACCCAUGUCUCACAAUCCCAAGAAUGUAACUGAGAUCAAAAGUCGAUCACAAUCACAAGGUGUUUAGGGAACUCAAAAGGACAAAUUUGAAUCCCUAAGGAGUGUCCAAAGAAUGAAACACCCUAAUUGUGGACUAUAAGGGAUCAUGAUCAUAUACUUUGAUAACAAUGAGCGCCCAGCAGUAUUUCCUCAUGGUCAUGAGCCAUAGGAGAUCCCAGGUUUUGACAUUGUUACCUAAGUCACAAGUCAUGGUACCUUAAGAGAACACAAUCAUAGUGACAUUCAAUCAACAAAAAUGUUGACAAAAGAUAUCAAGGAGGUAGCAUGUGUCCGAAUUAGAUGAAAUCAAGGAAGGUCACAUGCAUAACAAAUGAAUCAAGGAUUAGGAUCUUAUGGAGUAAAAGAUUAUCAAUCAGUUAACGAAACCUGGUACAUGAUGAGAUUCAUCAAUAAAACAGCUAUAACGAAUAAUAACUGUUUUUGAAGCAUAAGGAGGGGCUUUUAAGUAUCAUUAUAUUGUCAUGUUAUGCUUGAUAUGCAAUAUGCUCGUCCUAUACGUCUUUACAACGUUAGCUAGGAGGUAACUACUUAUAUAGGGCAUACUUUAUACAUUAUCUUUAUUGCUCUGGACGGAAUGUUGCAAGACUUUUGACAAAGCAUUGUUGGAGUAGUUUGAUUCUUCACUCGGCUUGUUGAAGAAAAAUUGAAGUCCCUUUCAAUGCCUUCUAUUUGAGUCGACAGAAAGUCUUCGUAGAACGGGGACAGCAAGCAUAAGAAAAGUUAAGGAGCAUUUAUAAGUCGUUAUCCUCAAAAACUUUUAAUUUGUAAAUUCCUUUUGAAGUUUUUCACAAGUAAUGUUGCAGAACAUCCAUGUAUGAGCUCUGAUACCAGCUGUGGCAGAACCUCCUGAAUUAAUUGGCCCACAUGCACCCAUCAUUAUCUCAAAGACUUCUGAUCGGCGUGCACGAGUUCCAAAUGACUCAAGAAGUCUGUCGGGUGCCCUCGGAGGACCCCGAAUCAUCCACGUUUUAACUCAUACAGGAUCAACAUGGAGUUACCACAACAUUACAACAUUUGUUACAAAAAUAACUUACAUCAGAGUGCGGAAGAUUUAUAACUUAAUUUACAACAUAUGAUGAAGUACAAACUUAACUAAAUUUUUAAAAGGUGUGUAGAGUAGCGAAAGCAUCCUAGGUGAAGCUUCUAAGGUAGGAGAGGUGGAUAAAUCAUGUCGCGCCCACCGACAUGACCUCCAUUAGCAGUCUAAGUCAGCACCUGCAACAGGGGUUAUAAAACCCUGAGUACGAAAGUACUCAACAAGACUUAACCGACUAGAAAAGAGGUGAAGACUCAGAUAUGCAGGCUAUAGGGAUUCAAGGUAAAGCUUUAGCAAGAUCAAAGCAUUUCUUUUGCAUAAAAGCUUACUAAGAGUAAAACCUACUUUCAAGUUUUAACUCAAGAUCAUCAUUUAUGACUAAUCAAAACUAUUAUCAAACUUUCAUAAGUAAACCAUAUCUUUCUUAUACCAAGAUUCACUUAUUACUACGAUGAUGGUACGAGGAUUGAGGCUCCAUAUCCGAGGAAACACGGCGAUUCGAAUCGAUUAAACCCAGCUGGGGAUUCAGUACCACACGACAUAUGUAGAACUUAAUCUUGCAUAUGUCAACCUUUUCUAUAGAUCCUCCCAUACAAGAACGGGUCCAGCGUCACCCGAGAGUACAGUACACCACCAUCCUACAGCCAAUCUAGAUGUUUCCCGGUCAUCUCAGAUCCGUAAGGUGGGUACACGCUACUCUCGCCAUCUCUCCACUCCCAGUACGCGGUUAGCCGUUCUCAAGUAUCGGAAUAGCUAUAGGUAAGGCUUACCGCCGCAUGUGGGCUGUACUCAAAGGUCUCAAUCACAACAGGCCAAUCAACGGUACGGUCCUUAAUCGACACAGUUGGAGACACUACUUUAAGACUCCAUUCUUAAAGCAAGUCCACCGACCGGUCUCAAGUUUAAACAUUAUUAACCAUAAAAGUAUUCCACAACAACCCUUCAAGCUUUCUCAUUUGAAAACCUAUCUAAUAAGCAGGGCUAAGCAUACUAAGCAUUUUCAUAAAGCAGGUAUCAAGGUUAAUAUGGAAAUCAUCAAGGUAGAUAAUGCAGCAAAUAGGAUUCACUCAACUCCUAUUCACCUAAUGCAUCAUAUUAACUCAAGUGAUAUAAAUAACUUUAUGAAAAUACAAGGAUAGGGUUUAAUGUCCGGGGCUUGCCUUGACCGGAAGGGAAGUUCGACAACUCAGCAAAACCCGAAGGAUCCACAAACUCGGAAGCAACCCACUGAGGAUCAGAUUCCUCUGGAGCGUAGUCUACACGUAGAAGUGCAUAUGCAUGAUUAAUGAGAUGCUCAUGAUAUGAUAAAGACAGGUUACAUGUUCUUGGAUGAUAACAACAAACAUAACUACCUCGAGUACAACUUACCUUCAUGGUAUAGAAAUAAACUAAUCUAGCUAUCAAAACAUAGAUUACUUCUAAGCAAAUUUUAUCAUCUUCAUUAAGCAAGGUUGUGUAGCUAUCAGACAACAAAGAUUAUUUAUAUGAAAUAAUCUAUAACCAGGGAGCAUAUCAUGCCAAGUACCCACUGGUUAUCAAUCAAUCCCAAAGAUCAAUCAAAACCUAAAAUGAUUAGGCUUUCUAUUUAUCUUAAUAAACUCUUAAUUAAAUAUUAAUGACAGUAAUUAAGUAUUAACAUCAAACAAUAAUUAAGUGCCAAAGGUCAUUAAGAUUAAUGACCUCAGGUCAUCACACAAUUCCAAAAUCACUCAAAUUCUAAUUUGGAAAUUAAGUUACUCAUUAUUUAAGUAAAGGCUAGCUAAAAGCAAACAAUUCUAUUUGCACACAUAACCAGGACAGCAGCAUAUACACAACUUCAUUCAACCAUAAUUAGAGAUACAAGCAUCCAACAAAGGUGAUAUUAGGCUUUCUGGAAAGCUUAUAUAAUUUUCUACAACUUUGUUAUUAUCUUCGAGAACUGAUUUAAUAGAUAAAAUAGCCAAACAGUAUGAAUAAACAAUUCUGUCCAGACCUUGGACAGAAUCAGACAUUAAGCUUCAUACAUCUAUAACCAGAGUUCUAGAUCACCAAAAUUCAUGAUCCAUAACAUUUUGGAAAGCUUAUGAAAAUUACUACAAUUCAUCUUUUAUCAUGAAAGCAUAAUUCAUAAGUUUAGUAGGUUGAAAUUGCACAACUACAGAAACUGAUCCAGGAUUUGACAGAAAGAAACCAUUUCUGAAACUUAAAUUUAAACAGGCAUAACUCAGAAACUAUAGGGCCAAAUGCCACCAAAAUUUAACACCAGCUAGAUACAUGAAUUCUAUACAACUUUGUUAUAGACAAGUUUCAUAUCCAACAUUAUUUACCUAGAGCAAUUCAUAAGGUUCCAGAAAUUGUCGAGAAACCACUAAUAUUUGAAUUAUAAAGAAAUAACAUUUUAUUUAUGUUCCAAACUUGAACCUGGGCAAAACCCAGCUUACUAACAGUUGUAAUACAUCAAAUAGAUACUAGAAAACAUCAUGGUCAUCCCUAAAUAAAUACCUUUCAUGUCUUUAUUAAUUUAUUUAGAUAAAUAGACAAAGUAAUAACCAUAUAUCAAAAGUACACAGUAAAUUCUGAAAAAACUACAGAAGCUCAUAUAUGCUCUCCAAAGUCUACUGUAUAAAUUUCAUGCCAUUUGGAUAAGUAUAGCAAUUUCCAUGAAAAAGAUAAAUUUCCAUCACAAUGAAGCAUGUAACAACAAGAUAAAUAAGAAAAUUGACAUUUUCUACAAACACAUAGCUAAAUUAUGUAUCUAUAUGAUAUAACAACCUCAUAUAAAGGCAUAGGAACCAUAUUUUACAUUUAUUUAUUUUUAGUUUAAUUGUAAACUAUUUAAUAAGCACUAAACAAGAUAAAUUAAUAACUUAAUCAUAUGUCAUCCAAUGAAUCUAAAAACUUAACCACAGCACACACACAUAAUCAUUAGCCUACCAUAAAAGUUUCAUCUUAAAAGAAGCUAUACAGCAAUAGAUAUGAAUUUCUCCCUUUUAAGCAUAAUUAAAAGACAUAAUUCAUAACUAAUUAUUUUACUAUAAAACAUAGUCAGUUCCAUAUUUUUAAUAAAAACUAGACAUUUCAAGGAGCACAACAAAAUUUGGUUCACCAAAAUUGGAGCUACCAAACUCUAGAUAUGAAUUUUCAAAGAUUCAACAAAACAUCUACAAACAAGUCCUUAUAGCACUAUUCACCUGAGUCACAGUCUGUGCAAUUAGACCCCUGGAGAACUUCCAAUUGUUGCGCGUGGUCCCUGGUCGCGAACUGAAAACAGGGGAGCUCGUCGGAGAUCGCGGUUUCGGCGUUGGGGUGCUCGUCGGCGGCAGAGGAGCAGCGGAGGAGCUUGCCCGGACUAGUGCGCACCUGCUGGUGGCCGUAGCUUGUCCCGCAAUGGCUCGAGGUGGCCUGGCCACGUUGAGGUGCUCCUCGGCGGCGUUUUUGGCCUGAGUGGAGGAAGAACGGACGUAGCCGGGGAUAGAAAUGGUUAGAGCUUGCACCAAGGGGCGCAAAAACUGGGGUUGAAAUUAGGGGUUUUUCUUAGCUAUUCCCUUACCACCCUCCUUAGCUAGGGAUUAAACAACUAUCACAAGCACGAUAAACACACUUUAAUUCCCUAAGCACAAUCAACCAAAAUAAACUUAUUUUUAAGUUGAUGCAUAAUGAUGUGCUUAACAAUUAUGCUUUGCAAUGCUUAUGAUGACAUGAUCCAGUUUUAGUAUUCGUAACAUCAGGGAUGUUACAAGAUUUCUGUGCAGAAAAUAUAUACUCCUACGUAUAAGCUCCUUGCUUUUGGAAACGAUCGUGAUUUGAUUGCAUAGAUAGUCAGAUAGAUAUAGAUCGUGGGCACCAAGGACACCAUGAUGGAAAUUCCCUACUCGUUCGUGUGUCGCCCAGCUGAGUAUCAGCUUGCACGGUCAGCAGCGAUCGAUCGGUCACAAAAGCUUGAAGAGAUGUCCCACCAGCGAUCAAUCAAGUAUCCGCGAUUUGCUGUUAGCUACUAGCACGCACAGGUUUGUAUCUCUACAGUCUGGAGACUGACACUUCACACUUGUAGAUAUAGCAAAUUUAGACGACACGAGACAUUACGGAGUGCAGAACGAAAUGGGUCGAGCGGGCAAGAUCGACACAGAUCAGAGGUGGUCAGAAGUGGUAUCACAUAAAGCAAGCAGAUCCUUUCUACUUUCUGCCGUCCCUCGUGGUUUCGUACGCGCAUUCUUCAGAUAGGCGAAUCGGCGGCCAUGCUCUAACGGCUUCCGUUCACGUUUAUAACCUUGAUGAUGAGUCUUUUCAGUAGAGAGUGCGGUCUGAAUGCACAACUUUUUUUAAGGCCGUCCCCGAAUAGCUUACGACGUGAAUAGCGAAAAAGUAUGAGAGAAAAUAGUCAGAGUGAUAAACAAAUAACUGAUCUAUUUCACUUAGUUUAAGAAUUUGUGAAAAGAACAUGUGGGUCAAAUAAUAUAUAGAAAGGAUAAAAAUAUAUAAAAUAGUCUUUAUUUUUAUCUCUCACGUCUAUGUCAAUGUAGCUAAUAUCAUUGUAGACGUCCUAAUAGCUUCCUUUUUAAGGAGUAGUCAUCAUCGUACGAGUAGACAAGUAGCAUGGAGAAGAGUGUACAUUUUUGCUAAGCGAGAGUCCAAGUCAUGGGUUAUGGGUAGCAUGUGUUGCCCUGUCACGGUGUUGGUAGCGUUUGUAUGUGUGUCAUUGCUGAGGAGACAGUACAGAUUUUUGUCCAAUCUGUUAUGAUCUAUUUUUAAAUUAAAUUUUCUUUUGGCUAGAAAGCACAAUCGGGAUUUAGAUCCGAUCUAUUACUAUCUUUUUUUCUGUCUAGUUUAGAUCUAAUCUGAUAUUUUUCCUUGAGGGUGUACUUGUUUUUUUUACCUGACUUUGGUUCUGCGGUGGACUUGUUUUCUCCGGUCAAUAUUUUUAUACACGAGUUUAGUUCUACCACGUGAUCGAUUCUGUUGGGAGCAUUUUAGUUGUAUAUAGAGAGAGUUACAUGAGACAUACACGAGAUGAUACAUGAGACGUACGUGAGAUAGAGUCCUAAGCGGGAUGACAUGAUGAUGUGAGAUUGAGUCUUAGGUUGAGAUGAUCGAGUCUUACAUUUUAUAUAUAAGAUCUUGAAUAAUGAAGGCCUCAUAUAGCAUGAAACGAAAUGUACUAGAUCAAAAUGACGCUAAGGCCUUGUUUACUUGGGAAUUUUUUUCGUAAAAUUGCUACAGUAACUCUUUUGUUUGUAUGUAACAAAUAUUGUCCAGUUAUAGACUAACUAGGCUUAAAAGAUUCGUCUCGUAAAUUUCGACCAAAUUGUACAAUUAGUUUUUAUUUUCGUCUAUAUUUAAUACUUCAUGCAUGUGUCUAAAGAUUCAAUGUGACGAGGAAUCUUGAAAAAUUUUGGUUUUGGGGAUGGAAGUAGACAAGGCCUAACUUGUUAGUGAAGGAUAGCGUUGCCCGGGUUUGAUCGGUUUGGUGGCGGAUUUGAGUAGAUUGUGGAGGGUUUUUAAUUCCCCUCGAUUCCUUUCAAUCACAUUUCCCUCCAAUCUCCUUAAGUAGAGGAUAAUCAAACAUAACCUACAAAGGGGCCAGCGAGGUUGAAAAGAGGCAUGCUCCAAAAUGUUUGGCUGCAGCCCUGCAACGCGCUGCUAUGCUAUAGUACUUUUAACACAGUUGCUGCUUAUUCCUGCAGUGGAACACCCUGUUGUAGAUAAGCUCAGUGUCAUUUACCCUGUGUACUAAGUUUCUCUCUCAAAAUAAAGACCAACGAUUACUUUGGGAAGGUGGGAACAGGUGGUUUGAGAUACCGUAAAAUUUUUUUUAAAAAAAUUCAGAUUUAUUAUCACAUCGAAUCUUACGGUGCAUGAGCAUUAAAUAAAAAUAAAAAUAAACUAAUUAUACGAUUUGUAUAUACUUUACGAGACAAAUUUUUUAAUUCUAAUUAGUUUAUAAUUAGAUAAUAUUUAUUAAAUAAAAAUAAAAAUACUAUUGUGUGCAUUUUGCAAUAGGAAUGCAGCACCGGCCCACCGCGCUUGCCGCUCGGCCAUUCAUCACGUGCCGAAAUGGAGCCGAAGGAUGCAUGCGUAGGUUGACGUAGGAGCAGCCGAUCCACUUCGGCGCACCGCACACGACCCGACCAACCCUCGCGCGCCCAUUCGCGGAAAUGGGGAGCAUCUGCGCACGGCUGAUCAUCAUGUGCGGCGGUGGGGGUGGAAGUGGAAGCCAAGCCGGCCAACCUCGUUCGCGCUGCUGCGGGCUGCGGUGGCCGGUGGUGGUGGGUGCUCCGAAUCAUUGCCGUUUCCGUGCUCCCAGUCCCAGGACCACGGCACGGGCGCACGGCAUCGCAGUAGUGCGGCGACCGUGCCGGCUCGCAAGGGGCCGGGCAGCGGCGCGCGGGCCUGGCCGCCUGGGAGCUUCGGGUGAGCGCGCGGGGAGGGAGGGAGGGUCGUCGUCGUGAGUGAGGCGUGACCACCACAGUGCGAGUCCGUCCAAAUGCAAUCGAUGCGUGGGGCUCAGGCAGUCAGGCUGACGCUAGCUUUUACUUCGCCACGGUUGUUCCAGCGCAGCGCAACCGGCGGCGGUCGGUCGGUCGGUCUGGGGGCUCGGUACGGCCGGCGUUCUACGAGUGCACGGUGGGCGGUGGCUACACCUGCAGGGACAAGCAUGAGCACUAGAAUCUCACCUUGCCUACCGCGCACUGGCCAGGUAUGUGGUAGUUGAACAGGUUUUGUUCUGAGGCAGACAAACAGUAGUACAGUAGUAGCUUCAUUCGCGUUGAAACGCACAAAGUGGUAAGAAUCAUAAGCGUGCCACGAUGGAUGAUCAAGAUGACUGAGAAAACCACUGCAAAAGAAGCAGCAGUGGAGGCCAGAUAAAAGAGGCUAUAUGUCUCGUCUUCGUCUCUGCAUGCAUGCUGGAGGCAGCACUCGGGCAGCGAACGAAGUUGCCACGUUCGACCACGACCACCACCGCCACCAACAACAUCCAUCCCAACACGCACGCGACGAUGCACUGCUAGGCGUGGCAGCUUAAACAGCAGUAGCACGCACAAGAGCUGACCACAAUGCAAUGAAGACCCCCCUCAGGCUAUGCCGGGUCUGAUCGGGGAAUGUCGAUUGCUGGAUGGAUGCAGUGGAUCGUGCUUGGCGAUUCGACCAGACGAGAGCGUGAUGCGGCGGUGCCUGAAAAAUCGCCAAUAAUGCAUGCAUGCCUCCACUCCUGUUCUCCACCGUAGGGAUUCUGCAUGUGCUGAGAUCGAGGUUGCAGGCCCUUAGGAUUUGGGGAAAUGAAGACUGAAGAAAAGAAACCUGUGCAUUGAACAUGGAAGAUCCACCCUUUUCUGGAAGGAAAACCCAAAGUUAUUGAAACCCUCGACUUUGAACGGUAAGUAUUCCCUUCCACCGUGCUCUCUGAAAAGAAGUCUAAGUUUCAGAAAGCGCUAUAGCUAUCUCGGCAACAAAGGUUGUAUCAGAUGGUAGUAGUAUUGUGAGAAACAUUCUGAUCGCCCAAAUCCAUGACAACCGGAAGAGAACCAAGUAACAAUAAGAGUAAAAGAAGGCAAAAAGAUGCAGUCCAGCACGAUGCUGAUUCAGGCAUCCACUACCACCUCCCACCAGUUGAUUUGAUUAUAGGACUUCGAACUUCCUAGCACUAUUCAGGCAUCAUUUCGCCUUACCCUUCUCUAGGUGUAGCCUGCUGCUCGAUCUUAACAAAUUUUUUUGAAAAAUAGACACCGUAACACUUUCAUUUUAUGUGACAAAUAUUGUCCAAUCAUAGACUAACUAGACUUAAAAGAUUCGUCUUGCAAAUUACAGGUGAACUGUACAAUUAGUUAUUUAUUUUAUCUAUAUUUAAUGUUCUAUGUAUGUGCCGCAAAAUUCGAUGUGACAGAAAAUUUGAAAAAAAAUUAUAAUUUUUUUUGAACUAAACAAGGACUUAGGGAACGGAAUAACCCAUGAGCCAUAAAAAAAGGGCUUCCCUAAUUUGCCCGUGGACAAUGAGUGAAAAAAGGUCUACGGAAUUACUAUUACUAAUCUAAACAAGGCCUGAAUGAAAAAGGUCUACGGAAUUACUAUUACUAAUCGAUGUCGAGGUAUAUAAGUACAUCAGUCAGUUGGCAGCAACAGUUCUGAUUGAUAGUGGCCAUGCCACCAAGGAUUGACCACGUUGUCGACUUGUCGUACACUGGUACUGUCGUAGUGGCGUGUGCCUGCCUGGGCCUAUGGAGCCGAGGAGAAUCCGGAGGCCCAUGGCCAUGCGCGUGUGGGGCUCGGGCCCGUCGACGCCGCGAGACAGUGCUGCGUGCGACUGCGGCGUCGCUCACCUUCCACUCAUCGGCUCUUGGACCGGCCACCUUCCUACACGAGCCUAGGCACGUCUAGACAUUCCCCUCAAAAAAAAAAAGAAGGCACGUCUAGACAUUUUCAAGAUGGUUUUUCGUACAACGACAUCAAGGUGGAGAUGAUAUCGUCGUUAUGGAAUAAUUCCGAUCUCUUUUAUAUUUUGUUGUAGUUGGAUCUGACCACGAUGAAAGACUAGUAGAGAGAUUAAAUUUCAUAUUAGUUUUCCUUAUCCUUCGGUGGCGGAAAGAAGAAAAAGGAAGACACAAUAACAAAAGAAGUUUCUUAACUCCACCUUUAGCAAUGUUGUCAUCGUUCGUUGGACAAUCAUUUUUAUGCCUUUUGCCGAAUAUUUGCCUUGUGCGGUCAUCCAUACGAAUUGUCAUACAUGUUUAGAUUUAAGAUUUGGAGCUAUACAAAGCGUGAGUAUAAUUUAAAUGAUUGGUUUGUGGAUAAUGUGUUCGAGAGUGCUUGUAAUAUGAUGUACUCAAUUAUAAUCUAAUAAAAUUUUUCUUUCAUCUAAAAAAAGAUAGUUUCUAAGCAUUUGAUGUGUGCAUAAAUUUUCUUAACUAAAAAAAUAGAGGAUCUAUGGAUCUAGAGUUGGACACAAAGAUCCAUCAAAGAUUCAAAGAGCCCAACCCACUUUAUCCAUCCACCACCUCCUAGCCACAAGCACCAUGCUCCUCGAUUCCAUAAUUUUAUAAACUCAAUAAUAUGGUGGCCAAGAUGGUCAUGAGCCUUGCCAUAAGGAGAGAGUAUCUUGUUAAGAAGAAUGACAAGGGACUAAGCUAUCUACCUCAUGCUAUACUUGGCAAAGUUGACUUGGUGAGUACAUAAGUUCAUGUAUGACGGGGCCGCUAAGCUAAAAUCACAAGAUAUAAGAAAUGUACUCAGAAUGUCCACGUUGUAAAAGUCUAUAACUUCCGCAAAUAGUAAUCACAUGCAAAGGCAAUAUGAUAAGUUCAAUGGCGCUAUGCUUUCAGUGGCAGGUGAUAGCGAGGCGCUUGUGGUGACUUCGUCAAUCUUGAGAUUGGUCGGUCCAACUCGGUUCUUUGAAGGUACUCAUAGGGGUAGGAUGUGUGUGCGUGCGUUCAUAGGGGUGAGUGCGCGCUCGUGUAUAUGAGUGUUUGUGUAUGUAACUGGGUUUCGCAAAGAAAGAAAAGGUAAUAAAGUUAUCUCAUGAGCUUUUCCAAAGAUCUUUUCCCCCAACACAUGGUGGCUUCAAAAGAAGGGUAAAUAGAUUAUAAGUGAGUGAACUGUCCAUAUGAUACCCUAAGGGUAGUCCAGUGUGUCAUCGAUUUUCCGCUGCAAAAAUUUAAUUGUGUCAGAGAGUAAACGUCGAUAAUGUAGAAUUCAAGUUGUGAAAAUGGCAGCAGAGGACGUCAACUGAAAAAGUCUAUUUUCUCUCUCUGGAUCUCUCAACGUGUGGCUGGGCAUGCACUAUCUGAAGACUUGUGUUUUUUAUUCGCUAUGGUUCAACGCAUUUGUAGGAUGCGAUUUUGAUCUACACGCAUGGUUCGAUUCCUAUAAUGUAUUGUGUUUGGUUUUCUAGCCUCAUGAUUCAAUUUGGCUCAUCAACGGAGCUGCUCUAAUAAAUCCAUUGGAUAUUGAACUAAGUACUUUUACUAAGUUGCUGAGACAUAGCAAAUUGUGUUCCUAUAUGAUGCAAAUAUCAACGGGAGCUAGUGAGACAUCACAAAGGAAAAAGAUUAAAUAUUGAAGAGAUACAUGCUUAACUUUCUGUACCAAUGAUUCAAGAAUACAUAAAUGUCUAAGUUUGUGGUACAAGUGCAUAGCUCAAUUCAAAUUACUACAAUUGUCAUUGAGAAUUCUCAUGAGUCAGUUAAGUGAACCAACAUAGGGAAACUUAGCAACUCAUCAACAUGAUAAGAGAGAGCCUUGAUUACUUAUCUAGUUGUGAUUUCUAGUAAACAUAUAAGAUGAUCACAUCUGUAGAGGAGGUUUGUUAUUCUAAACUAAGCAAAUGCAUGAGUUUAAGUCUAUAAGCAUAUAUAAGUCUGGGUGUUAGUAAAAAUCCUAAUAAAAAUAAAAACAAUAGGCUAUAAAAGAGACUACAAUUUUGAAUGUGACAUAAUUGGAGUUUUGAAAAGUUAUGGUUUCGAAUUCUCAAUAGAUUGAAAAUUUAUGUCCAAUCUUAAAUUAAACGGUGGAAAAGUUUUUUGUCUUAGUACUUUACUCUAUGUGCUAUACAUGAGUUUUUUGUCGCCCAAUUUAAGUACAAAAGAUCUUGGUGAAGUCUCUAAUGGUAGUAAGAUGCACUUAUACAUGACCAAAUAAGUGUUAGGAUUAUCAUAUAAUACAUUUGGUUAAAAUUUUAAGUGAUGCUGCAUGUUCUAUUUUGCACAAUGUAGUAAGUUUGAUUAUCCUAAAAUAUCCAAGUUAGAAUCAAUUGAGGAGGGAGACGUUCCUUAUACUUACGCUUAAGUUGUGGUAUUAUUUGAAGUAAUGGCACAUCAAUUGGCGAUGCCAAAUAUAUUGAUUAAAAAUUAUGUUGCGAAAAAGCCAAAACCAAAUCAUUGAGAAAAAGUACUAAACUAAUGGUAGCAUGUGUGCUUAUUUGAGACUUACCACUUAUCUCAUCUAGAAAUGAGCAAAUCAGCAUGGGUUUUCGGUGAAGAGUCUCUAACCGGAUCUAAGAUACAAGGCCAUAAUAAAUAAAUAAACGCUAUAGGUAUAGGUAUUACGGUGAAAUUUGGUUUGGUUAAGGGGUUUUAGCAGCGAUGGAAGUGGGUAAACACACAGUCAUUGCUGGGCCAACCCCAGACGUACUUAGCCCACGAAACGGCCAAAGCCGGCCCAGCCCACGGUGUAACCCUAGAUAUAUAUAUGCAGCAGCAGUGUUGCCGCAUCCACAUCCCCGUCCCAGUCGGUUGUCCCUCCUGCAGGUCGCCGCCGCUCGCUCUCUCUCUUCCCUGACCACCGCGCCACCGCUCCCCGAGUCUCGACAAACCGUCUACGCGACCGGCGCCCCUCCCUCCCCUUCGGUGUCGCCGUCUGCAUCCUCCUCCGGUCUUCCCAAGGUGAGUCCCGACCUAAACCUAAUUCACAAAUUAUGUAGCAGUAAUUAGAAGAUCUCGACUUCUCGAGAUCGAUUCGGUAGGAGGGUUAUAUGUUAUAGAUGCGAAUUCGGUAGGAAGGGCCACAUGUUAUAGAUGCGAAUUUGCUCUAUGCGCAUGACCAGGAUUGUCUAGAUGCAUAAUAUCUGGUACUAUUGUCACGUUCUUUUGAACUGAUGACAAGGUUAGGUUGAACUGAUGCAUAUCUGAAAGACUUGAACUGUAUAUUCUAGUUCGUAUCCUGUAUCAGCAAAUAUUAUAUCAUUUUUUUUCAUUUGUGAACAAUCCAAUUUGGGCUGAACCUUGUAUUCGGAUAUGAUCUAAUGACAAGUGUUUACAUGUAUUAUAAACUUCGACUAUUUUGAAUUUUUUUUGGGAGUGCAUGUGUACCCCCAUGUCGUCUUCCCCUGCUAUGCUGAACUUUUAUCUUCUGUUUCAUAGUCACUGGUUCUGUAAAGUCAUUUUUAAGGAUUGAUUCACUAUGAUACUCUUCAAAUUUGUACUCAAUUUUUUUUACUUUUGUGUCAGCUCUGCCUCUAGUUUAAUGCAGCCUCCACUAUUUCUUCUGUUUUUAUAUUAAUUAUUGCUCAUUCUUGGUGUAAUUUUUGCAGAGCUUGAUUCUCGUAGAAGCUAAAGCAGCAGCCGGAACCAUGGCAUCCCGUUUCUGGGGACAGGUACUUGCUUUCUUUCGCGCAAUGAUACCAGCAUGCCAGUAUAUUCAUGAUGUGCAUUCUGAAGUAAUUGAUCAAAUUGUUGUUGAUGCAAGAAUCUGACACUUGCCUGGUCCUUUGCAACUUCAGGGGGAUAGUGAGUCUGAGGAGGAGGAGGAAGAAGUCGAGUCAGAACAGGGCAGUGAUAGUGAUGAUGAUGGAGGCCGUGGUGGUGCAGGACGCAGUCUUGGAAACCGCUAUUUGAAGAACCAAGAAGACGACAGCGAUGAGUCUGAUACAGGGCACCGUGUGAUCCGCUCUCUGAGGGACAAGCGCAAUGAGGAGAUGAGAUCUAUUGUUGAUCAGAUGCGUAAUGCAAUGAAGAUCAAUGACUGGGUUAGCUUGCAGGAGAGUUUUGAGAAGCUUAACAAACAUCUUGAAAAGGUUGUUCGUGUCAAUGAAUCUACUGAGGUUCCAAAGAUGUAUAUCAAGGCUCUUGUGUUGCUGGAGGACUUCCUUGCUGAAGCCCUUGCAAACAAGGAGGCCAAGAAGAAGAUGAGCAGCAGCAAUGCGAAGGCACUGAAUGCGAUGAAGCAAAAGCUCAAGAAGAACAACAAGCAGUACGAAGAACAGAUCCAGAAGUGCAGGGAGCAUCCAGAGAGUUUUGAUGAUGAACCUGCGGAUGAUAAAGAUAUGGAUGACGAUGAUGACGAUGAUGCUGAUGAGAGUGAUGCAGAGAUUGAAGAUCCUGAUAAAAUAGCUAUGUCAGAGUCAGAAGAGGAACCUGACGAAGAUGAUGAUGACAAGGAUGGUUGGGAAAAGAAGAGGAGUAAGAAAGAUAAGCUAAUGGAUAAGCAGUUCUUGAAAGAUCCAAGUGAAAUCACAUGGGAUAUUGUCGAUAAUAAACUCAAGGAGAUUGUAGCAUCAAGGGGAAAGAAAGGUACUGGAAGGAUAGAGCGUGUUGAGCAGUUAACAUUUUUGACCCGUGUGGCCAAAACACCAGCUCAGAAGCUUGAAAUCCUUUUCCAUGUGAUUUCUGCGCAGUUUGAUGUCAACCCUAGUCUACUUGGGCAUAUGCCAGUCAAUGUGUGGAAGAAGUGUGUCAAUAAUAUGCUGCUUGUGCUUGAUAUACUCCAGCAGUAUCCUAACAUUGUAGUAGACACCUCAUUUGAGCCUGAUGAGAAGGAAACUCAAAAGGGUGCAGACUAUAAUGGAACUAUACAUGUUGUUGGUGACCUGGUUGCAUUCCUCGAGAGACUGGACUCUGAAUUUUUGAAGACCUUGCAGUGCACAGAUCCGUACACAAAAGAUUAUGUUCAGAGGCUUAGAGAGGAACCCCUGUUUUUGGUUGUUGCUCAGAAUGUCCAAGAUUACCUUGAGAGGGUUGGGAACCUCAAAGCUGCUGCCAAGGUUGCACUGCGCCGUGUUGAACUGGUUUACUACAAACCCCAAGAAGUGUAUGAUGCAAUGAGAAAACUUGCAGAGCAGCCUGAGGACAGUUUGGAUGAUGAUGAUGCAGAGGCUGGUGAUGAACAUCAGGCAAUAGAUGACAACAGAGGACCAUCACCAUUUGUUGUGAUUCCAGAGGUUGUGCCGAGGAAGCCUACUUUUCCAGAGAGUGGUAGAACUUUGAUGGAUGGAUUGAUGUCCUUAAUUUACAAGUAUGGAGAUGAAAGGACCAAAGCCCGUGCAAUGCUGUGUGACAUAUAUCACCAUGCGAUCUCUGAUGAGUUUUCAGUGGCUCGUGACUUGCUUUUAAUGAGUCAUUUGCAAGAUGGUGUUCAGCUCAUGGACAUAUCAUCACAGAUUUUGUUCAAUAGGGUCAUGGCCCAGUUGGGGCUGUGUGCUUUCAGGGCUGGUUUGAUAAAUGAAGCCCAUGGAUGCUUGACCGAGCUCUACUCUACUGGGAGGGUGAAAGAAUUGCUUGCACAAGGUGUGCAACAAAGCCGAUACCAUGAAAAAACUCCUGAACAGGUAAACCUCUAUGCAACUCAUCCUUUUUUCUUCUUGUAAAUGCUGCACACAUAGCCCCUAAUCACACAAGCAAAACACUAGUUGGAAAACUUUGUUUGUGUCAAUUGAUAAUAUUUGCACAGUAGUAUCCCCCUCUUGUAUCUGUUAAUUAUUUAUGUUUCUGUUGCUUUUUUAAUACGAUAUUAGAAUGUUUUUCCUGUUUUAUGCAGGAAUUCUGACCCAUAUCACAAAAUUUUACAUUUUCUAUAUUGGCCUGUACUUAUGUUUAUUACACAGAUGUAGUUCCUUUAUGCUACUUCUAUUUAACUGUAGACCACAAUUGGCGUAGUUUUAUACAAGGAAAAGAUGAUUGUUUUGUUUUGGUUCUAUCAGUGCUAAUGAUGUACCCACCCUAUCACUGCAGGAAAGACUUGAGAGGAGAAGGCAAAUGCCUUACCAUAUGCAUAUAAACCUGGAACUUUUGGAAGCCACACACUUGAUUUGUGCGAUGCUGAUUGAAGUCCCCAAUAUGGCUGCCAGCACUUAUGACAAGCGGAGGCCUAUGAGCAAAACAUUCCGACGGCUUCUUGAAGUGAGUGAAAGGCAGACGUUUGUUGGGCCACCAGAGAACGUGAGGGACCAUGUAAUGGCUGCCACAAGAGCCCUCAACAAGGGUGAUCACCAAAAGGCUUUCAGUGUCAUUAAUUCACUGGAGAUCUGGAAGCUUUUGAGGAACAGAGAUCAUGUUCUUGAGAUGCUGAAGCUUAAGAUCAAGGAGGAAGCUCUUAGAACCUAUCUCUUCUCAUAUUCGUCUUGCUACGAGUCCUUGAGCCUUAACCAGCUCACCACCAUGUUUGAUCUCAGCGAGCAGCAUGCUCACAGCAUUGUUAGCAAGAUGAUGAUGCAUGAAGAGCUUCAUGCUAGUUGGGACCAGCCAACAAAAUGCAUUGUAUUCCACAGUGUGGAUCAAACUAGGCUUCAGGGGCUACUAUUCCAGAUGGCAGAUAAGCUCUCGGUCCUUGUGGAGAGCAAUGAGAGGGCAUACGAGGCAAGAACUGGUGGUACUCUUGAGGGAGUGCCGCCCAGGCGCAGAGGUGAUGGUCAGGACUCAUCCAAUAUGGGGAAGUGGCAGGAGAACUUUGUCUCAUCACAGGGGCGGCAGGGUGGUGGCAAUCGGUUUGGAUACUCUGGUAGAGGUGGAGGAUCUGGUCAAAGUGGUGGCCACCAGAGGGACAGGGGCAACCAGGGUUCCCGUGGGGGUUACGGUGGCGGUUCACGGUUUCAGGAUGGAAGGGGUCGCAACCAGUCUGGUUCAUCAGCCAGAGGUGGUGAUGGUGGUGCUCGCAUGGUGAACCUAAACAGGGUUGGUAGAGUUUAGGUGUGAUAAUUCUCAGCUGAAGGAAGCCCGAAGUUCUACUAAAGGCCAAGUUUUGAAGCACUGCUUUUUCCAUAAUUACAAACUUCUGUUCUAAACUCAGUCGUUCACCUAUUUGCUCUAUUUCGUUGUAGCCUUUAAUUCAAGGGUCUAGGAAAUUGAACUAAGGGUUUGGGUACUCUGGUUUGUGUCGUGGGAGUGAGACGAUGCAUUCGCUCCUAUAUUUGAUAUCUACUUGUUACUCUUGCUAUAAUGCUAUACUUUUCGUAUUUGUGUUUACCCUGCGCUGAUUUGCUUAUUGCUUGUGUAUGUUACAGUUACUCGAGUUAUCAUGAGAAUUAGUGGUGGCUAAAUCAUAGGUUUGUGUGAUUUAGUUAAUUAGUUCUGGUAACUUUAUGCUGUGGUUAGAGGAACAUGCGGUGGCCUAUCCUUUAUUUUGUUUCCUUUGCGUGAAAUGGAUCGAGUUAAUUUAUGAUAAGUCUAACCAGUACUUUUUUAUAGUUCGCGGAAUGGAAAGAAAUAAUCCAUGGUCCGGAUCAUCUCGUGCCAGUACAAGCAUGAGACGUGGUUAUUGUCUAUGAAAAUUGUGGAACGAACACAUGACAAAUGUGGUUUUUUUCUAUGAAAAUUGUUGAAUGGAAUGAACUCCACAUCGGUCAAGAAUGAGGUGGGGUUCACAGGACCAAACACCACCUUAGUUAUUUAUUCACACUACUAAACUUUGAUACAAAUAGAUUGUUAACACACCACUAAACUUUGGUACAAAUAAAUUGUUUUUUGGUCACACUAUUGUGCAUCGUCGCCUUUUAUUCCCCUAUUAUGCAUGUCGAAUCGAGUAAAAAUGUUUUCAGGGGAAAGAGUAACCUACGAUUGGUUAAAGCAUCUCUUAUAUUGGUUACAUAGGAUGUGUAUGGUUAGCAGCUAGUCUCGUCAUUACUUCCUUAAGCCAGUUUUUGAAUGUUUGGUUACAUAAACUAGGCUUGGGGCCUGGUUGGAUGGGCCAGCCGUACUGUUGGAGCCCCAUCCGCCCCUCCCCAUUCCCCUCCGCCUCCGCGCAGCUCCGUCGCCGCCAUGGCGCUCUCUAAGCCUUUCCUCUCUCGCCUCCUCCCACUUCCCCUCCGCCUCCAGCCGCAGGCCUGCAUCUUGUACCAUGUCGUGGAGAUAGACGCUGCCUCAGACUGGUUCCCGUGGCGCGCUUCGUCGUUGUGCUCUCCGACGGCGAGGGAGGCACCGCGCUCGACGUCACCGUCAUGUGCGACGAGCGGUACAACCACGUCCGGGAGGUCAGCCUGCACGUCGAGGAUGCGGAUGGCGCUGGCGUCAAUGGCAGGGACGGGCUCGCCGCCGCCGCCGCCGCCAAGGCCACGCCCAGGCGACGCGGGUGCGGGGAGGACGCGACCAGGGAAAGGUACGAGGACUUCAUCAGGGGGAAGAGGGCGCGCAAGGAGUGGAAAGCCAGGCACGAGGGCAUCCUUGACCUCUGCUGCUCCGGUGUUGGCGCCGCCGCAUUCCUUGGCUUCUUGGUCAUGCUCAUGUUCCGGUGAGCCCUCGUCGUCCGCGUGGAGCCCCCUCUCUCCCAAGGCCCCGCGUCGCAGCGCGCGCUGGGGGAUCCUCGCCCGGCGUCGAACCCCAACGUGCCCAAGAUCUCGGAGCCGGCCUCGGUGCUCUGGGUGAAGCUUUGACCUGCACCGCCGACGACUGCGAGGAGCCCCAGUGGCUAGUUGCGCUCUGCAGCGCCAUGGGUAAGGAGGCCAUCCAAACACAUAGUACAUGCAACCAAACAAGUUCACCUCGGCUUGCUAAGGCCAAGCUUAGACUAGCCUGGCUUAGUUUAGCUAGCCAGGCUUGUAUUGAAAACGAACCAAACACACCCAUGUAAAACAAGUUGUCCAAUGCUAAAGGAGUAUCAUGAGAACUGUAGAGACUUAGGCGAUAUAGUAAGGUGGCGGAUACAUUUAGGUCAAGGAGUGAGCUACAAUAUGUUCAAGCACCUCUUCAUAUUCCUUUUUAUUUGUCAUUCUCACUUAUUGAAAAGUUAAACGUAGUCAACUUUGACCAAAUAUUUAUAUUCAUACUACAUAAUUAGUAUUAUUAGGUAAUUCAUUGAUCUAUUUUUAUAACAAACUUAUUUGGAGACAUAAAUGUUGUCCAUCUAGUCGAAGAAUUACCUUUCCUUUACUUAUCCAGUCGAUGAAUUACUUACUAUAAGAUCGUUAGAGAUGCUUAUCCAUGUCUAUCCAUAGCGAUCAUGUUUGCCAAAGAUACGAGGUAUAUUUCUUCUCCAGCUACUAUCUAGUUUCUUCUCCCGCUACUCUAAAAUAAAUCACUUAUCUACAGAAAUUACUUAUUAUAAGCUACAUAAAUAAAUAACUUAUUCGAAUAUUUCCCGAGUGUUUAAUCAAUCCCCAGGCUACUUUUCCCAUAAAGAUCAGAUGAGACCUGUAUGUCUUGCUUUGUACUUAGUGUUCGCAGUGGCUCUGGAAAUUUAAGAAAAUUUGACCAAUAUGUAACGACGGAUAAAAAAAGGGAGAGAGUGUAUUUGUCAUCAUGAAACAAGUUGUCCAGUAGAUUUUGGAAUGCCAAGAUAUAGGUAGAUCAUGUCAAUAUUACGUUUUCUUGUAUUUAUUCCAAAUAUAUCUUACGUUUUCGAGAGUGUUGGGCCAUUUCGACAGCCUGUAAUUUUUCUAACUCUAAACUCCAACAAACUUGAGAUUGGUGGGUGCUCCACCAAUUUGGUAGAUCUCGUAGGGGCAGAUUAAGCAAAUCCCUGGUGGAGCCAGAAGUGUUUGACUAGAAGAAUUAAAUCUAGAUCUAUUUUUUUGUGGAUCUUAAACUGGUGGAGCUCUACUAAACAGGCCAUAGUCUAUAGGGAUUCAGUAUGUAAAAAGGGCCCAUACGAAUGCCUUCUAAAGAUGACGGAAAAUUCUACUUUCAUGCUGCACCACGGGCAGGGCGCCACACUUGCACCUGUGACAUGACAGUGGCAAAUCCAAAGAGGCCAUCAUUCAGAAUGGCAUAGACAGAAAAGAUCAACAUUUGUGAGCAAAACAUGAAAUAAAGAGUACUAAAUUCCACAGCAACAUGAAAGGCAAACAUUACAAAGCUGUCUGUCUGUAGAAGAUUUGGAAUCCCUGAACUUUAACAAUUGAGUUCUUAUCCAUUGGGCUCUAAGUUGCAAUAGCAUUAUAGCUCUUGAAAGAAGGUUCAUGUCAGCUGAUCAAAUUGUGACAAAACAGCGAAAAGGAAUCUGAUCAAGAGAAUGCUGGAAACUUGGCACAGAUCAAGGAAAGAGUUAAACGAACACAUGCAGUCAAGCACUAGUUGAUUCAAGGAUCCAUUACCAUCCACCUUUUGAGUUGUAUGAUCUUCAGGCACUCUUUUUCCGAAACAUCAGCACGAGACUUGCAGAAUGAGUUUAUUAGAAGCAAAAAUUUACAUGGGGGAAAAAAACCAAAACCAAAACCAAAACCAAAAGAGCAGAAAAGGGGGCAAAGGGGCAGCUCGGAGUGAAAGGGAAGAGCCCCUCCACCAGCAACUACUAGCUAACCCUAAACCUGGAUAAACAGCUACAUACAGCCAAAACCACUCGAACCACCCAAGCUUGAUAAAAAACCCAACUCGAAAGGGCCGCCAAGAAUGCCCUAUGUUGUAUCAUUUGCAAGCAGAAUUGGUGCAAUGUUUCUGGGAGCUGAACCUUCAACCCAAGAGCAUAGCCAGAACGGUGCCAAAUCCCCUUUACCCGCUGACAAUUGUUGAAGCGAAAACCAAAUUCCUGUCCAUUUUAUCACAGCGCACAUACAUUUGUGCCCAAGCUCUCUCUCUAUUUUUCCAUUUUGUGCCACAACCAACAUAAUUGCAGUGCCCUAGCAAAAAUCUCAAGGUCUUUAAUUCCCAAGCCACCUUUCUCCCUGGAGAGAGUUACAAAUUCCCAUUUGAACAGGCAGUGACCGCCACUGACAUGCUACGGAUCAUCCCCCUUGUCCUUCUUCAGACAUUCUAAACAAUGAAGUUCUACAGGCACUAUUCAGACAUCGUUUUACCUUGCCCUUCUUCAGAAAUAGUUGAACAGGACAACUCUCAACUUGUUCUACCUACUAACUGUGGGUUGAGUACAACCCGAUUCAACCACAGAGUAUUCGUCCAUCAUGAGGACAUCAUUAAAUAUUGCCUACUGGCAAUGAGAUAAUAGCCAUUUUUGUCUACAUGACUUAUAAUGGAAAAUGAUACAGAAGCGGGGAAAAAAAAUCAAAAUAAAGUAAAGAAAAGGUUAUACUUUUGCAAAUCAUAAGAAAAGAAAUCUUUGGAACUUCCAGUACAAGCAUGCAUAAAGGUCACAGAGCUUUGAUAAGCUCUUAUGAUUAUUCCAUACAUUGUUAUUUUCAGGGUAACUGAAUAUUUAAAAAGCAGCCCUAAAAGGAGCAUUAGCUGGUUAAUACGCUACUUGAUUUUAGCAAAGAAAGAACCUUAUUAGGUUAGGUCUGUUUAACAUAGCUUCAGCAGUAGUAAAUACACAAAAUUGUUUGGGCCAAAUUGUUUAUACCUCGUCUUGAAGAUCAGUUCAGACAUCUUUUCCCAAUCAUGCAAGAAUGCAAAUAUCUUGAAUGACCUAGCGCCCACUUUUUCUCUCUUAGUACAAACACAAACCAAUGUGUUAUUGCACUAAACAAUUACUAAUUCUCGCUAACUUUUAUGCUCACACGCAACUCCAUGAAAUGUGUCUUGCACAUAUUAAAUUCUAAGAGAUCUAUGGCAAAGAAUCUAGGACCCUGAAUUUCUCAAUAAGACCAAUUAUGUUCAUUCUUCAUUGGAUAAUGCACAUAAGGCAUAACAUAUGCGCCCUCUAAAACGAAACACUACCGACACUGAUCUUAUCCAAUAAAACACUAUUUGCCUUCCAUGGAAGUUUCAUCAUGCUCAAAGUAUCAAACCUUGAAUAACCUCAUAGUCCUAGCCUCCUAGGUCCAAACUCAGGGCAAAACAAUUACCUUCUUUUCUGUUCAGGAAAUGAACAAAAUGUUAUUCAGGAUUACUAUUACCAAUGGAAGUAAUUUUGCGAGCCUGGUAAAAGCAAAGAGAUCUAUAAUAACUUCUGACAACAUCCCAUUACAAAUGGAUUCAGUAAAUGUGCCACACAUCACAUAAUUAUGUUGAGGCAAUGCAAGCCGCAGUGAUCACUAGCUCGAGUUUUUUCAAGGAAACAGGCGAACCUACAGAUCUUUCCAACAGCACUUCCUGAAUUGAGGAAUCAAUUGAAGACAACAUAAACAGGGCGUGCAAUCGGAGAAGCUGGAACCUACUAGAUCAGAAGUAGAGCCCCAUCUGGACGUUCUUCUCCACGAACCCGCACUUGGCGUAGAACCCCUUCAGCUCCGUUGUGCAGUUGAGUAUAACCUUGUAGCACCCUCUCCCCCUAGCGUGCUCCACCAGGCGGUGCACGAGCCGCUCCCCGAGCCCCCGACCCCUCGCGGCGGCGUCCACCACCACGUCCUCCAAGUGGCCCACAAGGCCGCAGCGCCGGAUGAACUUGCGCUCCACCAGCAUCGCCCCCGCGCCGGCGAGGCGGCCCGUCGCAGCGUCCUCCGCUACGAGGAUCAGGUGAUCGGCGCCCAGCGCAGCGAGCUCAGCGAAGCGCGCGUGGAAGGCUUCCUCUGAGAGGGGCGGAGAGGGGGAGAGCUGCGCGAGAAGGUCGCAGAACCCCUUGGAGAGGUCGGCGAGCUCGAGCGGCCGGAUGAUGUACGCAUCCCCUAUGGCCUCCACUCCGGCGCCGGCGCCGGCGCCGGCCCCGCCCUCCGCAAGAGCGUGCGGCUGUUCCAUGUGUCUACAGCAGGAGGCGGCUCUCAGAUGGAGAUCACAAAUACGGGCCUCACUCUCGAUCCAAUAAGCUAAUGGGCCAGAAGAUGGACCGUUUUUCAACUGGGCCCAGAUAUUUGCCGAUGAGAUCCAAAACUAACCGUUCAAAAUAUAUAUUUUUAUUUUUUUUGAAAACCGAAAAGAAAAAGAAAUUGAAAGCCCCGCCCAAACGCACAAAAAAUCCCCAACUCAAAUUCCAAUCCCCAAACGGCCAAACCCUCUGCAGUUCCUCGCCAUGGUCGCCGCCGCCGUCGGCGAGGCGACCCCGCCCCCGGACCUCCCACCCUCCCGCGUGUCCGUCUCCUCGCCCUCGCCUUACCCCCGGCGCCGCUGUGCCCUCGCGAGCCGCUUCCGGGAGCCGGCGGCCCCGCGGCGGCACGCGUGGGUUUCCCUCCAGGGUCGCCUUAUCGGGGCGGAGGAGGCGUCGUCUGCCGCUUCGGCCGCACCGGGCCUUCCCCCGGAUGAGGCGGUAGCGUGGGAGCUCUUCAGCCCGCUCCAUCGCGUGCUUCUCGUCGCCACUGUCGCCGCCGCAUCCUCCCGGUCCCACGCCGCCCGCCGCAUCGAGCAGCUACAGCGGUCGAUUCAUCUUAGGGUUUGGUUCUGUUGAUCUCCUCGAUCGUAUUCGUAUCUAUGUCUUGAUCGAGUAUUUGGUGACCAUUCCGCGAAUAAUGUUUUUGGUGUGCAGGAUGAGGUGCUGGAAGGCAUGCAGCAGAAGCUGGAUGAUCUGCUCGUCGAGAUGAGCUCCCUACAACAGCAGUACGUCAAGUGUGACAGUUACAUUUCCGAUGAAAGGGAGACGAAUGAGAUUGCAGGCAGCAAGAAUAUAGGAGACGGAGAGGGAUCUAGAUGCUGUGUGUGCACGAAGCUAGAGGUUGCUGCCACUCCUCAGAAGGCAAAGGUAGCACUUGUUGACUUAUUGCUUUUUUUCCUUAAAAGAAGAGGAUCUGCUUACUGAAGAAUAUGCACCAAUUGUGCAGGAUCUCUGUGGCACAGACGAUGCUAGGAGUGAUAUGGUUGAUAGGUCUAGUCUAUCUUCCAUGGAUCAUGAAGAGCGCCGUAUGUCAGACCUCUCAGACUUCUGCUGGAGUGUUGUGUCAUCAGUUGAUAACCAGAUAAAUGGGGAUAAUCAGGUAGAUAUGCUUGUACUUUUCUGGGGCAAAAGCAUUUUCUGUUGUUUUGUGUGAAAUUUUAUUUCCACGCAUCUAUUGUUCACAAUACUUGAUUGUAUCCAUGUUACAAUUGUCGACAAUGCAUUCCUUUUGGCCUUUUGAAGUUACUAUAGGGGUUCUUUGAUCAAAGUUUACACACUCUUUUUCUUAUCCUCAAUUGUGUUGUGUGGUGAUAGCAUUCUAAAUUGUGUCCAGCUAAGUUUCCUGGCAGCAGAUCAACAACUGUACAAUCUUCAGAAGGAAUGUGAAGAGAAAGAUGCAACCAUCAAGGAACUAGCUGCAGCGGCACAUGCAUCUAGUACUGCUGAUGCGAAGGUUAGAAUCUCAAUACUUGUCAUUGCCAACAUUUCAGGUAAUAUACUAUUGGAGUAUUGAUAAACUCUUCCUGUUUGGCAUGUAGAGAAUUGCAGAGCUGCAGGAAGUUCUUAAAAGGAAAAACAUGGUGAUCUCUAAAUUGAAGAAAGACAUGGCUGCUCUGAAGCAUAUGGUAAGCAGUUCUUCCAAGUCCUUACUGAUCCUUUGUGGUCAGGCAAAGCGUUGACUUCUUAUGUUCUUUGAUAGGUUGUUGAACUGUCAAGGGCUAAAAGGGCAUCUUCUGCCAUAAGUCCAAUCUGUACUGAUCUGCCAGUGAUGUCAAACAAUGUUCUGUAUGAUAUGAGCAGUUCUAGCUCAUCAUCAGAUUCUGAAUCUCCGGUUGCACUAAGAGAAUACCUUGAUGAGCAUCUUGUUGAUAGCACUCCAGGAGAUGGUUAUUCCAUAGGGAGUUGUGAAGUAUCUACAGCAAAAGCAUCUCUUCCAUCAAAAACUUCAUUCGUUCACAAGCUGCGCUCAACUAGCCCUUUAAAAGAGAUUCACAUUAACCCAAAAGUAGAAACAAAUUCAUUUGGCAGACAGAAGCAACCUACAUCCUCUAAUGGAGAUUUUAAAAGGAUUAGACGACAAAGUCAGCAAGAUCCAAGGAAUAAAGCUACAAGAAGAUGGAUGUAGAGUUUAUCCAUCUAGAAGUCAUUACCUGAUUGGUAAACUUGUCACUUGUGCAUUAAAUUGACCUGCUGUUCUUAUCCUAGCAAAGCUAUGAAACAUGUUUGGUUCAGUUAAUCUCUGUAUAAGUACUCUAAUGUUUACUUGUUUUAUCCUGCUUCUCUUCCUUCAUCAUUGCCAUUGCGGCUUCUAUUCAUCACUAGUUUAAUCAAAUUAAACUUCUUUUUAAAAGAAAAAGGAACAUGAUAAACAUAAAUUAAUCCAUGGAGAUUCUACUUUCAGGAAAUACUGAAAUAAUAGUUUACUAUGUCCUGAGGUUCAAUUCCCUGAUACACUAUAGAUAUUGUUGUUCCUGUUGCUUCUCCCCCAAAUCAAUUAGAUGUUUCCCAAAUACUUUAGGAUGCCACAUAUGUAGAUGGAUUGUGCAUGCACCUUUUUUGUUUAUUAGGGAAUUAUUUUAUAUUUCAGUUAGUGAUGCUUGCUACUUGAUAUACUGAUAUAAUUCCAAAGUGUUUAUUAUAUAUUAUUAUCAUUAUGCUGUAACAGUCAGAAGUUCAAUUCCCUCCUUGCCGCAGCAAAUGCAACAUCACUUUUUUUUAAUUGCGUUACAACAAUGACCAAUCUAUUCUCUUUCCAUUUCAGAUUUGGAGAAGAUGAAGUUGAUAGAUGUUAUCGAUUUUGGUUGAUGAACUUUCCAUGAUGCUUCCUGGCUUCCAGUUCUUUCUGGUAAAACAGUAUGGCUGCAACUUGCAUAUAUUGUAGUCUUUAAUAAAGUUGCCUGUCACUAGAUGGACCAUAUCGGUACCUUACCUAGCUUCAGCGUUGGAAUCUUCUCCGAUGUAUAGAAUGUCAUUUGGAUCUCAACAGUCAACAUCUCCCUUCUCUUGAAUGUAUCGGUUAAAUUUAAUAGUGGACUAAUUUAUCCUGCAGAAUCUUGGAAUUCGUACUUGCGAAAUAGUUUACCAUUCUUUUGAUUGUUUAGAGUGCCUCUGAAGUGCCGCCCUACGGGGUUCCUGCUUCCCUGUCAGCAGAUCACCAUCUUACAGAUGUUAAACACAGUUGGACACAGUCGACACAAAAGCAUGUAGUUUAUUUCUCCAUGCAUAAUGGGCGUAGCUAGGGUUUCAAGGCUAAGACGGUCCAACUUCACAUAAUUUAUUUUAUUUAAAACUGAAAAUUAAACAUGCCAGCAUACAAGUAUAAGAAUCGCUGAAGCACAAUACAAACAAAUUUAAAGGCCUGAAGGACAUCUUAAAGUGAGAAGUCAAGUCUGAAAUUUGUUUAAAGCAGCUUACAUGCCUACAAUAUCGACGUACCUACAAGGCCUUAGAUCAAAAUGCUAGGAAAUGUGCACAAGGGGUAAUUUGUUCAUUGUGUGGCUUCGUCACCACUAUAUGUUCUAUGUCACAAGGGUUAAUUUGUUAAGCAGUGCAAUUUUUGAAUCUCCUUUGAUGCAAGACGCAAGAGAUAGGAAAUGUGCACUUCAUCAAGCAGCUGCCCUGGAUUUUUGACGUUGUCAUGAACUUAUACUCGCUGCUAUGAAAGCACGCGCUAUUCUUGUGAAUAUCUGGAUCGCUGUAUCUUGAUAGCUUUGACAAGCUUGAAGUUCACGUUGUCCAGAGCCGUCGGGUGAGGUUGGGAGCAAUUCUCUCAAUGGAAACCUUUGGUAGAAGCUUCGGGGGUGUUUGUGACUGCUCCGCUCCAUGUUUUUUAGCUUCGCUCCACGUUUUUUAGCCAAACAGUUUCAGCUACACGCACUCAGUUCGAGGAAAAAAGGUAGAGUUGUGAGAGCACCACUCCACAAACUCCAGUUUUUUGUGGAGCUGCUCCACAGUGGAGUUUGUGGAGCAGUCCCAAACACCCCCUAUAAGGCCUGUUUGCUGUUUUUUUCUGGAGCAAAGAGAGACUUUAUUAGCUAGCCACAGGCGGAUUACAAUCGGCAUUAAGGAAGGUCCAAACACACGCAGAGGCUUGUCCUGAUCAGGCUGCAAAAUGUUAACUACGUCUAGCUAGUAACGCUUAAACAUUUGUUACUUGAUUGCAUUGUCUCUCUACUUGGGUACACUUCCAAUCACUUAUCAGCCGAACCAAACCUCUCGUCUCAUUGGGCCAAUCUAUGGCCUGUCCACCUGUUUGCAGCUUGUACGGAUCCUGGCAGAAUUUCAGCGUUAGAAACUAGAGGCAGGAUCGGUGAUUCAUAUGUAUGGAACUACGGAUCCGAACAAUGAACGCGAGAUGGAAACAGAACUCUUGGACGGUUGGACCAGCGCUCUGCCGGCAAUUGCUAUUUUUUUAGUAUAUAUGUAAAAAAACAAAGCAAAAAGAGGUCUUUGUACGAGCAUGAGCACGAGUUGAUGACUGACCUGAAAAGGACCCGAGAUGGUAACAAAAUGGGGACUGCUAGCGCCCGGACGUCCGGCGCCAGCAACGCGUUCGGACGCCGAACCCACCACCCGCGCCACCAUAAAGAAGAAAAAAAAGAAAAGAAAACUUCACCCACCCCUAACCAACUCACCCCUUCCCCACUCGCCCCGCACAGAAGAUUGUUUCUUGUCCGCUCCCUUCCAACCAACUCGCCCCUGCGCCACUCGCCCACACGGAGGACCGCCCUUCGUCCGUUCCCUGUGCAAGGAGUCCGUGCCCCACCCCACGAGCAUGGGAUCCGCCCCGCCCCUCGCCUUGUCAGCCCCUAGUAAAUCUACCUGCCGCUAACUCGUCCCUACAGCCUGCCUCUAUACUUGACGCUGCAACACAAAUAUGCAUGAUAGUGCAACAACACAUGACAUACUGCUACAACAAACAAGUUGAAGUAGCCGAAACAUCAUAAACAUAGUAUUACAACAAACAUCGAACAAUUGUUGCAACAAUAUGCAACAACUAAUACAACAGUGCAGAUUGAAGUAUUGGUUAGAACAGCUGAAACACCAUAAACAUAGUAUUACAACAACAACGAACGACUGUUGCAACAACAGGUAACAACUAAUACAAUAGCAUAGGUUGAAGCAUUGGAUGGAGCAACCGAAACACCAUGGACAUAGUAUUACAACAACAUUGAACAAUUGUUGCAACAAUAUGCAACAACUAAUACAACAGUGCAGAUUGAAGUAUUGGUUAGAACAGCUGAAACACCAUAAACAUAGUAUUACAACAACAACAACGAACGGCUGUUGCAACAACAGGUAACAACUAAUACAAUAGCAUAGGUUGAAGCAUUGGAUGGAGCAACCGAAACACUAUGGACAUAGUAUUACAACAAUAUCGAACAAUUGUUGCAACAAUAUGCAACAACUAAUACAACAGUGCAGAUUGAAGCAUUGGAUGGAGCAACUGAAACACCAUGGACAUAGUACUACAACAACAACAAACAACUGUUGUAACAACAUGAAACAAACUACUACAACAUACAGAUUGAAGCAACUGAAACAUCUCAAAAACACAAUACUGAAACAACGACUGAAACCUACUGCAACGUCUAGAAAGAACCAUUGCAACAAUGACAAAAUCUGAAGCUGAGAGCUUGCCGAAAAUCCUAUCAUACUGCAACAUCACCUGAAAAACUGAAAAUAACCACCAUUACAACACGCGAGAGCACUGAAUCCCAAGAGCUCGCCGGAACCCUAGCCAACACAUCUCAUAGAUCUAGACCCAGAGGAAGAGGAGAAGGAGGAGGAGCAGAGGAGGGCCUAGAUCCAGAUCCACAAAAGAGGAGGGAGGGAAAAGGAAGAGGGAGGCCUCAGAUCCAAAUCUCUCCCCACCUACCUCGUCGGAGCCGCGCCGUUCUCUCCAUCUCCGGAUGCAUGGAGGUUAUGAGAGCGAGGGAAAAAGGGCAGGGAGAAAGGGAGCUGCGCCGCUCACUGGAUGCUACCACCGUCACGCUCUACUCCGGUGGCUUCGAGGGCGCGUGGGUCGCAGCGAGGAGGGAGGGAGGAGCGGCUCGCCAUUGGCGCGGCAGGAAGUGCGGACGCAUGGUGGGAGCAACGAGGAGGGAGGGAGGAGCGGCUCGCCAUUGGCGCGGCAGGAAGUGCAGCCGCAUGGUGAGAGCGGCGGGGCGGCAGCGAGACGAGAGAAAAGAGUGGAGAGGAAAAAAAUGAGUGGAUAAGAAGGCAUAGAGGAGGAGCGAAAUGAGUGGACAGCAACGUCCGGACUGACGGACGUCUUAAGUAUAUCAUUACCGUAACAAAAUCCAUCCACGAGGCGCUGCAUCGCUCACGUAAACUGCUCACCGUUAAGGUCGCGGUCCACACGCCCUGGGCCCCGCAUGGCAGUCGGGUGAUGCGCGCGCGGGGUCGGCUCGUCAGUCGUCACCACCCCAUCAGAUGGAAGCCGGCGCGCGCCACUGGAUGCCACGCGAUUGGUCGGGUUCGUCCACCGUGACGGGCUGAUGGCGAUUUGCCCGCCGCCCCCCUUCUUUAAACCUCCCGCACCGCGCAGCGAGAAAAGAGAGGCUCCCCAGCGGUCCGCCAGCGCCCGUGGAGGUGGAGGCCGUGGACCGGAGCGAAUAGAGUACGAGGAGACGAGAGGAGACCGAGGAAUCUCGGAGCGUGCGCGCUGCCGAUCGAUCGGGGGGAGGCUCGAACCCCGCCGCGCCGGCGGCGGCUCCGAGAUCCCGCCACCACGAGCGGAAUCCAGCCUCACUGCCUCAGGUGUGUCACGGGCGGCACGUGGGGGCGCGUCCCCGGCUCGAUAAAAGCAACCGAGCCGAGGGCGAUCCUUUCUCUGGGGUCUGGACUCUGCAGGGGAGGGGAGGAGCAGAGCAGAGCCGGGAGCCAUGGCGGAGGUGGGGGAAGGGAGUAGGAGGCGGCGGGAGGCGGAGGCGCCGGUGGUGGCGCUGGAGUGCGUGGCGGGGAGCUCCAAGGCGGAGGAGUGGGGCGGCGGCGCGGGCGUCGUGCAGGAGGGGGACGUGGUGGAGGCCGUCCGCGUGGGCCGCGGCUCCGUCGGCGGCGGCGCGGCGGCGCUGGAGCUCGAGGCGCCGUUCAAGGGCGGGCGCGCCGGGCUGCACAAGGCGCUGCACGCGGCGUUCAAGCGCGGGGACACCUCCGUGGAGGUGCGCGUGCGGGGCGGCAGGGAGCUGCAGGCCUGCAUCGUGCCGCACCAUGCCAGUCCCGGCGCCGGCGGCGGAGGCGGCAGGAAGCAGUACGUUCUGCGGUCGCUGCACGACCCCAACUACUUGCUCGGAUUCGUCGACCGCCUCGAGAGCGAGUGCCUCGUCUUACAAGGUAACCGACCACGGACAGCUCUGUUCACCGCUCUGAGCAACUGCUCUGCUUCUUCAUAGUUGCUGCAUCUGACAUACAUGAGUGAGAGGAGAGGGGCGCCUCGGCCAUGGCGAUCGCUGGUCGCUGGCACCUGUGCCUCUGCGGCUACGGUACGGCGCCUGGAGCUAGAAGCGCAAGAGGGCAUGGGACUAUGGGAGUCAUGCCAUCAGCCGCGUCCAUCUCUCUCGUCCUCGUCCCCUUCCAUUCUCUCUCGCCUUGACGCCUCCUCUUGUGAAGAAUGCUCUGCCUACUUGCCUAGUGGUCGUGUGGUGGGCCGGUGGCGCCGUGUCUGCUUCAAUUAAGCACAGUAUUGCAUGUCUGAUGCUCCGCACGCGUCACAUGUGAAAAGACAAACUUCUUGUUAAAUCUGAAGUUUAAAUUGGACUGAGAAUAUUCUGAUAAGCUGAUCUUUCAGUGCAUUGUUCCAGGCGUUAUUCCUUUUAUAAAUGCUGAUAUGAGCUAUUUUCCUCUCCUUUUCACUCAUCGAGAGAAAACUGAGGAGGUCAUGGCCAUCAGUGUCAGAUUGACAGCUACAUAACAAAAUUAAACGUAGCUAAAGGAUAGAAGUAUAUGUGAACUACGGAGAAUGGAAGAAAGACGUUUCCGAAAGAAUGUCAUGUGCGUUGCUGUCAUAGAAAUAGGUCGUCGUCUAAAUGUUAGUCAAUUCUUUCUUGUAUACAUUGUAAUUGUCACUCGUUUUCUCGUCUCAUCUGGGGUCUACUCCACUAUUGACUUCACCUAAAGGUCGUUAGACUUGCUUAUUAUUUUAUGGCUUCUUGAUGAUUUUUUCCCCCAUUUUUAUUUUCUCCUGGAAAAAGAAAGUUUGCAUCUACAUCUACAUCAGACAUGAAUUUGGGACGUAAGAGUUGAGAAGGAGAACAACUAAGAACAUGUUCAACAGAUUACUUAUGACAUCCCUGAUACCAAAAAAUUUCAAUAUAAGGGAUUGUGGUUACUCCAACAAAUUACUCAUCAUAUCCCCGAUAAAAAGUAUAAGUACUCCCUCUAUCCCUAAAUAAAUAGAUUACUAGAGUUGUAUAAGUCAAUUUUUUUUAAACUGACCGAAUUUCUAGCAAAACCCGUAAAGAUUUACAACACCAAAUUAGUAGCGUUAGAUAUACCAUCGAAUAUAUUUUCAUAAUGUGCUAAUUUUAUGUCAUAGAUUUUGUUACUCUUUCCUACGAGGUUAGUCAAACUUAAGAUAAUUUGAUUUGCACGGAUUCUAGAAAUUGAUUUAUUUGGGGACAGAGGGAGUAGUUCUCUCUCAAAUGUAGAAGAUCCAGAGAAAAAGAAAAAGAUACAUUACUAAUAAUAGGAGAUCGCCUAUAUAGACUUUUAGGAGACGGAGGAUCAAUAAUCUGUUGGAGAUGCUCUAAAUGGUUUCAAACUAAUCAAUCCUCAUUUUCAUUUGAUCUGGAAUCAGAAAUUUUGUGACUUGCAUCUGUAUAAAGUUGAUACCUGUGAGCAUUUUCAUGUAAUAAUGCCUAGCUGGUCUUCUUACAUGCUUCUAACUGCCUUUCUGGCUUGCUUCUGAAUUCUGAUCACAGAUGAUGAUGCUUUAAUUCCUGAGUACAUUUCACAUACAAUAUGAGCAUGCUUGUUUGUUUGUGGACUUUGAACUUUGUACAUAAAUGAAAUUUACAUCCCUCUCUCCAUGAAGGAAUGAGGAGCACAAGAGUUGCAUCAGCCUUGAGCAAGGCACAACUCCAGGAUGGCUAUGUCGCAUACCCAUGGGACAAGAAGAUGCGUGACAUGCUGCGCGCGCCCAACUCCAGCUGCUACUUCUCGAUACUUGUCCUGCCCAAGGCUCAGGACAACAAUGCUUGUCACUACGAGUCCUUCGAUGAUACCCUGGCGCAUGCCAAUGCAUGGUUCUGCUCUUCGCAGGCCUCAGGGAUACCCAUCGAUCUCAUGAAUGUGCAGAGUGAAGCUCUUCUCACCAAGGUGCAGACACAAGCUCUUUAAUUCAGACAUCUCACAGUGUAGAUUGGCUGUUACUACAAUGAGACUUCAAUUAGUUUAAAUCUUCUGACAGUAUUUAGAUAACUAAGCCUAGAAACUGGGCAAUCAACUUGUUCAAAUCCUCUCACAUCGUUUCAUAUUUGAAAUAUUCUACUCACAGUUUUGUCUUUGCACUGUCACAUUCUGAAACAUGCAGAUAUCUGGAGAGACAGCGUCUGCAUCUGUGAAUUCAAGUUCAUUAUCUGAUCUGUCGAACGUCACUAAUGCGACGCUCUACGGUUUUGAAGAUUACCAUGGAGUGGAUAUUGGUGUGGUAAAGGCAGCACGGCUUUGGUAUAGCUGCAUAGGAGGAGAAUUGGAGCUGGAAAUCCCACUUGUAGAAGGUGACACAAGGCUUGGCUUUGCCAUCAGCCGAACUGAAGAGGUCUUGUUUUUACUUUUUACUAGCACUCUACACAGUACUCACAGUUACUAUGUACUACUUCAGAAGUUAGAAUCAUCCAUGGAAUCUGCUGACAUGGUUGUUUUUGUUAGGGUUUUAUCUACAUAUCAUCUGUAGUCGAAGAUGACAAGGAAAGUGAGGCACCAUCAACGCGGUCUGGGCUCUGUAAUCUGUUCAACCGAGCCAAGGAGGCAUCAAAACUGCUGAUCAUCUCAAGGGUGUCCAAUGAGAAGGUCCUACCUUGGAUGAUCUCCAGUUCAGGGACAGUCCGUUGCUUCGACACCAUUUCCCUCAGCCAGAAACUUUCCUUGCACCGCCUCGCAGUGCGCCCCAUCCAGCUGCAUUUGCUUGCUUGGGAGAAACCUUCUGGUCCAGCAGAGAGGAUCAUGUGUUCACCGAAACUACCCCCGCCUUCAACUCUGCUCCCUCAGCUACAGCAAAACCUUGUGCAGACCAUUGAAGGUAGAGUAGAUGUUGAAGAGGAUUAUGUUGUGGAUUUGUCGUUUCGGCUCGAUGAUAUCUCAUUUGAGAGCAGCUGGGUAUGAUUCCAGGUUUCAGUUUUGUCAUAUAGGCAUCUGAUGUGCAUAUGUAUGUUUUGAUCUUGUCUAGCUCUCUACGGUAGUGACGCUCAGUUUUGAGCUGCAGAAAUGCAGAUGCUGGCUUGAAUAUUUAUUGGUUUCUAGCCAAAUCAGGGAUGAGGCUUUCAUGACAUCUGGAAAAAAUAUCUUGUAAUGGAACAUUUUUUGUUGAUCAUAACAUAACAAUGGAGUAAUCCAAAUCUGUUGGUCAAAGAAAGCUCAGACUUCACUUUGUUAGUUGUUUACUCCAAAUCUACAGCAAACAUGCGGUUCAGCACCUGAAGUUUCUGCACCUUUGGCUCAAGACACAAAAAAAAGAAGAAGAUGUUACACGUGGAAGUUGACACCACACUAGCUGUUGGUCAAAGAAAACUCCAGAAUUAUGCUGCUGAUCUGGUUGUGAGGACCCUGCACUUAAGCACUCUAUCUUGCACGUAAAACCCCGGCAUCACCAUGAUCUUCACUUGACAAGGACUCUGCACCUGCUGCCUGUCAUGUAGGAUGUCUUCCAUGUACAUCUCAUCAAAUGCGCGGCCGUCUUGGAUGCGCAGGAUCGUCAGCGGCGGGCCGAAGGAGAAGGCCAGCAGGUGGAGCAGCCAGACGCACUUGGCGGCGACGAAGAAGCACUGCAGCAGCUGCUCGGGCCACGGCCGUGACCAGCCAAGCGUCGCCACCACGCUGCUCAUCUUGCGGUCGCAGAAACGGCUGAAGUCCUCGCUGUAGUACUUGGUGCCCUUCCGCAGAACCUCGUUCCAGCUAAGGUUGCGCAGCGCCACGAAGGCGGCGAAGCUCUGCCGGCGGUCCUUCGCCGGGUCGAGGCACCUCGGCGAGCCGUUCCGCUGGAACGCCGGGUUCUCGAAGUCCUGGAACAUGGCCUGGUUCAUGAUCGCCUCGAGAUGGUACAGCACGGCCUUGGAGCAGUGCUUGGCAGCGCUGCCGAUGAGCGCGAGCUGGUACGGCCGCAGGAGCAGGUUCAGCUUGUCGGACAGGCCGUCGCUGGAUUCUUCGUUCACCUGCUGGAUCAGCGCCUUGCAGAGCUGCUUCACAGAGAGCCGCGCCUCCGACGCGAUCUGCAAGAAGCCUUCCACCAUCACCUCGUGGCUCACCGGCAUCGGGAGCUCUCGGCUUGCUUCGAUUGAUCUCGUCGAUCUCCGGGAGACGGACGGCGAGUUGGUGGCCUGCCGCAGCGCCUUCUUGAGCUCCGAGCAGUACGCUUCCACGCUCACGAGCUUGGUGGCCAGCUCCCCCAGCGACGACCUCACCUCGGCAGCUUCGCGCAGCGCGGCGUCCCGGUGCGCGAUGGCCUCCGCGAGCUCUUUCUUGAGGGACUCGAGAGACAGCGCCCCCCACUCGGUCAGCAGCUGCGGCAUGUUGCCGCGCUCGAUGGCCGUCGGCGACGUCGUCAUCUCCGGCGGCUUGGCUUUCUUCCUCGACUUGGGGAAGAGCCACGACAGGAUCUGCGGCGGCCCUCUUUGCUUCGUCCGCGAGUGCGCCGACGGGGGCGGCACCCUGGUGCUGCUGAUCGUGGCGGGCCGGAACGCGUUGCCGCACGUCGCCGGCGGCAGCUUGAGCUCGGAAGUGUAGGCCGCCCGGCCGGUGGACGCGAGGAAGCGGUCGGCCGACGGCGCCGAGUGCAUGAAGGCGGGGUGGAUCUUGUACGCCGCCGUGCCUCUGUUCCGAAGACGGUGGUCGUUGGAGGAAGGGAAGAGCACCUCGCUGUUGGAGGACGAGAAGGCGUGGAGGCCGUCGUAGUCGGACAUGGCCGCGUCGUCGCUUCCGCCGUGAUCCAGGGCGACCCCGGUCCAGUUCUCCGACCGGCUUCGGUUGUCCUGGCAAAUGUGGUUCAACGCAACCGCAGCGACGCGCUCCUCAUCGUCGUAGGCCUGGCCGCGCCCGGUAAGCAAGCAAAGCAAGAGACGCCAUUGUCAGUUACAGUGAGCUCGAGGCCUUGAUCCAUAUAGGUAACACGUGUUAAGAAGCUAGCUCACCGGAGUGAACACGGGGUACUCCUCGUCUGCCGCUGCUCUGGAGUGCGCGGGGGACGCGACCGGCGGGAGGCGGAUGAUGGCCGGGCUGCGGCUGGCGCCGACGCCGGCGCGGGCAUUGGGCGCGCCGCGCUGGAGGAGGGCGGCGUGGAGCUGGCGCAGCUCGACGGCCUUGGCGAUGGCCGCCUGCACGUCCUGGCGCGAGGGCGGGGCGUGGGACGGCGAAGGCGCCGCGGGGUCAAAGGCCUCGGCGCCGGCGGCGACCACGGCCAUGGUGGCGACGGUGGAGGGUCAAAGGCUGCGUGCACCUUUGGCUCCAAAGCUGCUGCUGCUGCUGCUGGGAAGUGGGAAGUGAGGGGCUUCUUUGCCUUCUUGGGAAUCUGAAACGUAGUGGGAGCGGAGGCGGAGCAGGGCGAGAACCGAGAAGGAGGCAAGGAAUGGGCGAACUGUAGCCGAGGCCGAGGCCGAGGGAGGGAGGGAGGUGGGUGAAGUGUGAAGUGGUGGAGGGAACAGCACAUUUGAAGAGAUUGACAGUGCCUGCAGCGCCAUUUGGGCAAUUUUUUUAAAAAUCCCUUCUCUCUGGACUACGGCUUGCUGUUGUUGCGAGGUCCGUGUGAUAAGCUUCUCUAGUCUCGCAAGGACAACACAAUUCUUUUAUAUUUGAACAGUAUGUAAAAAAUGGAACUUUUUUGGUGAUUACACAAAGUAACCUUAUGUUUAUGGUUAGUACUUUCAUAAUUGUGGAGUAGUAGUUGGCAGUUGGGGGUGGGCCAAGCAGUGGUCAUGCUUCUCUCUUCCGCAUUGGUUAUAUGACCAGCUGAGUUUAAUGAACCUGCUGUUGUGAUGCCCUGCAGGCUCUCCUGCUCGGCUGCCUGCCUGCCUGCCUGGCUGUUUUGCUGAUGCAGGUGGUCAGCCAAUUACGGUUGCUGUUUUGCUGAUGCAGGUGGUCAGCUCUCGAUCGUCUUAAGUAAAAGUUUGGAUUACAAAGUAGUACUAGCAAAGUACUCUUGCUUACAAAAUCUGAAAGACAUUUGCUUGAAUCUGGCACCUGGUGAAGCUCACCAUUUGAGAGGCCCCUGCAAAUUGCAACCACACAUGCCACACUGCAGAGCGUAUUGCAAUUCUGUUCUCCAUGAUAAAACAAGUCCGUUUGACAGACAUUCUUAUUGUUCCUCAAAGACCUCCAAAGUUCACUUUUCAUGAUUUGUCUAAUAGAUGGGGAGGAUCUCAAGGAGCCUGUUCUCCCUGGCACUGUCUUGAGCCUAGUGAUUAGUCAAAAAGGUUAACUGCAAAAGGUUAACAAGAUCCCAAGCCAUCAGUAAGUUAAAUUAGAACCUUGGAACAUGGUAACUAGUUCAUAGCAGAUGCGAAGCUCAAGGUCCUAGCCUCAAAGCUAGCUGCAUGCUUGGCCAAUAAUGCAAAAGAAGUUUCACGAAUCACAAGUCCGGAUAUGUUAAGGUGGUAGGUUAAUCAUGGUUACCUUUAGUCCUUUACCACCAAUGCAAAAUAAAAUCUGAGCAGUUGUAGACAAACAUUAUCAGAGAUCACCGAUUUGGAAAAGCUCGGUUAGAGACAACAGAACCAACAAAAAGGUGAUCUAUCCUUUCUCUUUCUCUUUGCAGCUUUGAGGGCUUUUCCAAUGGCCCCUAGCUAGAUGGAUCUUACUAGCGCUAGCGUGCAUGGGGAGAGCAGGAUGGGACGUCUCUUUGUCAAGCCACACAGCCCAAAGGGCACUGGCACUGGUAAAGGCUAGAGCCUAUAGGCCCUAAACCAAACAAUUUGGGUGUAAAUUGUGGUGCAGUGAACUUUCAUGCUUAAUUGCUUGCUAUAUUUGCAUGGAUUUAUGCAUGCUGUCCACCAUUUCCUUUCGUUUUAACUACUCCUAUUUUUCUUAUUUAAGUUGUUGAGUAGUAAGCUUUUUGCCCUUAACUGCAGAACUUUUUUUUUCAAUAGACAUCUACUAGCACUGAUUUUGCCCUUAACUGUAGAGAUAAGCCUUAGGGGCUAUAAACCAAAGACCUUUGAGCGUAUCUUACCCUUUUCAUACUUUGAUGAUGUGGACCUCUUUCCUUGUCUUUAUGUCCCUUUUUUUAUCUCCAUUUUGCUCUUUCUUUAAAGGUAUAUGCAAAGAGGGCCAGUGAGCAAGAAAACGAAACCAGGUAGGCAGCCCCAGCUAAGGAUGCCUUUGUCCGGGCACAAAGCAAGGAACAAAAUAACAGCUUGGAGAGCAGGCAGAGCCAUGCGGUGCUGCAGAAUGUUCAGAGCAUUCAUAUACCUGGCUGGAAGGAUGUCUGUCUGUUGUUCCAGGACGAUGAUGCAAAAUUGUUUAAUUCGUGUCCACUAUACUCGAAGAAUUCUUCGUUUCGGAGAGGAUGUAGAGUUUACAGGGGUGACGGCGUGACGCUUUUGCUGAUCUUUUACAAAUCACAACAGGAGCAUAUAUAUAUAGUCUAGAUAGCAAAAAGCCUAGAAUGCAGUUUUUGUCUGGGCAUGUUGUUCAAGAUCACAAGGUGUGGUACGUAUUAGAAGGUGGCUUAGCCCUUAAAUUAAUCGAGCAUAUCAACAGAUGCAUGUGAACUCAUAGUCCUUUCUGUCCACCCAGGUUUGGGUUAGGUUAGGUUACGUUAACCUGAUCAUCCCUUGCUCCAAUUAAUCAUCGGUGUUGCUGGCUGCAGUAGUAGCAGCUCCAACGGCUAAGGGGAAAAAAAAAGAGCAUCCGUAUUGCAUACAAGAAUCCACGAAAGCACAAGUGCUGAACCGUCUGGCGUAGCACGGACCACAUGGAAACAGAGCCUAGCCCGAAAACGAAUGCUUGGAAUGGAACGUGUGGAUUUUUUUGCAGCAAGGAAUAUGAAUAACAGCAGGCUCAGCAAGACGCUCUUGCACAGGACGGGAAAACUUGCCGAGCAGCGUUGUGACCUGACCACUCACUGCAGAGUGCUCGGGCUGCUCCUGCAUGGCCACGGGCGCGAAGUCGAGCGGGGAGCCGGAGCAGCGGCUGUCCGUAUGGCACACGGACGCGGGCAUCACACAGCACAGCAUCAGAUGGGGAUCAAUCGGAGCGGUGGUGCCGCGCCGUGCCCGUGCGGCAGGCGGUACCACGCCAUGGCAUAUGGUGGACUGGUGGUCACGCACGCAGCGACGCAUCGGCGAUCGGCAGGAGGAGGCCGGCGGCUGACUGGGUGUGCGGAGCUUCUUUUCCGUGGCGCCUUUCGCGCGGCCACGGAGAGCUGGUCCAGCGGAUGCAGCAGUAGGAGGCACUAGCGGGCGCGGGAAGUUGCUCAGAGAUUGACGCCAAAAGAAUUUGACGUAGAUGCCUGUCUUUUUGCGGCCACAUACGCCUAGGCUACUGUUGUAGGAGUACGUACACUAGGCUUUUUCUUGGAUAGAUUCAUAGAUAGUUGGAUGCAACAACAUUUUGCUUUGCUUGGAUUCCACACGCACGGCACGGUCGUGCUCCACGCCACGCAGCAUCUCUCGCGUCCGCUUUCGCUUCGCAGUGGUUGUGUGUCUCAAGGACGAAGGUUCAGUGCUUUAUUGAAAACCGUGAGGCUAUGCAGGUCACACGCUGGAAUGUCUUGCCGUUGACUGUUGCCAGUUGCCACUACCCAGUUUCUGAGGUCACCGCAUCUGAUUGUGAAUGACUGGUGCUGCUUCCCAGUAUUAAAGAGACCACUCACCAGCAUCUGAAGGAAACUGGCAUCGUCAUCUAUCUACCCUCGCUCGAACGUGGGCUAUGCAGCCUAUGCAGUGGCGAAGCCAGGCCUAUGCAGAGGCGGGAUCAUGAGCAAGGUCAAUAAUAGAGCUAAAUGUUUGACUAUAAACCAAGUGAUUAGAACCAAGUUAUACAAUAAGUUGUCUCAUACUUGUCUCUAAAACAUAUUCUCAUUCCUAUUUCUUCUCACAACACUUGCUAUUUGAGCUCACUACUACCUAUGCAUCUGUGUCCAGCUUGAUGCUUACAUAAGACCAUCCUCAAUGGAAAUUUCAUGACACAGUUUCCAACACAUCAAUAUUUUAGAAACAGUGCAUAGAAGUUUCAUUGGGAUGAAACUCUCUCUACUCCCAUGAAACUCUUAUCAUCUCUCUUCAUUAAUAUAGCGCCACAUCAGCAUAUUUAAUGUGCAUGAAACUCUAAUGAUACCCCCAUUGAGACUGGCCUAAGAGCCAAGCUAUCAUCUCUCUCCUCUCUUCUCUCCUCCACAUCAGCAUUAGCUUGGCUAUAAGCCCAUUAUUGUACCGGCUCUAAGGAGCAAUAACAAUCAUGUACAGUCAUUCUCUUUCCGUCUUUCAAAAUUCGUCAGGGUCAACGGACCCCAAUGGCAAGGUAGCUUCGCCCUUCAGCCUACGGUACAAACCAUACUAUGUCUAUGUUUAACCUCACUGAUCACUUCAUUAGUCAUACUCUAGUACAUACCUGAUAACAAAGUGUUGAAGUUUCCCUAAAAAAACGAAAUGUUGGAGAUUUAAAUUGGAGCAAAGUUCCUUAAAUUUGACUAUAUAGAAAAUAUCAUUAAUAUUUACAACUCCAAACAGGUACUAUAAACAAUAUAUUUUAUAAUCAAUCUAAUCUAAUGACACUUAUUCAAUAUUAGGCUAGGAUUCUUUUAGGACGCAGGCCGUCCCCUAAAAUGUCGCUAUGUGUCCGUGCUAGUAAAUUUUCUUAAAUUGACUAGGUUUCUACAAAAUAUUAGCAAUAUUUGAAUCUUCAAUUAAGUUCAUUACAAAAACAUAUUCAACGAUUCACCAAUUAAUAUUUUUAUAUAUAUUUGGUGAAAGUUAGAAGUGUUUGAUUUUCUAGUGAAAACGGCCCUUUUUUAUGGAAUGGACAGCAAGGUCCAGAUACACUGUGGACAUGCACCUGCUCGGUCCACAUGGAACUUCAUGUACAGGACAGGCCGCCUAGUACAAGCAGUGCCAGUGAUUACAGGCAACUGGCAUGCAAAUGGGCAAUGUUUUAUUCUUCUUCGUACAGAAACGGUAUGUGGUUGGUAGCCCGUGGCCACAACAGUACGUCUACCUUUACAGUUUUAAUAUGACAUUGUGGCAGUGAGGACGACACCCUCCAAGGCUCCAACCUCUCAACUUUGAAGAAUCAGAUGAUAGCAUGAUGGUCGAACAACGCAUCGUUACAAACGGCAUGUAGGCAAUUUCAAUAUUUUAAUCACUGUGGUAAAAGUAAAACUAACAAUGGCCAUCGGUGAUGACAUCCAUUGAAAAGCGGACGUCACCUGAAACGAAGGGUCCUGUCAGGUUACUUUGGUUGUCUGCAAACUGAUUCUGAUAAUAUGGGAGAUAUAUAAGAAUUGAAGCUAUGAGCCGCCUGAGGGCUGAACUGCUGCACGCCACCAAAAGCUAACCGAGAAACUGGUGGAGAGAGAUCUGACGUAGUGCCACCAUUUUGGAGGGAUGUAAAGCAGGUCACCUUCCUCCAAUAUACAGUCCAUGAAUUCCAGGUUUUCAGCCCUUGGAAACUCCUUGAAAUCAAUGUUGUCAAGAUCUACCUGCAAAACAACAGUGCAUCUAACUACAUUGAGCAGAGCCCAACGAGAUCUGGAAAUGAGAAUUUAUGUGGAUACUUGUACAAUAAACUGUAGAAGAAUAAGGGUGAGCAGUCCUGGAAAGUUAUCACUGAUUGGCUACAAAAAGUUGUGUUCAUAUUGACCUAACUAUCAGAGGUUGUUCAGAAUACAUACAAAUACACAAUAGGAAAAAAAAUUCUGAAAAGUUCUGAGAAGCAAGAUGAAGAAAAUAAUGACCGAGAGAUUGGAAAGUGGAAACCUUUAAUACAUAAAACCAUCAAAAUGCACUAGCAAGUAGGUCCAGUCUGCAAUGCAAUAUAGAGUCGCGAAGAGAGUAUUGACAAUCAAAAUCUGGAAAUUCGUUAUUCAAAUACUUAGCUGCCGAAACUAUAUGCAACAUCAUGACGAUCCACAAUGGUAAUUCCGUAUAUUUGCUUGGAAAUAUACAACUACCAGAAUAGAUAUAUGUACCUGACUGGUAUUGCAUAGCAUAGUCUCUGUGUGUGGAUACAAGUCCUCAGAUAUAAAAGCAGGAUAGAGUCUAAUAUACUUCCUGCCCAAGACCUGUAAAAAUAUGUGUUAACCAUUGCUGAUAAAAUUUACUUAAAGGAACAGAUGACAUUGUCACAAAAUUUUAAGUAGAACGAUGGAUACAGGCAGUAAACAGCAAAAGCCAUCUGCCAAGAUCUUUAACUGACAUAUUUAAUUGACUGUAAGCAGCGAUUAUGACCAACUUAAUGAUCUAUAUUUAUAUGAGCACUCAUAGAUGUCACAUUGAGAUAACAUCUAAUUCAAAUUCACAAAAGAUCAAAUCGGUAUAGCUACUACUAUACUGAGAACUAAAAUAAAGCAGAGUUCACUCGUUAACAUAGUCAGAUAACAGAACAGUCAAACACUGUAUACAUAAGAUUUUUUCAACAUAACAAAGUUAAUGGUUGGAGGUAUCUCCUUGCAAAACUACAGCUUCACAAGUUUACAUUUGGUCAUAGCACAAAUUCUAAAUUACGCAUACACCACCAAGUUAAAUACACGUGUUUUACCUGAGCUAAGAUGUUGUGAUGUGGGUCAUGAUGCAAUGGUGUCACUGUCCCCUGUGGACCAAACCAAGCAUUAAGUGAUUGGAGUUCACCUCCGCCAGCAUAACAGUAUUCGGGAACAACUAUGUCUUCACUGAGCUCUUUUAUCUGCCCAAUCCAAUGAAGUAAAAUGCACAACUGAACAAAGGCAAUCUACUGAGAAUCAACAUUGAAAAAUCAGCUACCUGCUCAAACAAUGGAUGCUGAGCUAGAUAUGUCAACUUUGAUGGGCAGACAGUUGACCACAUUCUAUCCAGGAACUGAGAAAAUGUGACAAGCUCCUGCUUCCAGUCACUACACACAUAGUUUUUUCCAACCUGACAAGAAACAACUUCAUAAGUGGAUCAAGAAUUAUCAUAACACAAAACGAAAGAUGCUGUUCAGUAAAUUCUUCAGCUAACAAGUAGUCCUAAAUCAAUAAGAAGCAACCAUAUGUUACACAAUUCAAGAGCAUGUGGUGCUCGGAGUUGAAAUAUCUCUGUUUUGCAGUUUAAUAAGUAGCACGUCUGUCCUUUGGAUAUUGCAUUAGUGAACUACAUAGCUUUGAGACUCGACCCACAUUUUUUUGAAGAUUGGUUCCAUUGUGUGCAACAGCUAGAUACUUAAUAUGGUUAAAGAAAUAUAGCAGUAUAUACUAAUAGCAAACUAAAGCUAAUUGAACAUGUUGAAAUGACGUGAUAUCAUAUUACUGAAUUCUUUCAGUAUAAUAAGUAUCUACAGCUAGAGUUUCAAUAACAUGUUGAGACUGAAAUGUAUAUACACGAAGAGGGCAGUUUAGGAAUUGAGCCUAUUUCAGUCAGUGAGAGGUUUUCAUGUACACCUCCACUUCCCAAGCUCAAGUCCUCUUAGCUCAAAUUUGGGUGCCUAUUUCUUCUCAUUUACAACAUCACCUAGUUCAUCCUAGGUUAGCCAACUUCUUUUCGAAGAGAGCAAUAUAAAAGAGUUACAAUUUACCUAGUAUUUGGACUGCCAAGGCAAAAGAUCAAUAUUACAAACCUGAAUAUUAGUACAACCAAGACAAAAUACUGUUACUUAGGCUGAUUGAGAUAAAAUGCCAAUUUAAAUACCUUGUACAAACAAUGAAACAAGUAAUACUUAGAGACACUUAUUUGCUUUAUAUUUAUUAGCUUAAAAGAGAAUGGGCGUUGAAAUGAGCUGUAAUUCUACUAUUUAUAUUUCCUUGAUCUUUAUAUUCAUUUGUGAAGCUAAAAAAUGGCAAAUACAUACUCAAAGUGACACAGGAAUUAAGUUGAUGGAAUAGAAAAGCCUGUUUCCAAAGUCUUUGAAUGUUUAGUGUAAAGAGAAGCAUUUACUUCAACAGGAACAGUACGAUCUCCAGCGAUCUUCUUGAGGUAUUUAAUGUCCUUCCAUUUUUCCCUUGCAGGCCAAUGAUCGAUGGCGCCACUAAUUAUGACAGGGGAGUCGCGUAAAAAGUAAUUACAUAUAAACUCCUCCAAGGAGAUGCAAGAUCGCCUCUCGACUUUCUUACAGGAUAAAGAGUUUGCUGGAAGAACUUUGAGUGCCUGAAACAAAUUAUUGUUAACAAAUGCAAGAUGUGGAACAAGAAAUGAAAUGCAGGUUUUUCUAUCAGCACAACUUCAGAGAGAGAAAAAAAACUAAGCAUUCAUUUAACUAGAAAUGAUAUUUCAUUUUUCAGAUAAAUAUUUCCAUUCAAUGCAUACAAUACACUGCAAUUACCUUUCUAUGAAGAAUAAUGUAGAAAUUUGAGCUACCCACAGUACUUUAGCCCCUAAUAAUUUAUGACAUGAUUCACCCACAGCUAUGCCAAAAACAAUCAGAAUGUAACAUCUCAUUUCCAACUCAUUCUACGAUAGUAUUGCUUGAUUCGUCUAGUUACACUGGGGUUUUCAAGGAAUCAAGCCCAUCUAGUACUCUAAGCAAACCCAAUUUCAUCCCCAAUGUUGUAGCUCACGGGGGCUAAGUCUAGUCAUACUCUAAGCAAAUAGUUUUUAAAAUGGAAAAAGUAGCCAUACUUCAGCAAGCCCCUAAAAAUGUCAGCGCAGUUCUUGUGCACGUUGUCUGGUAAGCACAGAAACAAACACGAACUCUUACGAAGGCAAUAACGAUCUCACAUCAGCGAUGUCUCGGUUCCUGUCGAGCGCCUCCUUCCACCUCUGGUCCUCCUCAUCCACGACCCCCGCGCCACCUUCGUCUCCGUCGCACGCUUCCGCGGAGAUGCGCGCCAGGGCCGCCUCGAGGUCGGCGCGCAGUAGGUUGCCCCCCAUGAUGAGGCCCAUGUCGAGCGCCCGGAGCGCGGCGGAGCGGUCGCCGUCCCCGCCCCCGCCCCCGCCGCUGGCCCCGCGGGUGCGGGUGCGGAGGCGCGCGACGUGGAGGCAGGCGAGCGCGUAGGCGUCCCUCCAGGCGGUGCCGACCUCGCUCCAGGGGCCCGAGUGGAGCUGCUCCCACGCCAUCUCCCGCGCCGCCUCCGCCGCGCGCAGGUCCCCCGCCCCCGCCUUCUCCGCCGAGGCGACGAAAGCGAACCCUCCCUCCCCCGUUAUCUCCCGCAGCAGCGCUGCCACCCGCUCGGCCUCGGCGGCGGCGGCCAUCAGGGAGGGCGGAGCGGCGUGGUGCGCUGGCGCUGCUGGGGGGAGAAAAAGCGCAAAAGCGCAGCGGCGGAGAUAUUUCUGGCUCUCGUUGCUCUGCUCCGGAUGCGUGUGCGUUUUCCCUCUUUUUGCCGCAAAUGACGCAGGCGAAACCUUCCCCAUUUGGCGUAACCGUGAUUUCCACUUCCCCGUUGGAGACCGCCUUCGGAUAUUUCGCGAUGAUCAGGGUUGGGUUGGGAUAUAUGGUUGGGCCGACUUGAAGCCCAUUUCAUUAUCCAGCCUUGAUGGCCAACGGUGGGCUUGCUUGAUGCUUGGGCCAAACACUUUUGAUGGAACUGGGAUCAGGCCCGUGGGGACUGAAAGAUUUUGAGACUUGUUUGAGUAUAUGCACAGUUUCUGAAUUGCACACAGAAAGGCCUGUUUUUGUAGAGCUGAAUCUUGGCUUCUUUUUUCUUUCUCUUUUCUAUCUACUAAUGGUAUAGGUCACAGGUCUCACAGGUGCUAGGUUGAGCAUACAUGCAACCAGUAUUCACCCUAACGUCAAGUGCUAAACAAUCAGCCUUAUUCGGACUAAAUGGCCAUUAUUCAAGCUACAUGGUUGUGUAAAUGAGAUAAAUAGGGUACUGAAUGAACAUGACCCAUCACUGUAGCAUUAAAAAUGGUUUUUUGGGCCGUCUUUGUCAGAGUUUCAAAAAUAAGAUGACGUAGCAUAGUACACAUGAAGAGAGACAUGAUAAUAGUUUUAUGGGGUGAAAUAAAUUUCAUGAAGAUGAAACUUGUCUACAACGUUUCCAACAAUUUGGAGUCUUUUGAAUCUUGAAAAGUGGUACAUAAAACCCCCACUAAUACUGGUCUGCAAUAGUGCGUACAAUCAUAGGCACAAUUAAUGGAACAAUUGGUGGACACACCAAAUACUAGGACUUUUCUGUAAACAAAGAAUGUUUUCUAUUAUGGCUCAUGCAUGCAUAUGCCAUAUGCACAAACAUUCAAUAUCACAUGUUAGUUGUAAGUGAAGUCAAACACUAACAAGUAUUUUGAGAAAGUGCUAGGCAUAGCUGCAUAUUCGUAGAACUAAAGCAAAAUAUUGUUAAGAGCAAUACUCCCUCCGCAUGAAAAUGCAUGUUAUUUUAGUAUUGUUCUAAGUCAAAUUUCUCUAACUUUAGUUGAAUUUAUAGAAAAUUUACCGAUAUCUAUAACAUGAAGGUAUAUAUUCGAUAAAAACUACCAUAUAUCUUGGUAUUGUAUUUUUUUGGUGUCUGGCCCCUAGAUGAAUUUUGGAUAACGACAAUAAAAAGAUAGAUGUUGGAUGGUUUUUUUGCUACUUAAAAACAACAUACAUCACUAACUUUCUAUUUUCAAAUUGUUAUUUGUCAAGAUGACACUCAAUACAAUAUUUUGAGGGGGUUUUCAAUCUCCCUUAGAAUUUGUCUCUAAGAUUCACAUAUAGCUAAAAAAGGUCUCAUAUUUGUUAGGAGGUAAUUUAAGUAUAUAUGUAUGCAAUAGCGCACACAUAAAUGCAAUGGUAGAUACCAUCAUAUAUAUCAACACUCUCUGUUUAGUUGAUUUAUCGCAUGUUAGUGUCCUACGAAAGGAUCCACUAAGGGAAAUGGUAGCCAUAACGUGUACUAAGUUGGUAUUUCAAAGGUGAAGACAAGUCCAAUGUAUCUUGUUCGUUUGACUGAUAAGCCAUGACAGAAAGUACUAUUGGCUGAUUUGUUCGUUCUUUAACCUACAUAAGGACAAAACAAACGUGGGACUGUGUUUGUACUUGUGUAAUUCGCAAAAAGGGUCGGAACUUCUUGCUUUCCAUUGCACUUCCCAUUGUUUUAUUUUCAAGGUAUUCUUUUCUAAGGAGUUCUGCCACACCCCAUCUUCACUUUUAAGUUUGAAAAACACGUCUCAAAAAACUUGAUGUUUUAGAAUUAAACUUUUGUAUCACAUGAUUCGAUAUAUAGAUUCACGCUAAACUUCUCCUCCUUCACCUAAAUGGGAAGAAAUUAAGGGUUAGGAGAAGGAUCUAGACAGAACUUGCAUCUGAAUAUCUGAUAUGGUUAAAAAUCUAACAGAUUUUAAAAAAAAAAAAUCUAUUGACUGGCAAAUAGCAAUUCCUGACCCGCGGUGACACUAGUUACGACGGUUGCCUAAUGGCGAUGAUGAAGACGACGAUGAAGCAUACGCAUCCGGUGAUCAUAUAAGAUAACUAAUUCAGAACACAUCAUCUCAAUCAGCCAUGUCGACCGAUAGAUCGCUAUCGAACGAUCAAGUACACCUAGAGCUAUAGCUACAAGCAACCAAACGACAGUCUCGUCGCUAAUUAAGAUUUAACAUCAUCCUUUGGUUGAUUUCUCGGCCUCACUAGUUCUCUCCCCCGGCCCUAACACUGGCUAGCUACUACCUGCAAGUUCUAUUCUUGUCUGGUCUGUUCCUUGAACCGAUGACGAACGACGACGAACACACCAUGCAUGCAUGCAGCAUGCGUCCAUGCAUGACUCAUAUAUGCAUGGAUGGACAUAUGCGCGCGGCGCGCGGUCAUCAGAGCCGCCGCCGCAGAUCGACGACGACGCCACUAGCUGUGGCCCUGCUGCUGCUCCUGCGGCGCCCUGGGGCGUGUGACCCAGAGCGAGCUCAGCGUGCGGAGGCGGUGGAAGUAGUCCGACAUGGCCAGCAGCGACCGCGCCAUUUGCCGCGUCGUCAGGAUCUGGUGCAGCCGAUGCAGUGUCUGCUGCCGAAGGUUCUCAGCCUGCGUCAUGCGUCCAUGAUGUUCAUCAGAAUGAAGCUGACAGGUAGUUAAUUUACUUAAAUAAAACAAAUUAACACCACACACACACACACACAUAAGGCCAGAACAAAUUAAAUGAUAUAUAUCAUUAUUGUCAGCACCGUCUGACGUUUUGCCAUCGUCACACAAGAAUCAGCCAGCACUAUUUGCAGUGACCUAAUUAAUUAUAACACAGUCCACACUCGUAAUUAAUAAGUAUAUAUGAGGACCGGCCCAUGGACAUGUAUAUAUAUUUAUAUCCAUUGAUCAACUCUGUUUCAGGCAGCCAUGGGCAGGUGAAGCCGGCCUAAACAAUGUCGGCAUCAAAGGUUACCUACCCAACAUGGAAAGCUGAAUGAGCAAGCAAAGGGUUGCUAGCACUGUCUUAUAUGUAACCUCUCUAUAUAUACACACAAUGAUGUGUCCAAUCUGUUAGCCCUGGAAAGUGUACAAUAAUGCUGGCUCUCCAAUUUUGGGAUGGCGACAGUUCGGUGCUUUUUAGUAGUAAUGUUAUAUUCACAACCUAAUCCAUGCGUCUGCUCUGCCGGCCUGCACCUGGCGUGCAUGCUCAAUAUAUCUGAACCACGGUUUGGUCUGACUAAAGAACUGCACUGUCCAUCUCAAAUAAUUAGGUAAACCAUCCAAGCUAUCCAAUGUACCUUGCUUCAACUAACGAUAGAUUAUGGAGUGCUACUAUAUAAAAUAAUGCUUGAUAAAAUCUUUGUUUUAGUUGCAGCUAUAACUAACCCAUUACAGCGACAGCGAAUUAGAUGGGAAGAGUAGUGAUGCUGAAUUGAAGCAAGCAGUGCAAGUUAGCAACAACUGAAUGGAUCAGAUAAGGUUACUUACUUGUCUGACGAAGCCCUCGAGCGUGGAGAGCUUGUUCAUGGCGGCGGCCAUCUGGCCCAUGUAGUUGGCGACGUUGGAGGGGCAGCUGAGCGCGUCGGAGACGACGGUGUCGGACAGCGAUUGGUAGAGCGCUUCCAGGCCCUGGCUCAGGGCCUCCUCCGUCUCCAGCGCCGACUGCUGCAGCCCGUACACGCCCACGAUCUGCUGCUCCGUCAGGGGCUCCACGUGGCUCAGCAGCAUCUGUAAUAAUAAUCAUAUAUACGUGCAAUUACUUUAAGCAUCUAAUAAACGGCAUGCAUGAUGCGCGACCUGGUAUAUAUGCAGAUGUGAUGGAUCGAUGAUGAGAUGAUCGAAUGUACUACCUCCAUCCAAUAAAGGAAAUGCAAUUCUAGUUCUAUAUCUGUGCUUAUCUAAAGUUUGACUAAUUUUAUAAAAACACAUCAACAUUUACGACACUAAAUAAGUAUAGUAAAAAACACCCCAUAACAAAUUAAUGGUAUUUAUUUAGUACCAUAACAUCAAAAUUUUUAUAAACAUAGUCAAUUUUAUAAUAGCUAGCUUGACUUAGUGCUAUGCCAGAAUUGAAUUAUUCUUUUCAAUGAGGUGUGAUGGUGAGGUUGAGGUGUGAGUAUGCUUCAUGGAGCACAGUCACUCCAAUUUAUGCUUCGGUGAAUAAUAUAUAUAAGACAAAAUUGUAUUAUAUAUGUUAGCUCACAGGUACAUAUUUAUGGUACCAAAUAAAUAUAGUCGAAUCUACCAUUUUUGUUUAGCUCAUUAGUCAUUAAUGUUGACAAUCUUCUCAGUAAGCUAGUCAAAGUUAAAACAGUUUGACUUACUCCGUCUAUUCCAAAAUAACUACACAACUAAUAUCUCGCUUUUUAAGGAAUUAAAAUUUUUAAACUUUAACCAAAUAUAUAUAAAAAUAUGAAUAUUUAUGAUGCAUAGUAACUAUCAUUAGAAUAACAGUUGAAUAUAUUUUCAUACCAAACAUAUUGGGAGAUAUAGAUGGCGAUUAUAUUUUCUAUAAAUUUAGUUAAAUGAGAAGUAUAGUUAUUUUGGGACAGAUGGAGUAUACCAUAGUUAGAAUAUUAAGUUCUUUUAGACAAAGGUAUAGAGUAUAGAAAUAAUAUGUUACAAAGGGGGGAAACAACAUAAAGGAAGGAAGAAACUCUAAUAAUUGUUGAAUUUAGCAUUGAUGACAAAUAAUAUGGAAUCUAGAAAGUUUUAAAAUUUGGAGGUGGAGGUUGGAUGUAAUGACACGACAAAUUAAUAAGUCAAAUUUAUUGUAGAACAUCUUUCAAUGUUGGUAUUCUCUAUUGGACACUACUCAAUAUAUUGUCUUUGCUUAGAAACAAUCUUCAAUUGUAGAAGAAUGGCUUUCGCUCCAGAAACCAUAGCUAUUAAAAUAAUUUUUUAGAAUGAAUGGUAGAGAAGUUGAAAUUGACCAUUAUGCCCUUAACUAUUAUACCACAACCCUUAAUAUGUACAAAAAAAUUCAUAAUGACUUUUGCACAUCAAGUUAAAUGAAGAUGAACUUUAUAUAAAAAAUACAGAGCUCAAUGAGAUAUAUGACUUUGUCGUUAACAAGUUUUUUAUUUACAAUUAUUUAUUACAUCAAAACUUAUUUUAAAUCCUCAUUUUUAUUCAAAUUUAAAUUUUUUGAAUAACCUUGGAUGUUGACAUGCUCAAUACAAAAUUAUUUAGAGGGCCAAAAAAUUGAAUUUAUCAACUAUGGAAUUAUAGAUCACAUUGAUAACAACUUUUGUAUAAACCUUGUCAAUAUUUGAGGUUGUCCAAAAAUUUUAAAUUUAAAAAUGUAAUAAAUUAAAAAGUUUUUUUUUAGAAAUUUAAACAAUUUCAAAUAAGAAACUUAUCGGCUACAAAAGUUGUAGAUCUUAUUAGAUCUAGAGUUUUAAUAUUUUCUUAGAUAACUAUUAGAAUGUCCCCAACAACUAGCUAUUUGGCUAGCUAUUCUGACAUGAACAUGAAAAAGUAGGAGAGAGUAGUCACUAAUGACGAACAAAUAAUCUAUCUAUUUUCACGUAGUCCAAGAAUUUGAGAGGAUGACAUGUGGGUCCAAUUAUACAUAUAUAAAAAUAAAAUAGCAUUUGCUUUUGUCUCUCGCCCCACAUAAGCUAGUUACAUAAUUAGCACCUUACAGACGCACAUAAGGAUUGUGGUAUAAUAGUAAGGCGCAUAACAGUCCGUUUUAACUUCUCUCCUAUGCACUCCUAAAAAAAAUAUUAUUUUAAUGGGCAUAAUGUCUAGAGUCAUUUGCCAUAGUUAAAGAGUUUUUUUCUACCAAAAAAAGUGUCCCGUCAGCAAAUACCAACAUUACAGGAGGUCAGGAAAACUCAACAAACUUAUCAUUAUUGCCUUCUCUGAAGUUAAAGCCAAUCAGACCCAUAAGUUGCCUUGUAUAUAUGGGAGUGCAGCUCUACUCUCAGCAGCGCAGGCAUGGCUUAAAAUCUCAGCCUCCAUUCCACAAAUAGGAGAAAGACAGAACGGCAGUUUCUCGUCUCCGCCUUCAAUAUGACCGUGGAUUUCACACCUACUACUACUCCUACUACUAUACUACUACUAGAUCGUCCGUCUCGGAGUUGCACAGUAGCAUGCGUGCGUGCAUACGCGCCGCGUAUAUGUCGGGGCAUGCCUGCACGGCGCUCGAUCGACAGAGAUUUGACGAGGGCCCCGGCGGUGCUUCAAUGCCGCGCGCGGAGAUCGCCCGGACGCCCCGGCCGGUUCGCUGGGAUCGGGAAGCUUUCAAGAGCGCCGCCGGCGAGAAGGCAAGGCUGCCACUGCCAUUAUCGGCAGCCCUACGUACCGGCGGGGGAGCCUUCGGCUGUCGUCACCCCGCGCUGCGGGAACGAAACUUCAUGAUUUGCUGCUACUUUUCAACCGCAGCACAGGUUGCUAAUACGUACUCCAUUGGAGCUGGGACAUAUAUGAUUCCGUUCGUUUGUCUUAUAAAUUGUACUUUUUUAGACAAAUGAAGAGGCUGUAUACAUAUACCAACUCUUCUCACACGGUUCUAGAUGUUUGGGGGCAUUUUUCUUAUUUUUGUGCAUGUUUAUAUGUGUGUCACAAAUUUACAAUCUUGUGAAACGGCUAUUGAUGAUUUGAUCUGAUUUAACAUGAUGUUGCAGAGCUAAGGCCAUACUUCGUUCUGAUAAGAAAAUUUAGCUUUUUGUACUUUGUAAAUCUAAAAUUUUAUAUUCUACAGUAACAUUCUAACUGUAGGACUGCGUGUUUUUAAUUUUUUUUUUUUGCUGUUUAAGUUGCAUAUUUUUUUCUACUCAGAUGUGUAGUCAUAUUUUGUUUAGGUCUUAUUAGACAAUCAUAUCUUUUGUUAAAGUCUCAAAAAAUCACCAAAAUUUCGCGAUUCCAGGGCUGGCUGAAAAAUUGAAUACUGAAAAUGGAUGCCUGUAUAGCUAUAGUCAUGUAUUGCCUGAAAUUGCAGCAAAAUUUCAGGGUUUUACAUGCAUAUCUCCAUCCACCAGUUUCUAGAGAAACAACCUUUUUUUUCCUCACACAUGUGUACCGACGUCGCUGUCAAUUGGCAUCGAGGUUCAAACACAAAUCAAUCACGACGUACGGCAGCCAUUGACUGUCUAGGGUUAGGGUUAAGCUAGCUAGUCGCGGGUUCGCUAGGAAUAUAUGCAGCGCUAGUAAGGGAGGGAAGGACACGUGUGGCACUGGCACGCACCUUGAUGACCUCGGAGGGGCGGAAGCCGCCGAGCCAGAGGAAGCAGCGCUCGGCGGGGCUCCUCCAGACGCCGGAGAUGAGGUGGAAGACGUCGCCCUUGAUGGCGCCCUCCUUGAUGCCCACCAUCUCGUCGUGGUGCGCCAGGCAGCUCUCCACGUACAUCUGCAGCUCCCCCUCCGGCAGGUGCUGCUGCAGCGCCGCCCGCAGCUCGUACAUCAGCCGGUAGUGCUCCUCCUGCCACCGCCCGUACUCCACGUCGAACAUCGCCGCCUCUGGGAGAUCCAUAAAUAUAUAUAUGGCCGACGUUAAUUGACAAGAAAAAGAAAAAAUUGCGAACUUAUCAAUCGAAUGGAAUGCGAGGAGAGGUGGUUUGUUGAUUAGGUACCUGAGCUGAGGCCGUCGAUGCCGCCGAUGGGGACGCCUUUGCCGGCGACACCUUGGUCAGCGAGGAUACCGCUGUUGGGGAAGAAAACUCCCUGGAAGCAGAAUACAUAUUUAUGCAGAGAUCAGUUAAAAAUUCAGCCUUCACCUUCAGGGAAGCCAAGGGCUGAGACAAGAUACAAGCACUACGUUUAAAUUUUCUUUUUUUUCUCCUUUGUGGUUAUUGUUAAUCGAUUACGUACUAAUCAUAUAUACCUGAGCUCUUGCAGUGUGCAGUUCUUGUUCGAGCUGAGCUAGCCUGAUCCUGCUGGACUCCAGUUGCUGGAUGUAAGCCUGUUGCAGCAAAGAGAAGGUAAAUCUACACGCUGACGUUGGAUGGUAGGGACAAGAAUUUGAACAUCAAUGUCAAAAAUUUUUAAAAGGAAAACCAUAUUGUUAAUCCUUUGAAAUUUUAAUUUUUUUUCUCAUCCAUUUUAAUCUGUUCCAUUUUCUUGGUGUAGGUUAUCAGCUGUCGACUCGCUCACCUUCUUCCUUAGCCUGCUUUUUCUUGCAGCCUCCCUGUUCUGGGCCAGCCUUCUCAGCGUCUGCAUGUGUUCAUUACAGCGUGAUACAGCGUGAUGCAUAAACAGUAAACCAAGUUAAUUAGUGCAACACAAAUUAAACGUGGAUGACUAGUAGUGUGUUCUUUCCAAGCAGUACUUAGAAUCAGCAGUUAAAUAAUACUACUAGCUAUCAAUAAUUGACACUUGAGAGUAUCAGAAUCCAUUACUUUUGGGUCGCGUUCACUGGUCGAUGUGCCUCUCCUAUGAUCCUUCUACAACACCAACCAAAAAAAUGGAGAAAAAACGUUAACAAAGCCAUGGAAUUAAAUUAAAACAACCACACAUACAACGAAAAUGACCAAAUCGAGAAAAGAAAACCAUUCAUCAAUUUAGUAUAGCCUGUAUACCAAAUUGGUAGCAGGAGUAUUCAAGUGGAGCACUAGUAGUUAACCACUCACCUUGGCCAGUGGCUUGACAUCUUUGAUCAUCCCGACGGGUGCUGCCGGCUCAGCAGCGGCAGCAGCGAAGGGUUGGUGCUGCAGGUGGUGGUGCUCCUGCUGCUGCCUCCUGCUCCCCGCCAACUCCUCCAUGGCCGCCUGCUGGUGCUGGUGAUGGUGAUGGUCGGGUGACCUAGCAGGCUGCUUGGAUCCCACCGGCGCCGGGGACAGGACUAAACUAAUCUCCCCCUACCAAUCGCAUGCAUAUAUCAGAAAUAUAUCAAAAUCGUGGUCAGGUUAAACAACCAAAUAAGUUGCAAUCAAUUAAUCAUCCAUGGCAUGCAGCAGCAGUUGUGCUGCGCAUCUGAAAAAAAAAAGACAUUGAGUGCUUGAAACAAAUCUGAGAUACAUGUUUGCUGUACCUUCGGCGACGGCUCCACAUGCAUGGGCUGGGAAGGGAAGAUGUUGAGUGUCUCUGCAUCCAUGAACAAGACAAGGAAGAAGCAGGCGAAGGCCUGGUGAGAUGAGUCUGUCUGUGGCUCUACUUGCUAGCUAGAGUACUCUAGAGAGUGGGAGGAGAGGAGACUAGGAGAGGGCCUUGUAUAUAUGUACUCAUCAGCCAUCACACACACAUAUAUAUGUCUACUGAACUCGAUCUGAGGAAGAGGCUGAAACGCUCUCUGGUGUCGCAUGCAGCACGCAGCAGGAGUUGCAGCAGUGUUCAAUCAUGGCGGUACUGGCUACUACUAGCUGGGCUGGGCUGGCCGGCUGGCUGGGCAGUGUUGUGUAGGAGUACUAGCUAGUAGUACAACGAGCAGUAGCACGAGAAAGCUGGAGAUCGAUCGAUACGGGACAGCAGGGAUUCGCACAGGCAGCCACAGCUAAGGCGUGCCUGUACUGAAACCGAAAGAUUGGUGGAUAGGAUCGAGUCAAACAUGCAUGCAUGUACACUUGCUUGCUUGCACUUGCGCACAGCAUCCAGGAAAGAGAGAGAGAGAGAGAGAGAGAGAGAGAGAGAGAUCGAUCAGAGAGAGCAGACGAGUAGCCUGUAGGCAGGCAGCCACCACUGGCGUACUGGGCGACGGAGAUCAUCCCGUCUGCGUGUACUGCUCUGCCGCGGGCACAUGCAGUGCAGCUCGAUCGCGGGGAAAUCAUUGAGCAGUCCGUUACAUGUCACAGUCCGACACCGGCCGGCCGGAGGUAGGGGAGAGAGAGAGAGAGAUGAAGAUGCAUGGGAAGAGAGAGAAGGGAGGACAAGCAACAAGAGAAACAAAAGGCCAAAAAGCUAGAGAGAGAGGCUAGCUAGAGCUUUUUGGCUUCGUGCAUGGACUUUGAGCUUGCAGCAUGCAUGUUCUUGCCGAUUCCCCUGGUGCGUGCCCUGGUCCGGUCCUCCUCCAAACCGCGCUAGCUAGCUGCAGAUUUGCAGCACAGCAUCCCCUGCUGGCCGGUCAAAUGGAGUACCUGAGAAUCUGCUGCAGGCGGCAGGCCGGCCGUCCGGCCGUAUCACCGUUCUUGAUCUCACAUGCAUGCCUAGCUAGCCCCGGAAAAGGAUGCGCGUUUAUUUCUGCACUCUAUCUCACUCUGCAUCGAUCGAUAUCGGAUCGGAGGAAUCCCUGCAGCUAUUGCUAUUGCUCCCAUCCACUACGAAACACAUAUGUUUCAGGGCCUAGCUAGUAUGCCAUUAGUAUUACCACUACUAAAUUAAAUGUAAAUGCAGCCAAAAAAUGCUAGUAGUACUAAUUAACUGCUAGUACUGCACUAGUCUACGAUCGAGUACGUACGUACGUUACUACUGCUGGUCAGUUGCAUUUGACUUCUUGCUGCAAAAACAAAAAACAGCUAGCUAGGCAUGCAAGAACACGGCAACUGCAGUUGAAUUUCGGUCGUCGGUCGUCAGAGGACGACGACGAAGUGCAUGCAUGCGUACACACUAGCUACUUACGCCUUUGAUGCUCUUGCUGCGUGCCGCCAUGGACAUGGCUGCUGCCGUGAUCCAGGUACAUGAACAACGCCUGGUCCAGUUCCCCCAGAUGGUCAUACGCCCCUGACGCCUCCUUGCCGCUCCUGCUUGUGAAACAGAAAUACACACAUGUAUACUUAUGUAACGACACUGAUGUGACACUGAUAUAGACGCUUUUGCACGGGGUUUGAGGACUGAAAUAAACUCUGAACGAAGGCCGGCGCUACUACCAUACAUCAUCAUGAAAUCAUGCUGCUCUAAGCUUAGCCUAUGUAUGUGUGCAUGACUGUGUAUGAUGGCUAUAUAUUUAUCUCUGGUACGGUCCAACCCUCUGCAUGCAGGAUGGGAACAGGAGAAUAAUAUGGAAUCUUCUAUAGCCUGUAGCAUUGAUCUGGCAGCCCAGAAAAAUAUGGCUACCUACACAUGUAGUCUCGAAAUUUCAUGUGUGCAAGCAACCUAUAGCCUCAAUGCCUCUUUGAAAGAAAUACAAAAAUAUAGAGGUAACAAUAUAUCAGCUGCAUGUCCUAAUUAAUAUAAAUCAAUAUUGUUUUUGGUCCUUGUCCUCAAAACAAUAUAAUUACUGCACAUAGCUUGGAUCCGAGAUCUAAAAGAAAGACUAGUUAGUGAUUUGCUAAUCAAUUCACUGCAACUGAACUAUCUGGCUCCAUUAUAACAAAUUUAAAUGAAAGCACACCACCAGAUUUUCAAAUCGAUAGUUGGUUUGGUCACCAUCUAACACACUUUUGUCCUCUUGGGAAGUAGGAAGGAAGAACAAGACACCGAAGAAUCAAAUCCGGUAUGUCAUAUCAAAGUCAGAAACAGUCUAACAAUCACACUCAAACGUAUUUUUAAGGUACACCAAAGUCAGCAGAUAUAUAUGGUUUUGUUGCAGAAUCAAUAACCAGACAAGUUCUCAUAUGAUAAAAAAGAAAAGGGGAAAAACCAAACAGGGUCAUCAGUGCAAAGGCAACAAGUAAAUGAAAAAUUCAGUGCUGCAACAGGAAAGAGGAAAGACGCAAUAAAUUAAAUCAAUUUUUACAUCAUCAUCAGCUAGCAUAGGCAAAAUCAUCAGCAUGCAAAAUUCGAUGCCAUAUCGUCAGAGGUCGGCUCCUUACCUUCCUAUCUAGAUAGAGGCAGCUGCCAGUGAAUUUGCCAAGCAGAAAGCGGAAGGAAAGAGAUCGAAGAAAGCAAGCUCAGAACCCAGCGCACGAAACCGAAGUCAGGGAAAAAGAAAGACGAUCAAAGAAUCCACAACCCAAACCAGAUCAAAUCCAACCCCAGCCGUCCAAACAAACCGAUCAAUCGAUCGAUCAAGAAUUCAAAAGAACAACACCUAGCAGCAGAAACAGCACAAACAGACUAGCUAGCCGAAUCAAAGAAAUUAAUUAAACCAGCAAAAGGUACACAGUGGAGUUAAGAGAAAAACUUUACAUGAAGCUCGCAGCGGCGGCGUGCAUGGAGGAGGAAGAGGAGGAGGACGGAGGCUGCUGCUGGUGGUGGUGGUUCAUCAUCCCGAAGGAGAUGUUCAUCUCGUGCUGCUGCUCCUUGAUGCUGCCGCCGCUCACCAUGGACGGACGACGGACCGGUGGACGGAUCGUCGCUGCAACUGCGCGCGGCAAGCACUACAGGCUGCUGCUAGGUGCUGCUGCGGCCGCUGCUGCAGGCGCACGCCGACGACACAGCAUACACACACAGGCGGUGGUGUACGACGUGUGUAUAUAUCCCCGGGGCCGGGCCGGCUGCCGAGACCUAGAAAUACGGUUUGACUCUAGGGACCGCCCGGGGGUGGGGAGGGGAGGCCGGGCUGGCUAGCGGCCAAGCAACACCUCUAUCCCUCCACACUAGCGAACCACCCCAUGACCCAAUCUUUCUAGGACGCUAGUCAUUUGUGGUGACCCCUUGGACCCUAGCUAUCUAAUACUAACAACAAACCACUAACUAGUUGUUGUUGUGUUCUAGUGCUCUUCCUUUGAUCUCUCUCUCUCUCUCUCUCUCUCUCUCUCUCUCUCUCUCUCUCUCUCUCUCUCCUGUGUAGACUGUAGUAGUAUCAGUCUAUCUCUUUCUAUCAAUCUAAUGAUAUAUCCAAGCCCGGCCUUGCUGAUGCUAUCUAUAAAUGGGGUUUCUCUUGUGCAUCUGUAUCUAUGGGUUCCAGGAAAGGGAGGUGCUGGGCCAUUAAUGGCGAAACAGACUUUCAGUUUGGCGCCAUGCUCACUGCAUCUAAUGAGGCGAUGCAAACAGCCCCGGCUUUUCUCCUGUCUUCCUCGCCGUUUUUCGCUUUAGAGAGAGAGAGAGAGGGGUAGAGAGAGAGAGCAGGUGGAGAAGACGUUGCUGCCUUUAUUUCCUCUCUCCCUUUUGCACCGAAACCCCGCAAUUUCUCUUCAUUUCGUUUCCCAUCCGAGCAUAUCCAGUGCACUCUUUAUUUUUAAAAGAGGCGUCUGAAUUAUUGGAAUUUAGAAAUACCAUAGAACACGCAGGCCACAUAAUACUGUAGAGAGAGAGAGAGAGAUAGGGGGAUAUAUAACAUAUUAAUAUCCUGCAAGAUAUAAGGCCAUUCUUUUUUUUAAAAAAAAAAGAAGGGGACGGGCCGGGGUUGGUCCAAUUUUUCACUUCGAUGCAGUGGUGAAAGUCAGCCUGUGUUCUACGCAGCAGAACAGUUUCCAGUCGGCGUUUGCACAAAAAGGUGCCUGGAAAGCCAGUCAGAGAAGGCACCUAGCAACAAAAAAAGGCAGUAGGAAGGCACGGUGAGAAGUAAACGAGCAGGACAAAGCGGUUAACUGAUCGAUCUCGGCAGCUUGACUGCAUGCCGACGGGCCACGACAAGAACCGCCCCGCGCGCUGGCCCUGGCCCUGGCCGGCCAUGGUCCUGAACCGAGAGCCGCACGCGCCUCAGCCAGGCAGCAGGCUCAGAGAGAGAGAGAGAGAGAGAGAGAGAGAGAGAGGAGAGGGGAUCGGUGGGGAGUUUGUAUGUGAAUGCUUCUGUUGUGUGCAGCGCUGUUGCUUUGCUGCUCUCGAGGCACGCAUACCGUCCCACCUCCCAAAAUCAUCAGUCUGUGUGUCUGUUGAAUCAACCCCCUCCCCACCCACAAUUUACGUUACGUGGCCGCCCAUCCUCCCAUUCUCGCCCCCCACCCGUCUCUGCUCCAGAUUCCCCCACAAAUCCCCUUCCUGCUAGUGCAUGGAAUUGGGAACAAGUGCGGCAUUUCACAAGAAUUCAGCAAGGAUCAGUUCAAUUCCCUCAAAAUUCAGGGGGGAUUCUCAUGGUCCAGAGUACCCUCCCUUCUCCUUCAACGUCUGAAGUCUGAACCCACCGUUCAUCAAGGGGAAUAAAGGAGAGUAACUUUUACUAAUUACUAUCAUAUAUAUACUCCUACAUGAACUUGGUAUAAAAGCGAAUGGAGCCAUGCUCUCUAAUGUAUUUCCCUGGCAAGGCAUACAUAUGGAGGUGAUCAGAAUAACUGAUGGGCGAGAAAGAGGAAUUCUGAAGGAAUUUAAUGGGCGCAUGACAUCUUGACAUUGGCGAUCUCGAGAUGCCAACUCCUCUGCGACUAUAUAACUAUUCUUCGCGCUGGUGUAGAGGAAUUGAACCUUUCUCAGUCGGUUGAAUGGUUGCUUGCUGCCCAUGUCAGCUGGAGACUUGCGACAGUCCCUCAGUCAGUCCGGUGUGUGGUCACGAACAGCCUCUUCAACUUGCUGCCUGAUGCCGAGGAAACAGCAAAUUCGUCAGCUUCCUUGCUUGCUAGAAAAUAUCAUUAUUAUAUAAGCUGCAGAACAAGUUAAGAGAACGUUGUACCAUUGUGUUCGCGGUGUUUUUUUUGGGUGCCGAAAAGAGUUCUCCAAAAGUUUACAACCUGUGUAAUCAUAGUUGCAAUGGAUUAGAGACUGACCUGACUUGUAACAUGCACGUUGCUGGUGCAGAACUUGUAACAGUUCAGACUGAGAAUUAACUGGUUCAGUAAACAGUUACUAAAAAAAUACCCGGUUCAGACGUUCAGUGAAACACGGAGCAGUUACAGAGAAGUAUUGAAGCCUUAGUCUGACUCUUCAAACCGGUUCCUUCUUUUGCUAUGUAAAGGAUUAAAAAAAUAGUUAGUUGAACAAGUCCCAAAAGGUACACAGCAUUAUUCAUCUAUAAAGAAUUAUAUAUACAAGAGUUUCUGAAAUUACCAAGAACUGUUGUCACUGGAGGUGAAAAAAGGUUCCAGACUUCCAGUGCAUCCUUGGGUCAACUUGUUUUCUGCAACAAACAAAACAUAGCAUGCAAGUAACGACGGCUGUCGACGCAAGCCAGUGCAGUACAAUAUUUUCCCAGUAAAAGUCAAACGGGUGCCUGACAUCCCGUUGCACAGUAGAUAUUCUGCUCACCAGAGCUCUUUUUCUGGUCCAGUCUUUCUGAAUUCUGAAUCCCUGACGAUGAUAUCAUGAGAUGCUCCAGGCCUGCCACGCAUGUGACAGACUUGCUGCAAAGGGAUUAUGAUUAGAGGACCCCACAAAUAUUGGCUCCUGCCAAUUUGUGCACAAGGAGGCAGCCCGCAGUCCAACAACCCCCAUGCCAAGAGAUAUGAAUCUUGUAUCUUUCACACAAAAGAACAUAGCAAAAGGAACAAAAGCUAAAAACACCCAAAUCGGACUGAUUCCAGUUUCCAUAUCACAAAUUACCAACAGCAGUAACACAGAGGGAGACAAACCAGGCUCAAUGGUACCAAGUAAACAUCAAAUGCAUGAGCUAAGACUCGAAGCUGCUGAAUCUAACACUUCACUUACAAAUUGAUAGACUGGAAAAGAUAUAUUGUUCGCCUCCAUAAGUACAGAAAAUAUCUCUCUGUCAUCACAGUUACUGCUCCAACAUGGCCAAAGAUAAUUUUCCUUUGACCUUUCAUGAAAGCAAGCAGAAUCGUCUAAAAAGAGUAACAAUCACAAUCAUGGCAUCGCUUGAUCUCUAUUUUAAUUAUUGAACAAGAGCCAUGUCAGCUUAGUCACUGGAUGUAGAGACCACGACAAUCAGUAUUUAGAAAAAUAAAAAUGGCCGGUUAUCAGAAGAGAGUUUAAGAGUUUAUUUACACUCAGCUGAUGAUGAUGGUAAAGGUUUAGUAGUAAACCAAGCAAUAUAAUUCUUGUUUACUUGAAAAUAUAUCAGUUGCAGAUCACCAUUUGUCCUGGCAUUUCUUUACAAAAUAUUAUUCCGAUCAUUUCGACUUCAAACACCUACUCCCAACUUUACUUUGUCCUACUGUCGCAAUCAAAGUUGUUAAAUGCUAUCUGCUUAUGUUUGGAUUAAUGUAUAUCAAAACUGAAGAAACAUCUACUUGGUCCAAUCCAUUGGUUACAGUUGGAUUAGGUGUCUGCACCCAAAAAGCCAAAGACUUGAUGGAAGCAACAUGGUUAAUUUUAAAAUGUCUCAUCUACAAUGUUUAAGAAAAAUUGAGAAGGUAAAAAUGUACUGCUUCAAGUUUGAUAUGUACUCAUUUAAUUAGGACGAUAUGACCGUAGCGGAAAAAUGUUAGAAUAACCAAACUGAAAUCCAGGAUUGACUAUUGUGCCCAUUUUAGCCCUACAAUUUAAGAAGUUAUUGAUGAUGUGUUUCCACAAGUGUGUGAUCCAUAACUGUUGCAAUAGUGAUAGCACCUGUAGAUCAGUUUAGUUAUUGAUGGUGUGUUUCCACGAGUGUGUUGUCUACUGUUUCUACAAUGUAUAGACUAUUAUCAGACAAAGACGGCAUACAUCUUAGUUCUGCAACUGUUGAUCAGUUUAGUUACCAGGUUUUUCAAUAGUCAUAAAUUUGACAUUACACCUGGAGCUCCCAUAGACACAAUAACAUGUUAGCACAUGUUUGUGGAAUGUACAUUGAUCUGCAGGAAAGAACAUGACAAAAAGUUAUGGAGGGUAAACAAACAAAAUAACAAAACUAAGUGAAUGUAACUGUAGUUUAAGUAGAACAGAUAAGCAUCAUCUCUGUCAGCGAGACCAGUGGCCAGGAAACUUACAGAUAAGCCUCAGAGGAGACACCAAAGCAUUGAAGAACGCUUAUACAGUUAUACUUACAUGGUACAUCACUCAGGGAAGCCAGGAUGCAAGGUUUUCAGUAAGUAAAAAGCCACUGGAACUUUUAUCUUUCUUUUUGCAUUUCUUGGAGACAAGUCAUGAAUAAUCGAACACACCGCCCAUACAAAUUAACGGGAUGAUAUGGCGAGGUCGGCGAGGUGUGCGCAACUGCGCAAGGGAGAUCACAGCAGUAGAUGGGAUUAAGGAAGAGACACGAGAGGGUAGCGUGGCAAUGACCGGUUGUCCUCCACAGUGGCUGGACCGAAGAGGAUUCCUGAUGAGAGAGUCUUAUUCUUCUUCGAUGGUUCUCCUAAUACAAACUAUGAGCCUUUAUAAUCCAGGCCUUCCACAAAUAUCUCAACUCAUCAAAACAGAUCUGAUCUUUCCUAACCUCUCCCUAGAUUAUGUAGAGGAUUCCUGUUGUCUCUUUGCGCCUGUAGGUCUGGCCCACAAAGGACAACAGGUAUGAUGUCAUGCUAAUCAACAUCACAAGACAAUUCACAUCCUGAAUGUCAUGCAAAUAGAAGGUUAUUCACCAUUUACAUUUUGACAUGAGAUAAAUUAACUGGAUAGUCAACAAAAACAUAUAUAAGCAAAGCUGAUAACGAUGUACCCUAGUACUCCCUCCAUUUCUUUUAUAUGGCACAAAUGUAUUUAAAGAUUCAAACCUCAUAAUUUCCAACAGUCAAUUAGUCUUACAUGACGUGAUUUUUGUUAUACAAAAGUGACAUCAUUCGAUUUGUAAAUGAAAGUAUGAUCUUAUUGUUAUAAUUUUGUUGCUACAAGCAUAAGAGAAAUCAUGGGUCAAAUUCUAAUUUUGGAGACCAUAAUGUGGGGAGUAAUAGGAGCCUACCUGCUCAAGAUGGAUGAUCUCUUGUCUUAAAUCUAAACCAGCUAAUUAGUUCUCUGAUCCAAGACCUUAGCUGGAGAUUUUAGGAUAAAAAAACAAGAACUUCAAAAUCUGGUGUCGAAGUGUCUCAAUUGAGAAAAAAAUGUGUCAUUUAAUAUUCUUAGGGCUUCUGAGUGUGAGAUAGUCUGAAUGCACAUCCUUUGAAGUUUGAACAAGAAACAAUUGGUAUGGGUCCUUUUUUUAAUUUUGUCAAAUACACAUGAGAGCCGCAUAUCUUUGCAUUAAGAGAAAUCAUAUUUACAAAAAGCCCAACACACUACUAGUUCAGGAACACAUGAGCAGAGUAUACAUGGCAGCAGCCAUAAGCUGCUCCAAGCACCUAGCUCCAGCCAUGCACUAGCGGUAUUCUUCCUCCCAAAUUCAUCUAAGGACAAGCUGGACUCAGUGCAGCACCCUUAAAAACAGAGUCAUUCUGAUGCUUCCAUCACAUCCAGGCCCCCUAAAGUCAUCAGCAAGUUGAGACCCCAUUUCCAGUUUCCAAUGAUCAAACUGGUUCUCGGCCAUCAAUCACAAAACACAUUGUCAUUUCCUUGUGAUUGGGUCCUAGAUUGGCGAAUUCAGCAGACAACAUAUUUUGAGUGCUUGCAUAGUAGCAAAAUCUUCCAAAACGAUUAGCCAAAUAUAUUAAACAAAAAUAGUGUUGUUACCAUUGUGCAGUUUGUCACAAAAGAUUAUAAGAGAAAGAAGGCGCCUAGAGACAGAGCAUAAGCUUACGGGAGUAAGAGGUCUAAAACCACACUUUUGAGUGUGCAAUAGCAAGAUUGCCAGAUAGAGAGACCCCCCCCCCCCCCCCCCAAAAAAAAGUGAACUACAUGUGUUAUGUGGCUGCUGGGGAUCGAGGGAGAUGGAUUGAGAUCGAAGGAGCGGCGCUGAUGGCGUGAACAGUACCCGCGGAUACUGUUCACAGGGAGGCGGCUGUGAGAGCGAGAGAGGAGGCUAGGGUUUUGGGCGCUAGGAACGCCAGCCGCGGGGCUCUGCCCACGGCCGGCAAGAGAGAAGGGAUUUCCUUCUAAUUUCUUGCUUGAUUAAAUUGAUACAUCUCCUCUAUAUAGAGAGGUUUACUUGACUUACAAGCAAGACUUACUUGACCUCUAAGCAAGCGACUAAUUAACCCUAAUGGGCUAAGGCCCAAUAGGUCCUUGACUCUUCUAACACUACACCCCACCUGGACAUGCAGCUCGUCCUCGAGCUGCAACUUAACAACGACACUAACAAUGACUCCGCAAGACACAAACGUAACACCUAAAAACAAGUCUUUUACAUCUCGGCUUGUUUUAUUAUUCUCAACUAGAAAUAGAUUGGGACUCUUUAAUUUUAACCCCUGCACAUAAGGCGGACACCAUCCACCUGGAUCCCAUGGAGACCAUCUGGAUGAAAGAUGUGCUUGUGUGUGGCCUCCAGGAAGUGGUCGCAAUAGGGACCAGCGAAGGCGCCCUCGCGGUGGUCGGUGGCGGAAUCUGGCGACACUAGGCAGUGCGCUCCCACCGAUGACACCAUACCUUCUCCCCGCUGGACGGCUGGGCUUCCAACUGCCGACGCCGAAGACUUUGAGUCCACCCGCAGGAAAAACAGCAUGCACGCUGCCCGUGGGCGGAACCGCAAUCUGAAAAUCCCCGACGCAGCGGAUGAGAUCGCAGUCCUCCACGUGGUGGAGCUGCAAAUAGGUGCAGGGCUGAAUCAGCGGCAGAUCACGCAUCUUUCGCACCCGCCGACGUGCAAGGAGGCCACGCGCAGCAGCUUGCAGCCGCACUACCGCCGACGCCUGGCAGCGAAGCGUCUUCUCCGCCAGCUCCGUCGCCAUCGGCUGCUCGGUCUGCUGCAGCAUCUUGCCCUCAUCUCGGACCUGCUGGAAGCUGGUACCCCUAUAGAAGAUCCCAUCGGUGAAUGGGUGCUGGAUGGUUGGUACACCGGGGAGGACAACAGCAUUGGUGGAGGGUGGUGGAGCAACUGUCGUCGUGGCCGCCGGGGUGCUUGCCAUCGUGUGCACCAGCCCCAUCGUCGAUGCUAGAGCAUAAGACGAAAUCGAUGGAGGGGGCGGCAUCCAUGGCUGCUGGAUGGGAACCAGGGCAGAUGGAUGCACGCCCUGGAACGAAAACGUCGUCGUCCCGUAACCAGGCAUCCCGUGCAGGAAAACCUGUGACACCGGCUGCUGCUGCUGCGACUGCAGCGUGGCGAGAUAUGAUUGGAUCUCGGCAACAGAAGACUGGAGCUUGAGGAUCGCCGCGGUCAACUGUUCCGGCGUCAUCGCAGCGGAUGCCGAAGAAGACACCAUGGCAGCAAAGGAUCCUUGGGAACCUGACAUCUCCGAUACCAGAUGUUAUGUGGCUGCUGGGGAUCGAGGGAGAUGGAUUGAGAUCGAAGGAGCGGCGCUGAUGGCGUGAACAGUACCCGCGGAUACUGUUCACAGGGAGGCGGCUGUGAGAGCGAGAGAGGAGGCUAGGGUUUUGGGCGCUAGGAACGCCAGCCGCGGGGCUCUGCCCACGGCCGGCAAGAGAGAAGGGAUUUCCUUCUAAUUUCUUGCUUGAUUAAAUUGAUACAUCUCCUCUAUAUAGAGAGGUUUACUUGACUUACAAGCAAGACUUACUUGACCUCUAAGCAAGCGACUAAUUAACCCUAAUGGGCUAAGGCCCAAUAGGUCCUUGACUCUUCUAACAACAUGUUUGUCAGAAAAGAAAUUUUACAUGACGAAAGAAGCACCCAGAGGCAGAACAUAAGCCUAAGAGAGUAAGAGGCCUAACUUUUGUACUGAAAAUCGUAAAUCUAAAAACACUGUUUCGAAGACUUCUAGUACAAUGUAUAGAUCCCUAAUAGAAGAAACACAAUAUCUAAAUUCUUAUUUAAAUAUGGAUGUGUUAUGCAUGAAUACAACUUUGAAGAACUACCAGCAUGGCAAGCAACUUUUCGUAGGCACUGAAUUUCUACCAACAGUCACACCAAAUGGUCGGCAAAACAGCCUAGCGUACAUAUCUUCAGGUUAUCUCAGCCAUGAUGCAGAUUUGACAUUGACAGUGUUAAAUAACACAAGAGAACAGUUUAGUUAUAAUAACUUAUUGCUACUACUUUGGGACAAAUCUGAACUUCAAUGCGCAAAGAUGGUUAUCUCAAUUUUAUAUAUUUUUAAAAGUGUAAUAACAACAAUUUUGCUGCACAACUACAAUCAGCAGAUGAAGCUAGUAGUGGACUUUGUUAUGCAACAACAGCAUUUCUGAGCGGACAUUGAAAUCAAACACAAACACAACAGAGAGAAUGGCAAAAGUAUUUUUUUUUCAUUUCUUUAUUUCAUAUACAGUGUUGGGUUCCCGAUGUUUUUUUAGAUGGCAAAAGCCAUAGCGAAAGAUAGGAUGACAAAGAGGAAAACAAUCAUAUCUUGAGGAUUCUAAAAUUAUAAAAAAUCCUUUCUACAACAGAUAUUAUCUCCAGAAAGAUAUCAUAUUUAAGUGAGGCCAUGUUCACCUUCCACAUGUACAAUUGUGUCACUGUAUGAUACAUUAUUGCCAAAGUAUGCAAGUCAUCACUCAGCAUACAACAGAUGGUUGGUCUCAAAUAACAAGACCGGCAACAAAAUGAGAAGUUUAGCCUUCCAUACUCAAGUUAGGAUGAUGACUCCGGCGAGACUAAAUGGAUGAAAAACAAAUGCUAGCAACCUCAUCCUGACCUGAAAACGAAAUGAAAAAAGAACUAAAUUACCAUAGAGAAAGAAGCAGCAAAUAAAAGGAUAUGUAGUGGAAUUACCUAAUGUUAUGUCCCCAAGUAUUCCAUUAAAUCAUCAUCAUGCAACAAGUCAUCAAUAUCUGGGAUUGGACUGCUGAUACUGAUAUAGUCUAGAGGCAAUCCCUCAAAGGAACUGCCAACAAACUUAUCUUGGUCACCAUAGAAAGGAAAAUCUAUGAGCUGCUGCAUAUCUCCAGGAACAGAAGUUGAACUUCCACCACCUAGUAUAUGAUCACCAUAAGGAAUGCUAUCAGUAGGUGCCCUGAUACCCAUGGGAACCACAUGAUGAUCCAUCAUGGAAAGUGGUAGUGAUUGUUUCGGAGGUAAGUUCUGAUAACUGCUGGGCAGAUUAUUUAAACCAGGAUGAGCAUCUACUGGAAAACUAUUUUCAGAUCUCGACCUUGUGCUGUCAUUAUUUUGAUAAGGUAAAGGCUGGUCACCCAUACAUAUGCUUAUAGGAGUAGGGUUUGCAGUUGGGGCACUAUUGAAGUUAUUAACCUCAGCACCAGGAAGGUGGACCUGUACUUGAGCAUCUCCUCUGUGUUGUAAAGCUUCAGUUGUGGUGUCCCCAUGGUCAAAAAUGACAAUCUGGUUAGACCUGCCUUGGAUUUCUACUUGAUCCAGUCUAUUCAUAUCAGGAAUCAAAUUUCUUGAGUUUUCUGGUGCAUCAACAACUCUGCGUGCAUCUGGCUCGGUAACAGUGGAGCUGCGGCGUGCUUUUUUUCUCUUUGGUGGUUCUUUUGCCUUACCAGGAACGAUCUGAUUAGGGUGUUUAUUGUAAGCCCUUUCCCUUCCUCUUUUUGGGACAUGCUCAACAGCAGAUUGUGUAACUGGAGACAGAUCUUGUUCAUCAUCUUUAGAUGAUGUAGAAACAGGAGCAUCCUCAAAACCAUACACAUCAUACUCAUUACUGCUGCUAUUUGUGUCCCCAUUUCUGUCCUCUGGCAUACUGCGCGGAGUAAUCUCUGAUACACCAUUGUCAAUUCUGUGAACAAGGCUUUCUUCUCUCUGUAAAACUCCCAGCCAAAUCAGGCUUUCUUUUGCAGUCAUUUUAUCCUGCAAACAUUUUGAUUUCCGUACAUGAUUUCUUAUCUUAUCAAAGUUGGGAGACAUGUGCUUGAUCACACCUGUAAGCACACCAGCCUUCCAAACCUUCUUAAGAUCAUGUGGUUUCUUGUAUGGAGGAAUUUGGCCGCUUGGAAGGCCCAAGGCAAUCCACCAUUCCUCCUUCCCUGAAGGCCACCAAGGGGGCGGAACACCCUUCUCCAAUGGGUACUUGCGCUGCGGUGGAUCACAAUGCUGCAUCAAUGAGGAAAGCAGUGAACCAAGAGUGGCAUCUUGGAGAUCCAUCAAGCUGUGCGGGUUCUUACUUCCACCACUCUGGGCAUUUGCGGUUACUAAGUUCUCAGAGUCGUAUUUCUCAAUUGCUGCAGGCCCAUUCUUAUCAAACUUCACCUUCUCCUUCCACCAAGCUCUGAUAUUAUCAGAAGCGCCACUGACAGGCUUCCCCUUGUCCGGGAUGAUCCCAUACACGAACCCACGCGCAUUGCACACCUGCAUCAGCUUGAGCAUGUACUUGAGGAUCCCGUCAUGCGCCCUUGACAUCUUCUUGCGCAUGGCCUGGUCGGAUAUCGGCUUGGGCCUCAACUUCUCCAGCUCUGCCUGCUGCAGGGCGAGCUUCUGCUGGCGCUCCUUGAUCCUCCUCAGCCUGACUCUGUCCUUCCACAUUCGCCGCGCCAGGUCCUCAGGCUCAAUCUCCUCGUCGCUGACAUCAUUCUCAGUGAGGUUCUGGAUGCCCUCCACCUCAAAGUCCGACGAGUCACCCAGCUCCGUCGCAAGCAUGGCAAGUUGAUCCAUGAGAACUACCACUUUGGUAACCCGAUUAAACUCAAACCUAGGCAACCUCCUGUGGCUAGCUGCGCUGCCCCAUCCAGCAAAGGAUCACGGCAACCUGUCCACACGAAAUUGGGCCCUACAGUAUCAAUUAACACCCCCAAAAAAAAUGUAUAGUCAGUACGCGAAAAAAAAACUGACGGAAAUGUCGAAACACGCAACUCUACCCUCCCCACUACUCAUUUGCUAAUUAUGUACCCUAAACAGGAAUCCGUACCUCCACGUUGACCCCACCCUCGCGAUUGAGGCGCCAAAACUAAUCCGUGUCAGACGACAGCCCUAAAACGGCAACGAAUGGGAUGAUCAAGCGAAAAAUCCAUCCCUCUAUCCCCCUUAAUCCGCGAGCGUACGGAGUAAGAACCCUAAUCAGAGCAGCAAUCGCCAACCAGAGGGGUGUCAGUGCGUGCGUACCUGGCGGCGAACGGGAGAGCCAGCCGGGGGCGACGGACGAUAAUUUCUCAGUCGAAUGGACGCUCGAACGAGCGAUUUGCUGGGUUGAUGGAGGAGAAGAUUCGCUUCUCUUCUGGUUAUUUAUUGUUUGAGAUUUGGAAAUCGGGAGUGAAAAAAAGAGAGAAGGAAGCAGGAUGGAAGGGGAGAAACGGGGCGAGCAGGAAUGGGCGAAAGCAUACACGAGGCCGCCGUUGGGUGUUUCGGUGGAUCUUCUGCUCCGUUUGGUCGUGUUGGUCCCAUGUGGUGUGGGAGAGCUGCUGAACGUGUUGGCCGCAUCCGGCUCUUCAAGACUCGAGAGUCAAAACUAGCGAAUUAACAAACGAAAUAAAAAUAGAAUCGAAAGGUACUGAUUUAAUUUAACAUGCGUAUUUAGCACGUCCACAAGCGUUAUAGCUUUUCUUUUUUCGAUAUAAAUUUUUACUAUAUACAAUCCUAAUUUAACUAAAUAUAUAUACAAAUGAGUAAUAUUCUCUCCAUUUGAAAUUAUUAAAUAUUUCGUCUUUUUCUAGAUACAAAGCUUCUAUUAGAUAUGCACUACAAUUAAUGCAUAAUAAAAGCAAUGGCCUAUAAAAAAGCUAAAAAGACAUAAUUUGAAAUGGAAAGAGUAGUAUUUUAUGAGUAUAAUAAAUAUUGCUUAGAUUAAUCAUGCAAUACAUUUUUAUAUGAUAAACCUAUUUAAAGAUAUAAAUAUUAUAAAAUUUUCUAAAAACUUAGUCAUAUUUAUGAUUGUUUAACUCAAUGGAUAUAUUUUCGUCCACUUUUGGGAUAUGGAUGAAGAUUGAAGUAUAUCUAGACAUGAUAUAUAUUUAGAAUGAAUGUAUUUAAUGGUGUAUGGCUGUUUUUUUUUCUUUGAUUUUGAUAAUGAAAAGAAUAUAGAUUGUUGCUACGCUUGAUAUUCCAUUUCCUUUCUUUAAAAAAGGGACACUCGCAAGUCGCAACCCUCCUCGUACCGUCUGACUUCUGUUUUCAAUUGCGCAGGAGAUUCGUUCUGACUUGUGUUAGAGUCUGUUUAGCACAAAGUUGUUGUGAGAUUUUUUUUGCUAAAUAUUUAUUUUUAAAAUAAUUUUAUAGGUGAAUUUGUUUUUUCUCCUUUCAUAGAGAUAUGAGUUGAGAUAAAACUAAAAAAAUAGUUUAUUAUAGCUCUCUCUUAAUUCUCUCUCUUAUCUAUGCAAAAGUAGUUGGUGAAGUAUUUUACCAAAGACUUUUUUUAAAUAGCUCAGCUUCAUUUAAAAAAAUUGUCCGUAAAUUUAUUUUCUAAAAAAAAAUCAGCUUUAUUAGUAAAGUUGAGUUGUGCUAAAUAAAAUUUUAGUUUUUUAUUUUCCUUCGCUAGCUCCUAGGUCAGCCCACAGCCGGCAUCGAUGAGAUGACUCAUCGUCGUGGAGCAUCCAGCAUCGGCAUCAGAUGAGAUGAUCGAUCAGUCCAGGAGAGCAGCUCUUUCGGCAGGGCCACAGCAAGUGCACCCACCACCCCCUCCGCGCAGGAGGAUCCGGUUCCCCGGUCAGCAAUGAUGCAUCGAUGCAUGCCUAUACCGUCCUCCCAAAGUGCGCCGAGCCUUUUUCCCGUUUCUGCCCGUGCGUCCGUCCCACUGCUCUGCUCAACAGGCCACUGAAACUUGAGCGCCGCCGCCACAUGCCCGCGUUUUGUUCGUAUACGCAGCGGCACGACGACGCAAGUGACCCGUCCAUGUCGCUUGCCGCUACUAAGUACUCCCUCCGUCUCAAAUUAUAAGUCGUUUGACUUUUUUACCUCAAGUUUGACCACUCGUCUUAUUCAAAAAAUUUGUGCAAAUAUAGUCAAAUUUAAGUCAUUCUUGAAGAACUUUUAUUAAUAAACCAAUAUACAACAAAAAAAGUAAUAUUUUGUACAAAACUUUGAAUAAGACGAGUGGUCAAACUUGAUAUUAAAAAAGUCAAACAACUUACAAUUUGGGAUGGAUUGAGUACAUUUGUGGCCGCACCGAUGCCGGGACUUCGGAGCAGUCAUGUUUUCUCUUCUGUACCCAGCUCUGACAUUUUUUCCUCUUUCGAGAAAAUUCGUUAUUCACCAUUUCAAAUAGUAGGUUUCACAACUUUAGGCUUGUUUGGCACAGCUUUACUAGUAAGGCCUUGUUUAGUUUCUAAAAAAAUUUGCAAAAUUUUUCAGAUUCUCCGUUACAUCAAAUCUUUAGACGUAUGCAUGGAGUAUUAAAUAUAAACGAAAAUAAAAACUAAUUACACAGUUUGGUCGGAAUUGACGAGACGAAUCUUUUGAGCCUAGUUAGUUUGUGAUUGGACAGUUUUGUCAAAUACAAAUGAAAGUGCUACUAUUCCUAUUUUGUAGUUUUUUUUUAACUAAACAAGGCCUAAAGCUGUUUUUUUUUUAGAAAAUAGCUUCAUGAGUGACUUUCUAGAUGAAGUUGAGCUAUUUUGAGAAAAGUGUUUGGCAAAAUAGCUUCACCAACUACUUCAUGCAUAGUUGAGAGAGAAACGAGAGAGAGAGCUGCAAUAAACUACUUUUUUCAGCUUUAUCCCAACUUAUGUCUUUCUGAGAGGAGGGGAAAACAGUUUCACCUAUAAAGCUGUUUUGAAAAUAAGUGUUUGGCAAAAAAAAACAGCUCACAACAACUCAAGAAGUUGUUGUGAGCUGUACCAAACAGGCCCUUUACCAAACAGGCCCUUUAUAUGUUUCUCCUAAUCUCUGCCAUGCGAAACGUCCUUUUUGCGUGCCAAAAAUUAGAAAAAAAACAUAAAAAAGCCACACAGAAGUUUUGCAUCUUUUGUAUGGUAAUUUUGUGAAGUUAUUGGAAAUUUGUGAACUCUUUAGAAUGAUAAAUAGCUAAUUUUAUCAUUGUGUAAUCUAAAAAAAACUAAUUUUCUCAUUCAGUCUUUCCUCUUCAUUCGCACAUCAACCAUGCUCUCCCGCGGGGCGCUGCUCCCGUACUAGGCCGCCACGUCAAGCGCCGCUCCUCCACCCCCACCCCUGCCCCGUCUUGUAACUUUCUAUGACAGCAUUUUGUCUUUCUAAAAUUUAAAAAUUUAUUAUUUAGAUAGUCAUUUGAGUAAAAUCGUGUUUUUAUGCCGCGAAGAGCCAAUGCAGAUUGAGUAUGCAGUCGUUUAAAGACACCCGCAAUAUUUAGAGCUACUCCCUCCGUCAUGUAAUAUAGGGUAUUCUAGAAAUUUUAGUACAAAUUAAGAGAAAUCACAAAUGACGCAUGUUCCCUCACUUUAUUUCCUAAUAAGACGCUAUCAUGGACACAAUUAGUAGUGAUUGAUUUACAAAUAAAAUGUAUUUAAUAUAAAACUAGUUUCUGUCUUCUAGAAUGUCUUAUAUUUGAGGAUAAAUUUUAAAUGCCAGAAUACGCUAUAUUACAGGACAGAGAGAGUAGUUACUAACUCCAAGCCAAUUUAUCCCAAUAAUCUAACUUUUAGCAUAGAGCUCUUUACAUGGAUAACCCCAUAUGAUAGUCUCAUACAACUCUAAGUUGAUUAAAAGCUAGCUUUACUCUCUCUUCUAUUACUCUCUCAGACUCCGAAUAUAAGGCACAUACUUGAAAAUUUAAACUUUGCUAUCUUUGACUAACAUAUAGCCUAAUUAUAUAAAAAGUUUGUAUUACAAAAAUAUUUAAGUUAUAUUUGUAUUUAUAAUUAUUUUCUAAUGAUCAUCCUUAUAAAUUAUAUAUUAUAAAAUAAACUAAAGGUCAAAAUAUGCUCCUCCGGACCGCAUCAAAUCAAAUCAUGUCUUAUAUUCGAUGACUGAGGGAGUAAAAUAUUAAAAAAAAUGCUUAGAGCUAGCAUCAAAGCUAAUUGUUAAAUCUGCCCGUACAGUUUUCCUUAAAAAAAAAAACCUGUGAGGCAGAGUAGUUCUCGGCUAGGUUCUCUGAACGGGCAGAUUCAUUGAACUUGCACCUCCUGUCAAACGCCGAAAGGGCGUCAAAGUUCCGUGCACCAAAAAAACAAGACGAAUGGGCAGGGGUGCCGUGUGCGAUUGUUGCGUUGCUAAUAGACGAGGAGUAGUUCUGCUGCUGGCCCAACCCAACUCCGACAUAAGGUAAGAAAGGUAACAACAGUAAUUAGGCCUUCUUCUCUCAAUCUUCGGUGAGCGAGGUCCAAUUUGAUUGAGCCCAUCAACGCGUACAGACUGGGCCACCGAAUUUGGGUCGCAGGCAGGCCAAGUCUUUUUCCGUAAUUAUAUACUUUUUGUAGAAAAAAAUGCCUGAUUCCCCUAAAAAAAGAAAAAAAAUUACCUGAUUAAAAACGUGCAUAAAUAUAUACUGCUACCGCCGGCUAAAAUAGUCAGAUAGGCAGAUAUAAACUUUUUCAAUACAAAUGACAACAUAUGAUUUUUUUUGACAUUUCGAUUGGCGAUGUAUCUGUUUAGUACGUAGGAAAAAAACCACUACUUUUCAUUUUUAUCGAAUGGAGAUAAAUAUAUACAAAAAUUAUACAAAAAAAUAGAUCUACACCUUUGUUAUUACUAUUAUUUUUUUAUAUAGAAAGUCACUUUGGUGCUAAAAUAUUCAACACAAUGUUGGGACAUAAAAACAAUUAAAGUAAUUUAAUGUUUGGACGCCAUAUCUAAACAUUGUAUCAAUUACUUAUUUACUCUGGCACCAAGAUGACUUUAAACAAAAAUAUGAGGGGCCACAAAUUGGUAGAUCAUUUUGAGCGGUUGAAAUUCUAUAAAUUUUGUAUAAUUAUUAUCUUUAAUUAUUCAUGUGCUAUUAUCAUAGGCAAUAUACGUAAUGGUGGGUAUAACGAUAUCUUCUAUAAAAAAUUGGCUUUUAAUUAUCAUAACCAAUGUACACUACUACCGGAUUGAUUAACCGCAACGAGACCAUUUCCACCUCCGUGGCGGGCACAGUUUUUGCCCGCCACGGUUAUUCAACCGCACACGUAUAAGCCCGGCCACAUGAAUGCCCGCUGCGGUAAAUGAUUAACCGUAGCGGGCAUCAUAAAGAGCCCGCUGUGGUUAAUAGUAUUAACCGAAACGGGCAACGUAAAGAGCCCGCUACGGUUAAUGCUUUUACCGUAGCGGGCGCGUUAAGUCGCCCGCUUCGGUUAACUGACAUUAACCGUAGCGGGCGUUUUAUGAAGCCCGCUUCAGUAGUUCGUUGGCUGUAUAAAUAGCAGCCAGCCGACCCCUUCUUCUUCCUCACGGCUGCUCUCUUCCAAAUCGUGGGGGGAGUGGUUUUGCACUAAAAUUUGUCCAAACAAUUGAAUUGUGGUUUAGAACUUUGAUUUGGUGUAGGACAUCAUAAGAGGUACAUAGGAACUCCCUCCCCUCUUUUUCUCACUUUUGAGCAUCCCUUUAUGUCUAGAUCUAGAUCUAGAUCUAGUUUCAUGGAGGAGAGAGAAAGCUAUAUUUUUUUGUCUAGAUUCUUAAUGGAUGCAUAUGAAACCUUCUUUGUUCGAUGUGUAACGGUUCGCAGGCACGAGAUGGAUAGGUCGGAAUGGAUGUAUGGGAUGAAUCGGGUGCUUGACCCGCGGUACCUUGUCGAAGUGAGGAAGUUUAUUGCCACGGCGAAAGCUCACCGUGAGAGAUCGAAGCGGACGACAACCAUAUGUCCAUGUUCUCACUGCAAGAACCUCACAGCCUUCACGAAAGACGGUACGGUGCAGUCUCACUUGAUUCGGUUUGGUUUCAUGGAGGGUUACACAGUCUGGACUCAUCACGGUGAAAGAGUGGACCCCAGUGGCGAUGCAUCUGGUUUGAGCUCGACGUCGACGACCAUGAACCAAGAACCUAGAGCGCCCAUGUCAUCUCCAACGACUGCAGGGCCAACCUGUGGCAACAAUGACAGUGCUCGUGAUUACACGGUGGAGGAUAUACUCGGGGAGAUGGCAGAUGGUGUUGCAGAUGGCGAGGCGGCUACUGUGCAGGAACCGGAGGAUAUCGAGGUGAUCGAGGGUUUAGUCAGCCACAUCGAUGAAGACGACGUUGUGUAUGGCUCCCCGAAGUGGUUGGAAAAUUUCAGGGAGAUGAAGCAGGCUGCACUUGAUCCACUGUAUAAGGACGGCGGUAAUUGUCCAAAGGAGUGUACGGUGCUCCGGUUCAACCUCCACAUGUUGAUGAUGAAGGCCCGGCAUGGCUGGUCUGAUACUAGCUUCAAUGAGCUGUUAAGUUACCUUGGUACCACGUACCCGACGGGUAACAAGGUCCCUGCAAAUACCUACCGUGCGAAGAAGUUGAUUCGUCCAGUUGCGAUGAAACUUAGAAAGUUUGAUGCCUGCCCCAACCACUGCAUCCUGUAUCGAGGCAAGGAGUAUGAGAAUAUGACGAGCUGUCCGCACUGCGGUGCCAGUCGCUACAAGAGGAAUGCUGGAUGUCGUGUGGACGAAGACGACGAUGUGGCCUUGCGAGGUGGUCCGAAGAGGAAGAAGGGGGCCAAGAAUAGUAGUGCCGCAGCCAAUCGCAUCUCAUCUCAGCAGGAUGAGGAAGAAGAGGGUUACACGCGGAGGAAAAGUCCAGCACUAUCGUUGUGGUACCUGCCUGUGACCGACCGCUUGCGUGCACUAUUCGGGAACCCAGAGGAUGCCAAGCUCAUGUCCUGGCAUGCAUCAGCUGACCGCAAGAAGGAUGAUGGCAUGCUACGGCACCCAUCCGAUGGCCAACAGUGGAAAGAUUUUGACAAGGCAUACCCGGAAUUUGGUAAGGAUCCUAGGAACGUUCGGCUCGCGCUAAGUACUGACGGGAUGAACCCUUUUGGUGAGCUUAGCAGCUCGCACAGCACCUGGCCGGGUGUACUCACCGUCUACAACCUACCUUCACAUCUGUGUCAGAGGCGAAGGUAUCUUAUGCUGACCAUGCUUAUCUCAGGACCGAAGCAGCCUGGUAACGAUAUCGAUGUCUUCCUAGAGCCGUUGAUGGAGGAAAUGCAGGAGUUAUUUGAUGUUGGGGUAGAGAUGAUUGAUGCAUCCCGCAAAGAGAAGUUCACCCUAAAAGCCAUCAUCAUUGUCACCAUCACUGAUUACCCCGGUCUCUUCUCACUAUCAGGGCAGAUCAAAGGGAAGACCGGCUGCGUAGUGUGCAUCGAUGGGACCUGCUACACUUAUCUCCAGGGAUCUCACAAGAUGGUGUACAUGAGGCAUAGACGGUUCCUCGUCAAGAAGCACAGGUACAGAAGAAGUGUUAUGAAUCAGUUCUUCGCUGAUGAGGAAGAGCCGCAGGGUGAAGCACCGGCGCAGACUAGUUGGGGCCCAAAGGUGUAUGAGAUGGUGAAGGAUAUGGAUCACAUAGAGUUUGGCAAGAAGAAGAAGAAGGUACCAGAAGAAGAGGGGACAAAACAAACAAGGAAGCGAAAGCGGGACACGAAGGAGGACGCCGCACCGCCUGUCCCUUUCAAGAAGAAAUCGUUUUUCUUCAAGUACCUAUCAUACUGGAAAACCCUGAAAACACCCCAUGCCAUUGACUGCAUGCACCUCGAGAAGAACGUCUUCGAUAGCACCAUCGGUGUCCUACUGGACAUCAAGAGCAAGACAAAGGAUGGCCUGAAGUCACGGUUGGAUCUUGUGAACCAGGGCAUCAGGAAGGACCUUCACCCGGGUCCGACUCAUAACGGCAAAGUCGAUCUACCAGGUGCGUCCUACAACCUAAGGCAUGACGAGAAGAUUGCUAUGCUCAAGUUGUUGAGGGGUAUCAAGGUGCCGACUGGUUUCUCUUCCAACAUCAAGAGUCUGGUGUCCAUGAAAGACCUCACACUAGCCGGCUACAACUCACAUGACUGUCACGUCAUGCUGACGGUGUUCCUUCCAAUCGUGAUUAGGGCUAUCGGUCCAGAAUACGUGAAGAUGGUGGUCACUCGGAUGUCAUACUUCUUUAACCGUAUCACCCAAAAGGUCAUCGGUAAGGCUGACCUGCCUGCCCUAAAGGAGUUCAUUGCAGAGACCCUCUGCUAGCUCGAGAUGUGCUUUCCCCCGUCUUACUUUGAUAUUAUGCCACACCUGAUGAUGCACAUGGUUGAUCAGAUCGAGCAACUUGGCCCCGUGUACCUACACCAGAUGUGGACGUACGAGCAGAAUCCAAGCAGAAGCGGAGGAGGGGCAACACGGGAGGCACCAGAGGGAGUUGACUGACGUGGUGCACGUGAUCCUUGAGGUGGGGCUAGAGGGAAACCCAGUGAGUCCGCAAGAGGUACUUGGCCGAUUCAGCAACCAAGUGUCCUGCAUAGUCAGGGAUAAGGUGUUGAUCACUUGGCCGAGCUGGCACCAGGUCCCGAAAGACAUCAAGGGCAAUGUAUGGGGUGAGGUUACCCGAAAGUUCAAUUAUCCCGAAGGCGCAGACAUGGAGAAGUGUUGUGAGUGGGCCAUGCAUGUGGCGUCUUGUGCCUUUCGCAACUUCAAGUCAAUGCUGGCACGGGAGUUUCUAAAGAAGAAGAAGUCACCCUGCCAGAAAUACACUAUGGUGAAGGAGCAUGUGUGGGAAGAAUUCUGCCGAAUGAGGACGACCGCUGAAGUAGAGGCAAAGAGCGCCAAGUUUAGUGCUUUGGCGAAACAAAACAAGCAUCCGCACCACUUGGGCAUGAUUGGCUAUGUCGGACAUAGGGCUCGAUGGCGGGCAGAAGAACAGGCUAGACAGGCUUUUGGGAUUCCCGAUCCGUACGAAGACGUCGAUGUCAGAGCUAAGGAGUUCAUGUAUGCCCGCGUUCCAAAGAAGCUAAAGCCAGGCGCGACCAAGUACAACGAGCCGCAAUAUGAGGAGUUGGAGAAGGCUCUCGUCCAAGGCGCCAAAUCUAAGGACAACAUCGAGGUCCACAGGGGCCAUGACUUACUGACCGAGGUCCUCGGAACCCCAGAGCAUCGCGGCCGUGUUCGUGGAGUCCAGUGCAAGAUGAGCUGGAAGUUGGUCGAGUCGUGGCAGGCCGACGCAUCCGCAUACAAGUCGAGGCAGAAGUACAAGGACACGUUGUAUCAGAAAGGCUUCGAAGAAGGCAUGGCCGAGGUGAUCAAACAAUCAAUAAAAGAAGCCUUCACGAGCAAUGAGCCUGAAAUGGUGGCGAUGAGGUCACAGAUGUUUCGAGAGGCUGGCCUGGCCACGGCUCCACUUCAACAACCGCAAGGGCUGCCGAUGAUCGAGGGUCAACCAAGGCACUGGACCGAGGACGUCCAGAAAGACACACACAUCCAACUUCUGAUCCCGUUCGGAAGAUCCAAGAAGAUGUAUAUAGCUGAGGGAAUGCUACAUCCCAAAAGCAUAGAUUUCAGCCCAGAGGAAAUCCCAGAAGGCUAUGUGGUCGUGACCCCACUUUGGAAUGUGCCAGAGCAAGAAGAGUACGAAUUGGACCUUCCAAACAUACAACACGUCAGAUUUCUUGGGCAGGCCAUUGGUCAUGAAGUUCUGUGGAACAAGGAAGACAUUGAGAUCAUUCCACCGACACCAACUCCGACACCAACACCAGGAUCGCAGCCAUCAACUGUUGGAUCACAACGAUCAGUGGCUGGAUCUUGUCCCCCCGAUGAUCCUGAUGGCAGUGGCGAUGAUGCUGAAGGCGAUGGCGAGGACAAGGGCAAAGGACAAGGUGAUGGCGAUAGCCAUGGCCAGGACAAGGAGAAGUCACAAGACAAGAAGGAUGGUGGAGAUAAGGAGAAGGCACAAGUAGAUGAGGGGGACAAAGACAUGGGUGCAACCUGUGCCCCUCCUACAAAUAGUCCGCCUCGGAGCCCAAGCAGACAACAAGAAGGAGGCAUGGAGGAGGCAACAAGGACUAAGACACCACCGCCAACAUCUACUCCUAUGCUUGAAGCCCCUCCUCCACCGAGCAAGGAUGCAGGCAUGACCGCCACAGUGCUCCCGUACACUACUACAUCUGAAAGGUACGAGACAAACAAGCAUAAUAUUCUCGUAACCUUUGUAACACAUGAAAUGGUAAUAACAUUUGUAACUAUGUUUUGCCAGGCCUACAAAUACUCUCCAGAUCAAUCUAUUUCCCGAGGCGGAAGACUGUCCUGGCCACUAUGAGCUUGGAAAGUUCAUGCUACCUAAGGCCCAGCUCAUCGACGAUGAAAAGUGGGAUACAAGGAAGUUCCACCUGUGGUAUAUGGAAGCGGCAAAAGCCGGGAUGAGAGGUUUCACCGUCAAGAUUCCCUCGGAGUUGUUCCACUUGCCCGGUGCCGAUAUUCAGCUGCCUGUGGACUUCCAGGACAUGUACAAUCUAUUGCGGGAAGAAGACCUUGACAUCGUCCAAAUCACCUUAUUCUCUCUGUAAGUGAUGAUUGCAACCGUCAUAGACCAAUCUCUAAAUUUGUAUUGGAGAACUAUAUGAUUUUUAGGACACGAUGACUUGUCCGUGCAGGUUGACGGUCACUAUUAGCAACAAAAGGCACCAUCCUAUCCUAUACCUCUCUCCAAUGCAUAUUGCUGAGAGAGUGAUCAAGGGUUUCCAGAUAACGGACCCAGAGUUGACCGUGCGGCAGAGGGAAAAGAAGUAUGAAGAAAACAUGAAAGAGGAGAAGAAGAAAUUGUCAAGGUACAUCUUUGAGGUAAUGAAGAAGCUCAACCCGGAUGGGCCUCAUUGUAUUAUGGCUGCCUACCACUUUGGGUAAGUCGAAAACAUCCAUGUCGAGCAAAAGUGGCUAGGGUCAUGCCUUCUCGUUGACAUAACCUAUACUUGUUUCAAUGGUGUAGAAAUGACCUAGCCGGUGGCCACUGGGUUGCCUUCCUCGUCUAUCCUCAAGAUGGCCGGGCUGUCAUAUUUGACUCAUUACAGGUACCGAACAAAAAGGGGUACAAGGCCUUCGAAGAGUGCUUGAAAAAGUAAGCCAGCGAGCUUCUUGAUCCGUUACGGUUAUCGAUCAUAUUCAAAUUGACGCUAACACUAAUACACUUCGUACAGCGCUUAUAGUGCAUAUCUCAAGGAUCCGCAAUGCUGGGAUCGGAGAACGGAGAAAUUCAAGAAGAGGCAUAAGCACCACCUCAAAAUCCGACGCGAUUUUCCCGUAAGUAUAUUUCAAAGGUAGUUCAAUCAUGCUUUUAGUAUAUAUGUGCUCUAAUGCUUUUGUAUUGAUCGUGCAGUGCGCCAAACAACCCUUGGGAUCAAAGGCAUGUGGCUUGUACACCUGCGAGAACCUAAGGGAAAGCAAGGAGUACACCAACAGCUGGAAGAAGCUGAAAGAAGCAGUGAAGAAUCGUGGAGAGACGAUGAAGAAUGAACGCCAAGCAUUUAAGCAAAUCAAGGCAGACAUCUGUAAGUUCAUCCUAGAGAAAUGCGUGCUCGAAGGCGAACCAUUCUUUGACAAUGAAGGUGAAUUGGCAGUUCGACCAGAGUUCGAGAAGCUUAGGAGAUGGGACACCAUGCUACGGCCGACCGAUUACACCCACGCAGUAGAAUUGUGAUGUGUAGCGGAUUCGCGGAUUUCAUAUGUGUAUAUGUAUGGAUGAUGAGAACAACUAAGUGGAUUUAUAUAUUAUGUUGUGUCUUAUGUAUUGAACUUUCAGUCAUAUGUGUAUCUAUAUAUAUAUAUCUUCUGUUUCUGAAAUGAAAUCUAGAUUCUGGAAUUUGUAUAUUGUUUAAAUUCAUUUGCAGCAAUGGUUCUGCAAUGUGUUUUUUUUUAUUCAAAAACACUUAACCGUGGCGGGCAAUAUAAAGUGACCGCUACGGUUAAUAGCAGUACCCGUAGCGGGCGACAUAAAGCGCCCGCUACGGUUAAUCCAUUAACCGUAGCGGGCGACGUAAAGAGCCCGCUGCGGUAAAUAGGAAUUAACCGUAGCGGGCGCUUUACGUUGCCCGUUGCGGUUAAUCGAUUAACCGUAGCGGUCCUGCUUGCCCGCCACGGAAGUGGCCACGAUUUACCGUGGCCUUAUGGCCGUGGCGGACGCGUUUGGCCGCUGCUGAAAAGGGAAAACGUCCACCAUGGUUAUUCUUUCUGUAGUAGUGGUACGUAAAAUCCAAUAGUUAUCUCGGCAGCAGCAAGUCACACCAAAGUCCAUUCCUGUGGUCGUUCAUUGGUUCUGGUUCCAGCGAAUGAUCCCAUCUGCACAAUCCCACACCGCACAACUUUUUUAAGCGCCUGACGUCACACCAAAAAUACAAUACACUUAUUUCAAAAUGUUUUAACUUCUAAACAGUUUAUUUAUUUUUAAUUCGGUCUGCAUCGAUGUGUUUUGUGCGCCGAGAUGAACAAAAUUAGACCACACUUGCAUAUGUUUUGAAUUUUUUAGUAGCAUGUGUAUUAAGUUAUAACAUAUAACUUAUCUUACAAUUUACGCACACAAGUUGUAUUGAAUAAUGUUUUGCUGGUCGAAUUCGUUCAAUGACAUGGCAGCCAUGGCUACACCCACACAGAUGUUCCCUUUUCUUCUUUUUUGUUUUUUUCUACGAUUAUUCUCUUUUCUCAAUUAUAUAUGUAUAAGUUAUACUGCAUAGUUAUUUUCAUACAUAGUUUUCAUAUUUUUUUACUAAUAUCUAUGAUAUUAAUUUGUACAUCUAAAUUCUUCAAUAUAAGUUGCACGUCUAACUUAAUAUCUAAGUCAUUCAUCGAGUUAUAUAACUAAGUUAUACAAACAAGUUUUAUAUAAAAGUUUUGUGUAUAGUUUUCGUAACUUUCUAACAAAUUAUGUUGACAAGUUUAUUCCAAAAAAUUAUAUACAUAAAAGUUAUGUAUAUAACUUUAUCACGUACUAAGUUAUGUAUAAAAAUUAUGUGUGUAACUUUGUCGCAUUGAAGGUAUAUUUUGAAGUCAUGUAUAAGUUAUACAUUGAAAUAUGUUCUAGAAGUUAUACGUAUGUAAAAGUUGUUUUGACGAAACUAGAGGAGCUUGAGAGCGCUCCUACAGAAAUUUAUUAAAAAAGGAACCAAGUUUUACAAAAAGACCAGAAACCAGAAACCGUGGCUCAAGAAACAAAGAAUGAAUACGUAUGUAAAAGUUAUGAGUGUAACUUUGCAAAAAAGAAAAGUUUUAGAUUUUUUUUGUGAAAAAUAAAAAAUUUUCUAAGGAAAGAAAGUUGCGGAUUUUUUUAUCAAAAAUAGGAAGUCGCAGAUGUUGUCUGAUCGUUCAUCAAAUUUGGAUCUCUUGAACAUUCGCUGUACAAAAGAGAAGUGAAGUGAAUGGAAUGUGUUAAAAGAGAAAGAGAAUGGAACCUGCAUCAUACAGAAAGAGGAAGAAGUGAAGCGAAAUAAAAAUAGAACUUGCGGUGUAAAAAAGAGAAAGAGAAAAUGAGUGAUUUUUCUAUUUACACAGUAUUAGCUGUUUGAACUUCGCCAAUCAGUGAGACGUCGCUAUUUAUACUGGGAACGGACGAACGGCAACAAGGUUGACGAGAGCCGUCUACCGUCUAUGUCUUAACGAUCUGUAUAUAUACUGUAUACAAGUACUACAAGUACCACAUCUACUUACGAUUUUUCCCCCAACCAGAGCUAGCUGCAUGCAUAAUAACAGGGACGAAUCAUGCACUGCACGUUGAGAUCGAUCGAGCCACAGUGCACCUCUCGUCGAUCUCACUGCCCCGAGCUUCAGCCUGCAGUAUGCACGCGCCGACGCGCGGCUAUACUGGGUAAUAUUGUCUGUCCAAGUUGAUGGGAGUGUUCGGUUGCAUGAGGUGUACGCUGACACAGCAAACAGUUUCUUUAUACAAUUAUACGCGUGUGGAUUCAUUCGCGUGGCCUUGAUUGGAUCGCCCUCGCUCCUCGAUUUUAUUGAGCAGUUGACUCGGAUAUUGCGGAUGCGGAGGUUCAGAUGUGCCAUCAGAUCGGAGAGUUGAACUUUCUUUAACUGGAAAGGACAGUGCGCAUUAGAGAGAGUUCAGAAUAUUCAGAUAGGAGUACGCCUAUCAGAGAGCCGAACUCCGCAUAGAAACUCUGUCGCUAGUCGCCAGACCGUUCAUUAAUGGAAUGUGUUAGGCGUAUAGCUCAACAGAGCGUAGGCGCUUUUCCGUGGGGAUGCUUUACAAUCUCGACAUUUGUACGUGAUAUCUUCCGCGAAACCUUCUCAAAUUUUUAUCACAUCCUCCAUAUAUAAUAUCAUGAUAUCUCCACAAGUUUUAUAAUUUUUAAACUUUGUUUGCUUUUUAUAAAAUUUUAAAACUCUCCGCUAAUAAGUUCAUUAUGUUUUGUGAACAAGAUGUUCGAAAUUCCGGAUACCUUCCCGGAUACAGCCUCAAACUACACCCAAUAACACAAAUAUUAUUUUUUGAAUCACUCAUAAGUUCAUGGUUAUUCGCAGUUCAAAUUUGUAUUUUCUAAAAAUUUCAAUUAAAUGAUACAAACUAACUAAAUAUAGUAAAAAGCCACAAAAAUAUGCCAAACUCUAACACGGAGUUCAUGGUAAUGUGGAGGGCUGCACAAAAAAUUAGGGGCUAAAAGUGAACUUUUUUUAUUUUGCCGAGUGUUAGGGCCUAAUACUAUGUAAAGAUUGGUCUUUGACGAGUGUCAAGGUCUGGCACUCGGCAAAGAGUAAGUUUGUGUGCUAAACGAUUGGCACUCGACAAAGAGUGACGGCGGGUGAUCACAGCUACCUAGUGCCCUUCGGCAAAGAGUGACGGCAAGUGACGGUGGUUACCUAGUGCCCCUCUUUGCCGAGUGCCGACGUUUGCCAAGAGCCGUGCACUCGGCAAAGUCUUUUUUUUGUCAAGUGCAACAUUCGGCAAAAUAACUCUUUGUCAAGUGUCUGACAUUUAGUACUUGGCAAAGCCUUUGACACUCUGUAAAGGCCCCGUUUCGUGUAGUGUGCCAAGUUAUAUGGCAGAUGCUAUUUUCUUAAAAAAAACAUUUAUUACCAACUUUCACAAUAGAAAUGAGCUGAAAUAGCCACCGCAAAUAUUAAACAGUGCCAAAACAGCAAAAGGACAAUUGAUCAGACUCUAUGCAUAGAUUCACUUGGGCCUUGUUUAGUUCACCCCGAAAUUCAAAAAGUUUUCAAGAUUCUAUAUCAUAUCGAAUCUUGUGGCACAUGCAUGAAGCAUUAAAUAUAGACGAAAAUAAAAACUAAUCACACAGUUUGACUGUAAAUCGCGAGACGAAUCUUUUAACCUUAAUUAGUCUAUGAUUGGACAAUAUUUACCACAAACAAACGAAUGUGCUACAACAGUGAAAUCCAAAUUUUUUUCACAUGGCCUUGGUUUAUUUUGGUUGAAAGGGACCGAACUGUACAUUACAUGUACGUUCGACUGACAUAGCUCGGCAGUAAGAGCUUUAUUUCCCCUCUAGCAGGAGUACGCACACUCAAACUCAAGAACGGACACCAAUGGCGACCCCAUAGACUACAACCAUACAAACCAACAAUCACUCUCUGCAAACAAAUAAUUCACCGUACCCGGCCGGUCACUCGGUCAGCCCCUUGGCAACAACGACAUGGCACGAGCCAACCAGUGGAAACGGACGAGAUGGACCCUCUCAUGGCCAGCGAGUGAGAUGGAUGAGGCCGAUCGACACCACAUCUAUCUCUUCAAGAAGUUCUGGAUCCAGUAGCUGGACUCCUUCCGGUAGCGCUUGAGGCCGUUGAGGCGGUCGAUGAAGAUGAGGCCGAAGCGGUCCAGGUAGCCGUCCCCCCACUCGAAGCAGUCCAUGAAGGUCCAGGUGAAGUAGCCCUUCACAUUCACGCCGUCCCUGAUGGCGUGGUUCACGAACUGCAGGUGCUGGCUGUGGAACCUGAUCCUGUGCCCGUCCCUGAGCGCCACCUCCAGCGGAAUCGUCCUGUUGUUCUCCUCCGCGAUGCCGUUCUCCGUGACGUAGAGCACCGGGCUGCCGUAGCGGCGGCUGGUGUAGAGCAGCAGCUCCCGGAGCCCCUGCGGGUACUCGAAGAAGAUGGGCACGAACUCCGGCGUGCCGAUGGGCACGCCGUCGCGGUACCCGGAGGUGUUGGCGCGGAUGUCGCCGUCGUAGGACUGCUCCAUCCCGUUGGGCGCCGGCUUGGCGGAGGCGAAGUAGGCCGUGUAGUAGUUGACGCCGAUGAAGUCGUAGGAGCCCUUGAUGAGCUUCGCCUGCGCCGCGGUGAACCUGGGCAGCCGGUCGCCCAGGUAGCCGAGCAUGGUGCCCGGGUACUCGCCGUGCACGAUGGGGUCCAGGAACCAGCCGUACAUGAAGUCCAGGCUGCGCUGCACGGCCUUGACGUCGGCGGCGGAGCUGGCGUUGGUGGGCACGUACCAGUUGGACACCACGGUGAUGCCGAUCUGCCCGCGCUGCGCCGGCUUGUACUUGGCGUUGUACAGCGCCACCGCCUCCGCGUGGGCGAGGAUGAUGUUGUGCGUCACGGUGUAGGGCUCGCGCGCCGAGUCGCCGGGGAAGCAGUUCUUGUUGACGUACGACGAGCACCGGCCCGGCGCCGACUUGCCGACGGCGUAGCCCUGGUACGAGUACGUCCACGGCUCGUUGAACGUGGUCCAGGCCUUGACGCGGUCGCCGAACUCUUUGAAGCAAACCUCGGCGAAGUCCACGUAGUCCUUGCUGCACGUGUGUGUACACAGUUGUUGUUUAGAUACAGACAUACGGUGUUAGUGUCCCUCUCUGUCUCCAGCAACCAUAUAAUAGGCAGCUAAUUGAUCGAUGACAUUGACAUGUGUUAUUAGUAAUGACUCAUACAUGAUGUUCUCGCUGAGGAAUCCUCCAUACUUGUCCUCCAGGGCCAGGGGCGUGUCCCAGUGGAAGAUGGUGACAAAUGGCUUCAGCCCUGGCCAUGAAAAUAUAUAAAAAUCCUUUUGUUAAAAUGAUAUCGAAUUACUUAUCGUUGACCCCUGGAUUUAUCAUUAUUAUAUUAUAUUGUUAUGAUAUACUCCGUACUAUGUGUGUGUGGUUGUAGAUAACUACUCUAUACCUACCUUUGGCUAUGACCUCGUUGAUGAGGUUGUUAUAGAAGGCCACGCCUUCUUUGUUGAUUCCUCCACUCAGGGAACCGUCUACAGAAACCACAAAAAUCUGUGUCAGUAAAUCAGCAUGAGCCGUAUAUGUGAAACAUAAUUAUUGUUUUUUAAAAUGGUAUGGCUAGAUUUGUUUCUAAAAGGAUGUUAAAACGUUUAUAACUUCGAUAUAUUCUGCAUAUGUUCGAUGUCAUUCGUCAAUGGUUAUACUCCUGUAGUCGCUGUGAUAAAUGACAGUUAGUAUUUGUGUUUGUAAUCGGAGGCCGGACUGUUUGCGUUGAAAGUUGAGCAUUGCUCACUUGGCAGGAUCCUGGUCCAGGCAAUGGAGAACCGGAAGGCGUCCAAGUUCAUGUCCUUGAGGAGUUGCACAUCCUCCUGCAAUGCAAACAAUCAUUUGGUUAGUUUCGCCCGCCGGUUGACCCAUCAUUCAUUCCGUCGAUCGGGUUCAGCUGAUUCAGCAUGCUCACCUUGUAUCGAUGGUACAUGUCAUCUGCUACGUCGCCGGUAUCGUUGUUCAAGAUCUUACCUGCAAUACAUCACGCACGAGUUUCUCUCUGUCAGUCAGAAACACACUGGGCGGUUCUGUGUGAGACCGGCCGGGAAGGAAGAGAAGACAGAGUCGCCCAGACCAGACCUGGGAUGUGAGUGAACUUGUCCCAUAUGCUAGGCCCCUUGCCUCCUUCGUUGUAGGCACCCUCAUACUGCAAGGCGCUAACUUUGUUCAGAUAACAGUCCAUAACUGAACUGCAGGCCGGUUUGCACAAAUACAGAUAGGAAUAUAUGAAGAUAGAGCCAAAAAUGUGCAGCAGAUCAGCGAGCAUCAUCGAUCACCUGAUACGCCGCGGAGCCUGUGCCGAAGACGAAGUCCUUGGGGAAGCUGUACCUGCUGAACUUGGCGUGAACGCCGAUGCAAGCGGUUGCUGCCAGAAGCAGAGCUGGAAGAAGCAGCUUCGCCAUUCCGUUCCCGACACCCAUCGUAGACUGGACAAGAUCACUGGAGCUGGUGGUAACCGGAAUGGCCCCAGUCUAGUACUGGAGCUGGAUUGGUGCUGCAACUCCCGUCCCUGCUGUCCUUUAUAUUUAUAGACGGGACAAGAUCACAAGAGGAAGGCCUUGUUUAGUUUCGAAAAUUUCAAAAAUAUUUUGGAUUUCGGUACGUAACAUGUUCGUUUUUAUUUGAUAAAUAUUAUCUAAUCAUAAACUAACUAGGUUCAAAAGAUUCAUCUCGUAAUUUACAGACAAACUGUACAAUUAGUUUUUAUUUUUGUCUAUAUUUAAUACUUUAUGCAUGUACCGCAAGAUUUGAUGUGACAUAGAAUCUUGAAAAGUUUUUAUUUUUGGAAUGAACUAAACAAGGCGUAAGGUCCCUAUCCCUGUCCCAAAUGAUCUGUGCAUUUUUACUAAUCCUGUUACGGCGACGACACUACAUUCUUCUCAAGAAGUAAGGAUUUUAUUAAUUCAUAAUUGUUACAUCGAGUUGACACAAUAAUUACAAAUUUACUUUUGGUCUUUGCAUAGAAGUAUACUCUAGAAAGCAACCCUUUAUCUCAAAUUAUUGGCCAUUUUAGGUUUUCUAGGUAGAUAGUUUUUAUUAUGCACCUAGAUAUGCAAUAUAUCUAGAUAUAUAAUAAAAUUUAUGUAUCUAACAAAACCAAAAUGGUCUAUAAAUUGUAAUGGAGGGAAUAAAAGUUUAUCAUUCUAAUGAAUAUCAAUCCUAAAACUAGAUCACUAAAUCGUCACCUAUGUACUCGGCAGAAAAACAUUGUGACUGGCUAGACCAAUUGUUGUGACGUUGCUGCAACCAAAGCCUUAAAAGUAAGCUUCCACGAGCGGAGCUAAUGAGGGCCUCCCCAUCGCUACACGCUGUCUUGUAGCUCCGACAUCUAUGUAUACACACUAUAUACAGAUCACGCAAGACAGCAGCCCGCAAUGUGUCAGUGCUGCCUGCAGAGGUACUGUAGGCUUCGGCUGACAAUUUGCAGAAGCUCCCAAAUAAGGGCACGUACAACAGAAGCAUACAGAACCAUUAGCCUCAUGUUCCAUGUUGACAAAAAAACGCCACUCUCUCUCUCUCCUAAGGCCACACCAUCACCUUGUCUCAUCGUUCUUGCUCCUGCAGAGAAAAAGAGAGUGCAUGCAGUACCUUUUCUCCUUUCUCCCCCUCCAAGGCCACCAUCCGGCCGGCCACAACGCAAGAAAAACAUUCUCUUCUGCUUUUCGUCGGGUGAGGAAGCGUUCUCUUCUGCAAGCUACUAUAGACAUCCGCGAGACCAACAAAUGAAGUGACAUGGCAUAUUGAUGCCACAGUGGAGAAUGGAGCAGCACGCCAUCCUGGCGUGUUGGGAAAGCCCUAACACGCGUUGAGGGUGGAUGAAACCAAACUCUAUACAACUUUAUUUCUGUAUAUCAAGAUAAAGAGAAAAAGGUGAAAGUGACGUUUACGAUAAGAGAAGAGACAUGCGUUGAGAGAUUGUUAGCUUCAUUUCGUCUUAGAAUACGUGGCGUGUGAUUUUUUUCUCGAGGCGUACGAUUGUAGUAGCUGUGUUGUGGGUGCCCUGAUAAUUGAAUGUAGCAAAAGAACAAGCAUGCUUCUUUUUAAAUACCAAAUUAUUUCUAUAUAACUAAAACAACCAAUGAAUAAUUGUCGCUCUCAAUAGCACUAUAAGGUUGAUGAAAACUUAAAGCAAUAUGUAUGUAAUGUAGCCACAGACUGCAAGGACAAGAUAGCAUUCAAAGAAGAGAUACUUAACACACACACACUCUCUCUCUAUGGGGCAAAGCAACUUACUUUGCUGCCUUCUCCAUUGCAUUUAGCUUGUCAGUUGCGUUAAGUUUGAACGCGGUUUUUUUUGCCCUUAAGGGUAUAUAUAUGCCCUCACUCUCUUAUCUAUUGGAUUCGCUUCGAUAAGUGUACAAACAUAUAUCUCAAAACAGUUUCACAUUGAGAUGUAUGUUUGUACACUUCUCAAAGCGAAUUCAAUGGAUAAGAGAGUGAUGACACAUGUCCUCGGGGGCAAAAUAAACUUUAGCGUUAAGUUUAGCUAAAUAUCUUUUAUUAGUAGAAUCACUUCUCUAUCAAGAUAAGUACACACAUUCAGCUUUCUUGAGAGGAAACACGAGAAGACAUAUAUUUCAGUAGGUCGGUCGACAUGCAGCGCUACUGACAAGGGACAGGCCAGACCCGGAUUUCAUCGCUCCCGAUGCGGCGAUCUCCAUGACCUGUGCUGAUAGCCAUGCGAUGCUCGAUGCGACGGUUGAGGUGGACGGCUUUUUUUAAGCACCAUGUGGUACACGUUGAUGCUCCAAAUAAUUAGUUUUAUUAUUCCCCGCGAGCUUGAUUUCAUAGUUUCUCUACCUAUUGCUGAAUGCAGCACGUCAACUGGAGCCCGGCCGGAGACCUGAAACGAUGUCCCAAACGGGGGGCAUUAUUAUCCGGUCGUCCCGGGCUCCCGCGAGACAACGCGCCAACUCCGAUACGGCGCCGCCGGUGGCCUGCAGCGAUGAGCCGGACACGGCCACGGUCCCAGUGUCGCGCGCGGUAGCCUUCGGUGACCAGCCGGCGGCCACGGUUCCGCGGGUCCCGGUUUCGCUGAUCACGGUCACGGCCCGUGAAUGAUUGGUGGGCGAGGUUGUGACUCUGAAAUGGGACAGUGCCUGCGUGUUUGUGAGGAGCCCCGCCGGCGCUGCCGGCAUGUGGCGCAGGGCUACCGACGGACGUCGACGCUGUGUGCCUGUGUGCCGAGGUGAAUGCGGCCAGGCAUGCUGCACUGCUGCGUUUGAGAUCUGGAACGGGAAGGAGAGACGAUGAUGGAAACUACUCCUAUGGAAUAGAUUAGGUGAAUUGGUGAAACUUGCCGAGAUUGUUCAAAUAAUGUGAAACGUACGGGCGCAAUCGAAACAAACUAACAAAGUCUUCGUCUUCGAUGGCGGGGUUGGUGGGGUGCGGUUGAUCGAGUUCGAGCAAACCCGGCUCGAUGUCGCCAAAAGCAAAAGGCACCUCAGUUUGCAAAGAGCGCACGCGCACAGAUCAAAGGGAAUAACGGAGAAAGGAGCUGGACACAUCUGAUUCGGAGGUUUCAGAAAGCAGCAUCAGAUGUGGGCUAACGGCACAACGGUCAUUUUGCUGCGACAUCACUGUUUCUUUCAAACAAGGACGCACUUAAAUCAAGAAGAGGGAGACGCUUAGGGCGUCCACAAUGGUGUUCAAAUCGAUAGCUAUUUGAUCUCUAAGAAAAAUGUUAUUGGCUCUCAAUAGCAAUUUACAAAUAGUUAGCUUAGAAAGUCGCUAGCUAUUGGGAAGAGUACUGUGAGAGAGUUAUUUCUAAAAGAUUGUGCUAGAUUAACUAUUUAUGAGUCGCUAGCUAUUAGGAAGUCGCUAGCUAUUAGGAAGUCGCUAGCUAUUUGAUCUCUAUCCUCAAUAGUCAAUAAAAGUGCUAUUUUUUAUAUGUCAUCUCGUUAGCUAUUUAUAAAGUGCUAUUGAAAACCAAUAGAAUUCCUUCUAGCUGCUAUUUGAUAACCAUUGCGGAUGACGGACAUGUACGUACAACAGUUUAGCUAGACGGCUUUUAUCUGCAAAGACAAGUCAGUGUCACACAUCGUAAAAUCUAGGAGUAUUUGAUUGCCUACAAAAUGUUUCAUACAUGUAUGUAUCAUCUAUAAGAAUAAACAAGAUCUCUGUAUAAAAUCGAUCAUGAAUAAGAUGGAUGUAAAAACAGAAACCCUUUAGGACAAGACUGUUUUUUAUCAACAAACUUGGCAAUCAAGCAUUCUGGUCACAAAAAACGUUGAGCUGUUCCACUUGGACCCUUAUAUCUCUCGCUCAUUCCAACAUCACAAUUCAUAGAUAAAUCAGUUUCAGGAUGAGAGGACGACAUAUUAAUCUUGCAACGUUCCAUCCCAAUCACCUUUUCUUACGAAUCUUCCAUCCCAAUCACCUCCGUUAGCUAUAUCUCUUGCCCAUACAAAUAUCACAGAUGAACCGGUGCACAAUAUCAGAGAUGUAACCCAUCCGAGUGGUAACGAAGGCUAUUCCGAUGCAUUUGUUUGCCAGUAGUUGGUUCAGUCAGUACACACUGGACACUUUAGUCAACAAAUGAUAUGAAAAUAAAAAAACAAAAUCAGUAGCAACAAGUUCAGAAAAAGUGAAUUUGGCUGCUACUACAAAUUCUUCGGCUGAUAAGUGAGUUUUGCACUGCAAAUUCUUCAUAUUUUACAAUUCAAAUUCCUAGAGAACAUCUAUUCAAGUUCAUGAAAUUUGUUACACGAGAAAAAGAAAAACAUUGAAAAUGCUCUCUUCUGCCAGCUGCAGCAGCCCACAAUAACAAGCGUCUUUGUAAUAUCUAAGUGUGUUGUAAGUGUCCCAACCUUCUCAUGUAUGGUACUGGCAUGAGUUGGUAAUGUACUUAGGCCUUUAUUUCCUCUCUAUAGUACAAUGAUACCUAGUUCUCCUACAUAUUCGAAAAAAAUAUAUCUAAGUGUAAUUCGUUUUUUAUUUUACUUUUUUUAGGGUAGUUGCAGAGAUGCUCUGUCUUUUCUUUAUACUCCCUCCGUCUCUGAAAGCUGCAACUUCUAGACUUGUCCUAAGUCAAACUUUUAAAAUUUUGACCAAAUUUGUAGAAAAAAACGCUAAGAUUUAUAGUACCAAAUUAAUACCAUUAAAUUUAUCAUUGAAUAUAUUUUCAUAAGAUACUCAUUUUAUAUUAUAUAUAUUUAUGCUCUUUUCUAUAAAAUUGGUCAAAGUUAAAUAAGUUUGACUGAUACAGAUUCUAGGAAUUGAAGCUUUCAGGAACAGAGGGAGUAGUUAUUAAGAAUUGAAACAUGUACAAUGAUUAAAUAGGUGCAUGGACCCAACCAUGUGAAAGGAAAAAAAAAAGAGAAACUAUAAAAACAACGCUCAAACAGUAAGGAAAAGAAAAGAUCAAGGCUGGCUAAGUUUCCAACAUCCCCAUCGCCGGCCUGAGCGCAGCCACUUCCUACCCUAUUAGAGCCACUAGUUUGUUUUUUUCCUGAGCGCCUUGUUGUCAUAUACUCGGCGACAUCCUUUCUUCCAGAUGUUCCAUGUCAUACAGAUGACGAUCUGAAUUUCUGUAUUCAGAGUCUCUUGAUAAUGUUCCACCCAAUAGAUGGACCACGAUAUUUUUAGAUUAGUGACUGAGGCCUUGUUUAGUUCACUCCAAAACCAAAAUUUUUUAAAUAUUUUCUGUCAUAUUGAAUCUUGCGGCAUAUGUAUAGAGCAUUAAAUAUAAAUGAAAACAAAAAUUAAUUACACAGUUUGUUUGUAAAUUGCGAGACGAAUCUUUUACGCCUAGGUACUCCAUAAUUUGACAAUCUUUGUCAAAUAAAAACGAAAGUGCUAUAGUGUCCGAAUUCAAAAAACUUUUUGGAUGUAAACAAGACCUUAUUGACGUGGUUGAAGGUGUUGAUGACCUGUUUGCUGGGCUAUGUGCUCCUCCCAAACUCUAUUGGAGUAUAAGAGGAAUUUGCAACCAUGCGUGUCAUUGAAUCCUUCCUUAUUCUGCACAACUGACAAACCAGGUUCGCUUGUCCUUCCCGUUUAAUUAUUUGAUCCACUGUCAGUAGUUUCCUCUGCAGACAAAGAGCUUGCAUUUAUUUUCCACCUUUGGUUUCUAAUAAUUUUUUUCACUGGUAGUCCUGUAUAGAUCCUUUGAAUUGCAAAGACCUUCGUUUUUUUAAUGAAUUGAUGUCACCUCAGUUUGCAAUUUGCAAAGAGACAGAUAGAGCUGGAUUAGCACACAAUGGAUUCGGAGGUUCAGAUAGACGCGUCAGAUGGUCAAGGCCUCGAGAGAUGUCUAUCGGUAUCUCACCUCAGUUUGCAAAGAGGCAGGUCGAGAGGAGCUAAAUUAGCAGGCAGUGGAGGAUCCGGAGGUUCAGAUAGGCGCAUCAGAUGGUCAAAGCCUUGUGCAAGGAAGAAAGAGAUGCGUGUCAGGGUGUUGAUCUCACAUAGAAAAUGCGAAACAUCAGCGGGUGACAAUGGGUCAAUGGAAUUGUUUAGGCGGGGUCGCAGAUUAUGAACGGCCGUCGAGGCGUCGACGUCACGAGCAGGGGCGUCGGCCGGUUCAGGGCGCAGCCACGAACUCAACGCAUGCCCAGUCACCCACCACGUCAGAAGACCGGGGGCCGUUUGGCUGCACGCCAUCUUUGGCCCAAGCUGCGUUUGGACUGCUGCCGAGAUUUGGCCUGCCUGAGAUAGCCACUGCAGAUUCGUAGUACAGUUGUUCAUUUUGCUCCGGCCGGCCGGCCAAAUCGGGGCGACCGAAAUGGCCGCCAAAUUUUGGCCAGGGCCAUACACCGGAUGAAAAUUGAAACCAAGGCCUUGUUUAGGCCGUGUUUAGUUUCUAGAGGACAAAGAUUUCAUGAUACUAUAGCAUUUUCGUUUGUUUGUGGUAAUUAUUGUCUAAAACUAACUAGAUUCGUCUCGUAUAUUUCGACCAAUCUGUGCAAUUAGUUUUUAUUUUCGUCUAUAUUUAAUACUUCAUGCAUACGUCUAAAGAUUCGAUGCGACGGAGAAUCUUGAAAUUUUUGAGUUUUGGGAUGGAAGUAAACAAGGCCUUAGUUACAAGAAAAAUACAAAAUAAAUAUUAUAGCACUUACGUUUAUAUUUGAUAAAUAUUAUUCAAUCAUAAACUAAUUAGACUUAAAAUAUCCGUUCUGCAAAAUUGAGACUCUCUUUUCUGCCACAGCGCAAAUUCGGCCUUGGCUAGCCCAGCACUACGCGUGGCCUGCGCACGUCCCGGCAAGAGGGAAGGUGGGCUACCAUAGCCCAUUUUUACGUUGGUUUUCUUCUUUUUUAAAAAAGUAUAUUUAUAUGAUAAAAUGUAUUGUUUGUGCCACUUACCGUGAUACCUAUAUAUAAAACUAAAUCCUCAUAUAUAUUUCAUAAAUAUUUUGUAUUGUAGAAAAAAGUUAUUCACAAGUUCUAUACAUAAAUUACUGCUAGAGAUUCAUUAUUAUAAGGUAAAAUAGGCAAUUCUGAGAAAUUUUAACUUAAAACCAGAAGUUAGUUAAUAGUGCUUUCAACCCUUUGCAUAGUCUAAUACAUCACUUAGAUGAGCUUUAAGUGUCAAGGGAACAAAUUUAAACUUUGUUAUUUGUAUAUACUCUGUGAGGUUAAGGCCGACUACAUAUAACAUUUAGAGUUGUCGCCGAAGAUUACAGAUAAUCUAACAUGUUUGAUACUGACAAUGGACCUUACCUUGGUUAACGAAGUGCUGCCUGUAAUAGAACCGCGAAUACAAUGGCGACAAAGAGCAGACGUGUAAGAACUGAGAACAGUGCGACGUGUCUCCGCUAGACGCGCUAGUUAUCAAAAUUUGCGUACGCGCCCUUGAUCGCUGACCGCCUACCAUGGUAGCCAGCCCUUCCACCUCUCCUCCGCGCCCGCCAGCGCCAGGGGAUCGCGGACCAGCGGCACGGGG